RNAcentral lists this long non-coding RNA (131866 nucleotides) under Coffea arabica (coffee). RNAcentral's name for it is "long non-coding RNA (CARA_LNC000433)". The record is from RNAcentral. Lineage: Eukaryota; Viridiplantae; Streptophyta; Magnoliopsida; Gentianales; Rubiaceae.
CAUCAACACUCCGUGAGCUUCAAUUACGAGGCUUGCCUCACUCGGACUCCCUGCCACACCAGCUUCAAUACUUGACUACCCUCCCUUCACUAAGUCUCUUCAACUUUCGAGGAAUAGAGGUGCUACCACAUUGGAUUGGAAACCUUGUGUCCCUUGAAACCCUAAAGCUAUGGUUUUGCGAAAAGCUUCAGUCUUUACCACCCGAGGCUGCCAUGAGACGACUCACAAAGUUAACUCGUGUCGAAGUUUGUGGGUGUCCUCUAUUAAGACAACGAUACACUCCCCAAAGAGGCAUCUACUUGGAGGAGUAGAUUUCAAGUUAUUUUGUAAGAUUUUCCUAUCUAAAGUUCACACUCAUAGAUAUGCAUACAAAUUUUUUGUAUCUGCAUCUCAUUGACAUAUAUUUGCUCUUCAGUCUCUUAUACUCUUUUUUCUCCGUCUCUUCUAUGAAAUUUCACUAGUCGUGUAAAGUUAAUCCCUGUAAUUCUGUUCUUUUUGGGCAGACCUUGGUUUCUCUUCAAAGAUUAGUUUUAACAGAUCCUGGUUUUGAACAAAUUAGAAGAGACCAAAAUUCUAGAUUUCCUCUGCCUCUCUGAAUCACUGAAAGAUUUUGAACAUCUUAAAAACUCCUUGCACUUCAAAUUGUUACAUUCUAUUUGGCCAAGGAUGAAAUUAUUAGCAAUGGUGCAUGCACAAUUAGCCUCUUUGUUUGAAUGUGUUGGAAAAUGUUUCAUUUGAUGCGUAAUGCUACAUGUACAUGGACCCAUUCUUCAUUUUUCUGUCACCUGAUAUUGCCAGUUUGAAUGGACAACAUUAAAGCUAAUCAAGAAACAUUUGCGAAGAAAAUUCAAGAUACAAUUUGCUGUUCAAGAUACAAUAAUUUUGGACAGUUGUUUGUCAUGUUUCACAAGUUUCAGAAGUUUAUUCGUCACAAUUACCAUGCAGGUAAGCAGUGAGAGCGAACAAGAAGAAAUCGAUGACAAUGAGCAAGCAGGCAGAGACUGUGAACAAAAAAGCAUUGAUAGUGCUCAAACAUCAGCUUCAUGGUGUUUCCCAUCGUUGCUGAAGAAGAAGAAGAGCUUAGGAGGUUUGUUGUGCAGAAAAGUGAUAAUGCAGCAUUUCUUUCCCCAAGAACUCUUUUCUUAUGCAGAAAAGUGAUAAUGCGGCAUUUCUUUCUCCAAGAACUCUUUUCUUACCUCCAUCCAAUUUACUAAGAGUACAAGGAAUUGGUGCAAGUUUGCAUUCUAGUAUGCUUGAGUCAUGUAAUUGGCCUACGAACAGGGCAUUUUCCUGUACUGUUAUGUGUUUGUGAACUUUUACCCUAUGCCUACAGCUUAUCUUUUGCUCUUUAAGAUUUUUAUAUUUACUUGGUGCUAAACAUGUCUAUUGAUUGUGAAAGAAUGUGGUCUUUUCCGAUUUUCUUGCACUAGUUACUAGACCAUAACUUUUCUUUGCUUUCAUUGUUCAUUAUAAUUGAAGGCAUACUGAAAUGUACCAUUGUGAUGCUUUCCAGAGUCUUAGGAGACAUAGCUUAUGUUAUUGGACAAAGGACACCAUCGUUUACACACCAAUUGUCACACGAUAUUGCAUAAUAGGAGAAACUUCUUGAAUUCUGGUAGGCUUUAAUUGGUUUAAGUAGGAUGAUGUUUCUUUUAUGUUUGUACUGACCCCUUCUGUUUAGUUUACAUAGAUCUAAUUGGGCUGCUGCUUCUGAUAUGAUCCCAAAAGUACAUACCUUUAGUUUUUUAAGCUGCAGUAUCGGUUUUUCUCAAUGCACUGCCAUCACUAGUUUGUUAUAUUGUUGGUUUCUGGUUGGCAGAUGAGUUUUUAUUGAGUUGAAGUUUCAUUUCUUAGCAUUUAUUAAUUCUAAUUUGAAUUUGCUUUUCAUUUAGGCCAUGUCCUCGCUUAAAGGUAGGGAGAAUACAUUAGAGAAGAUUUGAGGAGGCUAUUGAUUACGUAAAUGAGCAGCAUCCUUCAGAUGAUUCCUCUGUUCCAGCUGUAAGACUGUUUGUUGCUCACUGCCUGCCAGGCUACAAAGACCAGGAAAACAUGGGAUUUCUUGAUAAUGGAAGUAUUUCCCAGUUCAGGAAAAAAGAAAAAUGAUAAAGAUAUUAAGUGAAGGGCAAACUAUUUUUAGUACGAGGUUGGCAUGAAAAAAGUAGAGAUCGAAAUACCUCUCCUUUUAACCAAGAUGAGUUGGCCAUUAGGUGAAACAUAAGAUGCAGGCCUGACCAGAGGUGAGAAGUUUUAACAUUGAAAAAAAAAAAUGGUCUACUUUUAUUUACAAAUAUGACUAAAGAAAGAGAAAAUUUUUGGUUCAAUCCCUCACGUUUAGGGAGAGUUUUUUUUUGGGUCCCUCAUUUUUGAAAGGUAUAAUUACAAAAACACCCCUGAGGUUUGUGACACAUCACAUGGUAUCCCUAAAUAUUGAAAAAUACCACCUACAUCCCUUAUUUUCAACUUCUUCCAACUUUGUCAACCUAUUCCGACAAAUAUGAUUUAAAAACUCAUUUUGGAAGAGAUAAGACAUUUUCAUUCCAAAAUUACCCUUUCUUGUGGAGCUUUAGCUUUCAUGACAAACCAAAUUAACUUCUUAAUAAUCACAACAUGUUAAUGAAAUUGAAAGAUUUUUUAUAGUUUUCGAUAUCAUCUAUCUAAACAAAAAAGGAGAAAAAAUUAGAAACUCUAAAUGAUUUAGAAGACUCAUAUGAGUCAUCCAAAAAUUGUUACAGUUAAAAAAAAAAGACUUUUUGCACCUCAAAUAAAUUUCUAAAUAUAUGGUUAGUAAUUUUAUCUUUUUCUUGUUUUCAAGCCAUCAAUUUGGACAAAAAGUUCAAACAUUCAAAAUAUUCUAAACAAUUUGUAGAAUCCUUAAAUUCAUCCAAAACACUUUGCAACAAACAAAAUAACUUUUCUUUGAAAAUGCCUUAACUGAGUUUGUAAACUUAAUUUUAGACAUUGUGUCCAUUUUUUAUUUUCAAAUCAUUAACCUAUACACAAAAUUUCAAAAAUUCCAAAGAUUCUUAAAAUUUAUAAAACUCCUCCAAUUAACGAAAACCCUUACAAUAAAUGAAAUAUUUUUUCAGCUUGAACAACCUCAAACAUAAUCUUUUGUACCUUAAAAACAUUUGCUAGUAUAUUUUAUCUCACCAAAAUUACACCUGCACACUAUUUUUUUAUUUUCAAGCUUUUAGUACUAUAGUUUCACUUUUGAAAAACUAGUUGGACAACACAAGGGCAAUUUUGGCAUGAAAACAUCUUCGUUCUCAAAAAUGAGUUUAAUAAUAUAUUUUGAAAUGGACUGAUAAAGUAGUUGAAAAUAAAGGAGAUAGGUGAUAUUUGUCAAAGUAAAGUGUUCCAUGUAACAUUGUCAUUACCUUAUGAGAGGUUUCCGAAAGUACCCCUUUUAAAAUGAAGCAAAUUAGUUUCUCACCUUCUAAAAAUAAAGCAAACUAUUCCCAAAAUGACAACCUGAUAUAUAUAUAUAUAUAUAUAUAUAUAUAUAUAUGUAUAUUAUAGGAACAAAAUUAGAACGUCACUUUAGUUUUUGUGGAAUCUAGGUACAUGUCAUGUGCGCAUGACAUUAGGUUGACGAAAAAAGGAAAACAAUUUAAAAAUUAUAACAUAUAAAAAAAUCGUUCUCUCUAAUUUUUAUUUUUUUUUAGAAAAUGAUAUUCGGCCAACAUAAAAAGGACAGUGUAUAUGUGUGUAGAACUUGUAUUUACAAUAUUGAAAUUACAGUUAACUUGAGAGUUUUGGUUUUUUUUUAUUUUCUUUUGGAAUUGGUUUUUUAAUAUUAUACCUAUCGGAUUUAGGGAUGGCAGCGGGGCGGGGUUGGGGCGGCGGACCCCUCCCCCGCCCCCCGCCCCGUUGCCUAUUAGUUCCCCCCGUCCCCCGCUUCCCGCUCCUCCCGCCCCGCCUUGCCCCGCUUCCACCCGCGGGGUUAAUAAAAUUUUAUUAUUAUUAAAUUUUAAUAAAUAAUCAAGUACUAAAAUAUCAACACAUCACCAAAUUAUUAUUCAUUGUAAUUUUACAAUUGAAACUCAUAAAAACAAUCAAACAUAAGUUAUUUGAAUACAAUCCAAUAUGAUGAAAUAAAUAUAACUAAAAUAGUCAAGUUUUCACUUUUAGUACAAAUACAAUCACUAAUUCAUUAUUGUGUUUGUGCUUUUUUUUGAGAAAAAAGUGUUAUUCUAUUAAGUGUUAUUAGAAAUUUAGUAUAAAUGUAUUAGGAAAAUUUAGUAUAACUAAUUAAUAAAUUCUAUUAGUAGACAUGUAUAAUUAUUCAUAUAAUUGAUAAUAUCAAUUAUAUUACAUAAACUAAUAUACAUUAUAUAAUACAUCUAACUAAUAAUAUCAUUAUCAUAAGUUUAUAACUAAUUAACUUACAUAUUAUAUAUAAUUAUAUAAAUAUUUAUAUAUAUAUAUAUUUUUUUUUUUUGCGGGUGGCGGGGCGGGGGAUGGGGCGGGGGUAUACUCCCCCGCCCCCCGCCCCGUUUCUAGGCGGGGGGAAAAAAUUCCCCCCCGCCCCCACCCCACCCCCCGCCCCGAGAGCCCCCCGCGGGCACCCGCCUCCAUUGCCAUCCCUAAUCGGAUUGUAGUUAACUACAGGUUUGUACACAUAUUCACUGUUACUUCAAUCUGACGGCACGCCGUAUCGGUUACAGCAGUAGCAGCAAGAGCAAGGCGCACGCUAUCGGCUGCACCGGCCAAAAUUUCAAACAUUCAUUUUUUUUGGCUUCCAAAUAUGAAAAAGACGUGGAAGGAACAGCAAUUUAUGCAGCGCAUUUCUUUGGUUCAAGGAUAGAAAAGGAACAGAACGGCGUUAUUGUCAACCAUCUCUUCAUAAUCGGAGCAUUAUACUAAGGUGUUGUUUCUUAGUUUAUGUUACAAAAAAUCAAACACAGCAAUUCAUGCAGCGCAUUUCUUUGGUGCUAAGGAUAGAAAAGGAAUAGAAGGGGUUAUUGUCAACCACCUCUUCAUAAUCAGGGCAUUAUAGUCAAGCAACAAACACACAACCCGUUGCCUGCCCAACUGGUCAAGUAUCAGGCCAUUGAUUAAGAUUUUAACAAUCUCCAAAUUGACGCAACUACCCACCUACUCAUGGUGCCCAUGAGGGGCCUAAGCACUAUUCACACCCCUGAUUCCCCCUUUUUGUUUGCCUUUUAUUGAUAUAUAUACUAAUCAUUAUCAUUACUAUAUAAAAAAUACCAUGAGUCUUGGUAUUUUGGAGUGUAAAUUUAAGUAUUCUUGUAAUCUUCGUUUUUGUUAUUUCAAUUAUGUCCUUGUUAAUUGAUGAUUGAAAUUUCAUUAUACUCUUUUUAAUUUAUUAUGAUAAUUAAAAUUCAUUAUACCAUAUCUAUUGAUUUUAAAAAAUAAUAGUUGAUGAUAAGACAAAAUGUUAAGCAUUAGAGAUUAAGCAGAAUUUGGUUUUAGUUUUCUAUUUGUCCAAAAUACCAUUCUCACUAAUAAUCAUUUAACAUAGGAAUAAUUGUAGUAGUCAGGGAAAAAAGUCUAACCUUAAUUAAGUUUGAAUUAUGAAGCCAAUAAAUAAAAUAUAACACUUCAAUCCAAUGUAUCUCUUUACAUUCUAUUUCAGUUUUUUUAUUUUAUUAUAAAUUCUUGAUUAAUCACAGCCUAAUUAAACUUUCAAAUCGUCAAAAAUAUUUCUAUUGAUAUCAAAAUAAGGUGUUCUUAGGAUAAUAGAAUCUUUGUCAUUUAUGCUUUACAUUAGAUUCUGUCUCAAAAAUAAAAAAAAAAAGAAAACAAAAGAAAAAAAAAUAGAAGAACUCAAUUAUCUCUUUCAAUGAAAUUUCAAUUCUCAAAAAAUGAACAAUUAGAUGAAAAAAAUUUAUAUGUGGUAAAUCAUUGCACUCCAUUGUUAACAAAAAUAACACACAAAAUAAUAUAAAGAGUUCAAAUUAAAAAAAUAUACAUUUUUUUUUGUUUUUCAAACAACAGUGCAUGUAACUUCAUAUUGAGAAAUUUCAUUAAGAUACUAACAAAUUCAAUUUAAUAGCACGAAAAAUAAUAAUGAUGGAGUAUGCAACCAAUAUUUAUGCAAACAAUUAUUUUUAUUUUAUUUUUUUACCCUCCUACCCCUCCCUAACAAUUAGCAAACAUAACUUUUGGUUUGCAUGCAAAUUUAGGCCACCCAACUCUAAAAGAAAACAAAAAGUUGUACGUGUAUCUAAUUAAAAAUCAAACAAUGUUAGUGACAUUAUCACAAUUUGUUUGUCAUGCAAAAAAAAAAAAGAAGUAAUUAGAAGUAUCAAUAUUAUACAUACCAUUCAUAAUAUUGAUAUUUUUGUCAAAUCAUUUCAUAUUUGAUCAAAUCUUUAUUUUUUAAAAUGUUAAUUUUUCAUCUUCUAAUUAAUUGUCCUUAAAACUAUUAUUUUAAAUUGAAAGAGAUUAUAGGUAUCCUCAUUUAUUAAAAAUUCUUUAGAGAUUUUAUACGAAUUUAUAGAUAUAACAUUUUGCGAACUUUUUUUUUUUGCUUUUAAAAUGAUGGUUUUAAGGAUAAUUAAUCAAAGAAGAUAAAAAAUUAAAUAAAAAAGGAAAAAAUGCAGAUAUUAAAUUUUUUAAAAUAAUUUUCACAAAUAAAUUUAAUGUAAUGUACUAAUACUAAUAUUUAUAUAUGUAAGAAUAAUUAUAUAGAAAAUGUAAACAAAAUUACUAUCAUACUUACAUAUAUACAGUGCAGCAAUAAAAGAAUAGAUAAUUUUCCAGCCAUGGUAGUGUAAAGUUACUUGGAUUUGGAAAAGAAAAUCGUAAAUAAAUGCAUUUAUUUCUAUUUAUUAUAUUUGAAUUCAAAAUUGAUUGGCAUGGAAAUGAAAUAAAAAAUUAUUAUUGUAGUUUUUAUCAAAUUCAUGCUAUUGUAAUAGAGUGUCUCGUCUAAGGAACAUAUUACCGUAUUUGAAUUACCUUAAUUACCUAGCGUUUGCUCAAUACAAAUGUGUUUGUCAAAAACAUAUUCCCAAAAAAUUCUCCCUCUCCUCUGACCACCUGUCUCAUCGCCUCCCUAUAGUCCCUCCUUUCCCUACUCCUAACCACAUUUUCUCCCUUACCCCCUCCCACUUUCCACCCUUUUUUUUCACUUUUUGUCCUAAUCUACUGUGGCCUCCACCAAUGUUUUAAAAAUCGGACUGUUAAUUGAACCGGUGAAGUGAAAGGGUCGAUGUUCAACCGGUCGGACCGGUUCAACCUCGGUUCAAUGAAUUUUUUAAAAAAUUAUUUAUAUAAAUAUAUAUAUGUACAAAAUAAGACAUGUAAUGGAUUAAUUUAAUACUUUAUAUGAUGAAAGGUUUACUAUUUUUUAAUAACUUGGAUUUUUUAAAAAUAAAUUUUUUAAAUUAUAAGUUAAAACAAAUAAAUUUCACCUCGAUUUCAAUUAUGUCUAAAUCCAAUCCAAAAAUAUCACAAUAUUUUGAAAUUAUACAAAAUUCACGUCUAUGAGAAUUUAGAUAUUGUGAACUUAAAUUUUAAUUUACAUUUUAGAGAUUGUAAUUUAAAAAAGGAAGUUUGGAGUUCGAAGGAAGUCAAGAAAAUCGAAAAUAGAAAUGUAAACUUGAUAAGAAACAAAAAAUGAGAUAAAAGUGAGUGGUUGUAGCAUUAAAUAAUUUGGGUUAAAAAAUAAUUCUUUUUUAACUUUUUUCAAUUUAAUGGACAAAAACCAAAUUAAAAGAUGGAAGAAAACAUCAAUAAAUUAAAAAUAAAGAGGUUUGAUUAAAAAGGGAGUGACAAAAAAAGAGGAUAGAGAGAGAGAGAGAGUUGAAAAUUAAAAAGAAAGAGCCAUGAGCGGAUGAGAUUUUGUAAGAAAAAUGGAAAAAAGAAAUAUAAGUGUUUGCUUUAUAUAAAUAAGUUAUCAAAAAAAACUAAUAAGAUGCGAUGGUGCAACGGUUAAUACAUUGGUCUUCUAUUCGAAUCUUGAUAGCCGCAUUUUGCAAAAAAAAAAAAAAAAGGAAGGUUGAAAACCGGUUCAAUAGCGGUUCAAUCGCGGUUUUUACGGUUCGACCGGUUCUUGACCGGCUUUCUGACAAAGUCAACUAUGGCAUUGAACCGGACCGGUGCCAUGGCCUGGUCGAACAAAAAAAAAAAGGAAGGUUGAAAACCGGUUCAAUAGCGGUUCAAUCGCGGUUUUUACGGUUCGACCGAUUCUUGACCGGUUUUCUGACAAAGUCAACUAUGGCAUUGAACUGGACCCGGUGCCAUGGCCGGUUCGCGGUUCGACCAGCCGGUCCGGUUCGGUUUUCAAAACAUUGGCCUCCACGCCCUCUUCCUCGAACACAAAGCGGAGGUGAAAUGAGGUACUGUUUUGGUGUUCUUUUUUUUUUUCUGGAUAUUUUGGAGUAUCUUUAGCAAGUUACUGUAGAUUUUUUUUUUUUACAAAUUAUUUAUCUUCCUAAAAUACUCAAAAAACACGGAUGCUAAAACAAAAACCUAGCUUUUUAAAAACAUUUUUUGUUUAAAAGCCGGAAAAGAUUUUGGCUUUACCACUAGUUUAAAACUUCGGAUUAAUAAUUAAGAUUAAACAAUAAUGUUUUAAGUUUAUCUCCAGAAGGACUAACAGACGAGUUGAAUUGCCAUUUUCCUCUUUCGCAUGUUUGCCAUCAUACUUUAUUGUCCCUCCGGAUUGGAACGUACUCAGUCAGUAAAGAGAUGAAGGCCACAACAACAACAUGAUUAACAAAACUCGAAGUGAAAAUGCCAACCAAUCAUUAUCCUUUUUGGUUAUUAGAGCAUAAUACUAGAAAUAUGUGUGUGAAAUAUUUCACUUAUCAUGGCGAUGUACACUUUCAAUGCAACGAAUGUACAAUUCAAACAUGAGUUUAUGUUGUAAUGAAUAUGUAAAUAAGAGUUACAUUAUAGAGCACAAUUGUUAAGGCACUUUUUAUCUAUUCAAUGAGAUUAACACAAAUGCACCAUCGUUCAAGUUAUUCUUUGUCUAACGCCAUUAGUCAAGCACUUCAGCAACAGGCGAGAGAUGUGUAAUUAUGUUGAUGCCCCUUUCUUGAUAAGAUGGAAGCAAAUGCAUCAUUCAAGUUAUUCUUGGCCAAAAUUCAUUCAUCAUUUUUUUUUAAAAAAAUAAUAAUAAGAUAACGACAAUGGCACGCCAAUCCCCCAUGAAAGUGAGCUCAACAUCUUUAGUUGUGUAAAGUUUAAAAGGCUCACUUCUCGACAAUUUUACAAUUUAUUCAGAAUACUUCAUAUCUAAGAUUCCAUUUUCUCUUUCCAAAAAUAAAGGUUCAAGUAAUUUGACAUCACAAGCCUGAGAUACAAAGGUAAUUCUAAGUGUUUUACAUGUUUUUCAACUUAAGAAUGCGUUACAUUUUGUGGACGAUGUUGAGCUCUUAUUUUAAGAAUGCGUAACUGAUUAAAUAGAAUGAGACACGGAGGUCAUCGUCCAUAAAUCAGGCUACUUUUUGAAGCCAGUUCCCAAAACGUGACGGUUUUCAAACAAACGUAAUCACUGAAUGCGUUUUUUCAGGAAAGGCAUACGCUAAAUGCAAUGUUUAAAAUUUUAAGAAAAAAUAUAGUUUUAGUCCCUACUGUUUAAUCUACAUGCAAUUUUAGUUUUUAAAGUUUUGAUAAAAGUAAAUCUGGUCCUCAAUAUUUAGUAUAUGUAUAGUUUUAGUCCCUAUAGUUUUGGCAAUAGCAAAUCCGAUCUCCAAUAUUAUCAAUUUGAAGCAUUUUUAGGACAACUGGUGAAUUUUUCUAAAUAUUGAUCGAAUCAGUCAUGUUUGGUCACAUAUUUGUUGAAAAACUUCUUAAAAUUUAAUGAAAUAACAAGUAAUCUUGAACAGUAAGAAUAACUUGCACGCUAGCACAUUAAUAACUAAUUAAUCACGAGAAAAAGAAAGAAAAUUUGUUAAUCUAUAACUAAAAUUAGGUAUUACAAUUUUUUUUUUUGCUUGGAGACACGAGGGAUAGUCAAUGAAAAUGAAUUUUGGAUCGAUGAACUGGGUACAUUGAAGUUUUAGUUUAAAAAUUUUCCUUCUUUUAACUAUUUAAUUAGUUAGCACAUGAGUUAUUAGUUUUCAAUUUUGAUGCUUCAAGUUAGCUACUCUUUUGCUUCUUUAUUUUGAAAUUUAAAUUAAUAGGCAAAUGACUAAACGUGGCUCUAUUUUGUUAGUAAUUGAGAUAAAAAUUCUUCAAAUGUCCUAAACCAGAUUCAAAUUGGAUAUAAUGGGGACCAGAUUUGCUCUUGCUAAAAUUUUAUGGACUAACACUGUAGACGUGCUACAUAUUAAGGAUCAUGUUUGCUGUUGUUAAAACUUUAAGGACUAAAUCUGUACAUGGGCUAAACAUUGAGGACUAAAACUAUAUUUUUUCCAAAAAUGGAAAAUUUAUGCCUUCAAAGAAUGAAAAGUGGGAUUUAGCAAAUGCAAUUUUUUAACAAUUGGGGUCGGUCUAGUGGCCAAAAGAGAGCCUUUAGAGUUUUUAUGAUUGUUAGAUUUAGGGUUUAAAUCCUGUAUCUGAUAAUUGAUAGCAGGAAAGGUAUAGGAAUGGGUGGAAGGGUUAAGAAAAAUGCAACUUUUCUCAAACAUUGCAAUUACGAAAUAUAUUUUUCACCCUUUGGGAAGAAGUUUGAAAAACAUCAUUUUUAGGAUUUUUUUUUAAAAAAAAAAACUAGCACUCAUUCGGUAUAUACUCCAUCAUCCACUAGAUAAUUCUAUUUGCAAAACCAGCCAACUAGCAAAAUAAGUAAUACAUUGACAAAUUGGUCUUUUCCAAUUUGAUUGUGAUCAUAGUUCAUUGUCCCUCCUGGAUGGAACUUUAAGUUACACCACUUUUCCAACAGUCAUUCAGAUACAUUCAGAUUAAAGGGUUCCGGCAUUCAAUCAGUAAAGAUGAAGGCCCCAUCAACAACACGGAUUGAGGGCUUUUAUAAAUCCAUCACACCAUUUUUGUUAUUUCUUGUUAAUAAAACGUAAUUGUAUUGGAAGUUGAGUUGGAGCUUGGGACAGUUGACGUGGAUGCAUAUGAACUGUCUCACAGAUUAUGGUGAUUAUACACCUUCAAUGCAACGAGUGUACAAUAUUUUAAGCAUGAGUUUCGUGUUGUAAUGAAUAUGUAAAUAAGAUUUGUCUCAAGCAAUUAUGCCUAAUAAGAUUCACUUUGUAAAAAGGUGAAGACCCCAGCAACAAGCCAAGCAUCCAACUUUGCCAACGAAGCAGUGCUCUACACGAAUUGACGGCUCAUUAUUUCUUGUACCCAUAAAUAUCUCUGUGGUUAGUGUGAAUGCAGCAAAUUAAUAUGCAAAUGAGAGUCACAUUAUGGUUAAUUAAUCUUGGCCAUAAAUUAUCUCGGGCAAUUAUGCCCUGUAAUUAUUCAGGCUUUCUUUACACAUUUAAUGAGAUUGAGACAAAUGCACCACAAAAGUUUUUCUUUAUCAAAGUGAAACAGUUUGACAAAAACAAAGAAUAUGUAAUUAUUGAUGCCCUUUGAUGUCAAGAUUGAAGCAAAUGCAUCUUUCAAGAUACUAACCCCACCGACCGAUUUUUUUUUUUUUUUUUUUUUAGAAAAAGGAAAUUGGAUUGUAGGUCGAAAAUCCGACACCAAUCCCGCAUGAAAGUGCACACAAAAUCCUUGGUUUUGUGAAGCUUAAAUGGAUCAAUUCUGAACUGAUGAUUAUUUUACAAUUCCUUGAUGAUUGUUCUCUUCAGAAAAUAUACGUUCAAGUAAUUUGAGAUCACCAAUUGACUGAACAUGGUCUCUUUGUGGGUCCUCCUUAGAUUGCUUUCGUGAUCGAUUUUCCGAUGACUCCUGCAUUGGUUUAAAUUAGCAGUGUGUGUGUUUAUUUCGUUUCCGAAAAAAAAGUAAUUUGAGAUCACAAGUUUGGUACACAAACCUAUGAACCAUCCACUUUAUGUCUCUAUUCUUAACCAGCAAAGAAGCAAGGUAGCUGGUCCAAAAAGAAGAUUCCCUGUUUGUUUGUAAUAAAAAUGAGUCCCACCGUAGAAUAAAGCAGGAGCACUCGAAGACUUAUCUUAGAAGCACUUCAAAUUCUUUUCUUCUCCUUAACAUAUUUGCUUUUAGGUGAUGCAGCUGAAGAAUUCCUUCUUAUCUCAUUGCAAAAGGCGUCCUGAUCAUCACCUUAACUGAUACCAGAAUACUAAGCCUCAUGAAUGAGACACGAAGCUGAUCAUCCAAAAGAAGAUCCAAAAUAACUGUUAAUUAUAAAGUACUAAUUGGGCAAUGUAGAACCCUGGAAAAGCAUUCAAUCAGAAAAAGGUGAAGACCCUAGCGACAAGCUAAGCACCAAUUCCUUUGGAAAUUAAAGCAUCCCACUUUGCCAACGAAACACUACUCCACACGGAUUGAGGGCUCAUUAUUUGUCACAUAAUUAUCGUCAUUAUCAUUAAAGGUGAAGACUGUUAGCUUCCUUAUAAAACCCCCGUCAAUAAAAAAAAAUUCAUCUCACUCUUCCUUCUCUUGACCACUAACACUCUGGUGGAGCGAAAAUAGAGAAACUAUUUGUGCCGUCUUUUUACUUCAAGAUCAGGUAACCUCCUCUUCUAUUCAUAGUUUCUUCAUAGUAUUACGGAUACAUUGACAUGGGGUGUAUGAUGGAAUUCUUUUUUGUCAUAUGAAUUUUCAAAACUCCUUAAUGAAUCAAAUUUAUACUCUUUUUAGUUGUUUUCUGGAUACUUGAUUGUGCUUUUUCUUAAAUACUUGAUAGCUUAUUCUUUGGUCUUCUACCUGAUUAUAUGAAUAAUUAUACGGCUUCAAUGAUUUUUCAAAAUUAUCCCUAUUUAACAAUCCUGGACAAGUAGGAUGAGAGAUUAUGAUGUAUGUAUUGCUAGGAAAGUUCGUUAAUUUGCAUUUAGAUCAAAGUUUAAACAAGUUGGAUAAUUGAUAAUUUAUUCCCGUUGAAUCAUCUUAGACAUCAAUUUAUGCUGCACUUAGUGCUGAUCUUAAUCACUCACAACUAUGAUCAGAUUAUCACCAAUUAAUGGCUUGGCAUAAUCCCUCACAACAACUUUUGCCGGUUCUUUUAGAUGGAGCUAUAUACUCGUAAGGCAGCAUACGACAUGAAAUAAUUGAUUUUUUUUCCAAGUAGUAUUGGGUGGCAAACUAUGAUCAUAUUUUAAGGACCUCGUAUAUAUAGUAAGGUUGUCUGAUUAGCAACAAAUUUAUUAUUUUAGUUACCUACUGACUCAUAAAAACAAAUACACUAACAUUAAUACUUUCAGAUGGAUAAGAAAUCACACGAAGAUUCAAAUCAGUUUCACAUCCAACAAAAACAAUGACAAUUAGUUGGUGUUGAUGUUAUUUACCAUGUAACAAAAUUGAUCAUGCCUCAAAGGAUUUGUUGCACAAAUUAUGUUGAAUGACCCAAUGGGUAUCGAUCUAAACAAAGUCAGAAUGUGCGAAAGGAAAUACUGAUGCAACUUAGAACAAAUCAGGUAUGUAGACUCGACAAACAUUGACAAAAAAUUCCUAAUUUUGGCCAACUUGGAUAUAUAAACUUAAACGGUGAUGUGAGGUGAAAAAUUAGGGGCAACAUGGAGGAACACUGGUCUAGGGGAAUUAUAUGACAAUUGUAGUUUUGAUGGAGUAAAAUAAUAAGCUCUUGACUUAGGUUCCGUUUGAUAAAACUGAAUCUGAAUUUUGAAGUCUGAAUUCUGAAAUCUGAAUACUGAAACAAUUAAUUUGCUGAAUUUUAAGCAUUGAAAAAAAUAUGUGAAUGUCUGAAUUUUAAUGCUAAACCUAUUUAUACUGUUUGAUAAAUAUUUAUUACUGAAUGCUUAAUAAGUUUAAUUUGACAAUUUUGCCCUUAUAUCCUUUUAUUCAAAAAAGAAAUAGAAUCUAUGAUUUGAUUAGUUUAAAAUUGUUAGGUAUGAAAAUGACAAUAUUUAUUUUUAAAUCAAAUUAAUAUAAAAGAUGAAAUAUAUUAUAUAAGGAAUAUGGAGAAGAUGUGAAAGUCAUUAAAAAGGGAGAAAAGAGAAACUAAAAAUCGUUAGAUAGAGAAUAUUAGGUUGUUUAAUUAGAUAAGAAUUUUGAAUAUAAUUAACAAAUAAGGGUAGAUUUGGUAAAUAAAAUAAGGUAGUUGAAGUAAUUCUAUUGAUUCUUAUCAGAAUUAAGCAUUCAGUUAGGAUUCUUGUAUUGAAAAAAAUACACACAGGUUCAGCAUUGCUUAAUAAGUUCAGCAAAUAGAUUUUCAUUUAUCAAACACUCAAAACAUUUGAAUGUCUGAAAAAAUUCAGAUUCAGCUAUGUUAUCAAACAGACCCUUAAACCUGAAGGUGUUUAAAUUUUCUUUGGCUUAAAGGCGUUUAAAUUUGAAGCUGUCAGUUUUGUUGCAAUUAUUUACUUUAGAAGAACUUUUUAAUUAAAGGGCACGGUUGUAAAACUAACAAGGGAGACAAUCUUUUCCUUUCACUCCUCCCAAGUCUCAAACAAAACCAAAAAAAUCAUUUCUUUUCUUUUCUUUUUUAAGUUCCCAAACAACAUUGAAGGAAAGUUGUCUAACUUAAUUAGUCAAACAUUCUUUAUGUUUAUAUAUAUAUAUAUGACUCAAUCCAAGGUUAUGCAAAAUUUAAAAGAUUUAAUAAUCAACAGUUCUACAAUUUGGACAAAGAAUCUCAAGAUUUCAUUAUUGACCAAAAGCAAGUAAUUUGAGAACACAAGCCUCACUACCAAGACACUAAGGUAACCAUCCGCUACACCUCUCAAAAUUUCUACUACACAGGAGGCAAAUUAACUGGUUUAAAAAGAGGGUCUGAUUUGUUUAUUGAUUUGCUAUAUAAACUUUUUGGUCCCAUUAAUUUUCGCUACCUUAAUUCCCUAAUUGAGGAACGGUCUUAUAAAAGUUUCACCACCUACUCAGAUUGCUACAAUUUAUAGUUCCAAUUUUCUUUUCAUCCGACCACAGUGGUUUAAUUUCUUCCACAACUAAGGCCCCCAUCAGUGACUAAAUCAGAUUGCGCUAAAAUUAUUUUGAGGUGCCCCACGCAAUUUGAUUAAUCACAAUUAUACUAAUCUGAAUCUCUCUUAUACAUCAGCCCACUGGAAUCGUUUAAUCAUCUCUCUCUUGUUCUGACUGGCUUCUAUUCUGAUUUCUGCCAUUUGUUGCUGAAACAUUCCUUCCAUCUCUGAUAUCAGAAAACCUUUCGAUCCUAGUUCCAAUUCCAAGCAAGAAACAAUGGCUGACGCUGUUAUCAGUGCUACUGUUGAGGUCGUCUUGGGGACACUUAUUUCCAUUGCUGCGGACCGCAUUGGUAUGGUUCGGGAGGUCGAAGCGGAGUUGGAGAGACUAAGCAACACUGCUGCAAUGAUCCGAGAUUUCUUGGCUGAUGCUGACGGGAAAAUGCAUACCCAAGGGGUGCGACAGUGGCUCAAGCAGCUAGAAGAUGAGGUUUUUAAAGCUGAUACCGUGCUAGACGAGCUCAACUACGACAAUCUUCGUCGGGAGGUGAAGUACCGAAAUCAACCAAUGAAGAAGAAGGUAUGCUUCUUCUUCUCCUUCUUUAAUGCAAUUGGCUUUAGUUCCAGCUUGGCUUCAAAGAUCCGGGACAUCAACACCAACCUAGAGAGGAUCAACCGGCAGGCCAAUGACUUGGGAUUGGUCAGAAAGCACCAAAAAGAAGCUGCACUCCCUGCUGAUGCCGCGGCAAGCAGACAGACCGACUCUAUUGUCGUUCCGAACGUUGUAGGAAGAUCCGGCGACGAGUCAAAGAUAGUGGAGAUGCUGUUGACCCCAUCUGAAAAGGUUCUUUGUGUUAUUCCCAUAACAGGCCCGGGAGGUUUGGGAAAGACAACUCUGGCGAAAUCAGUCUACAAUAAUCCAAAAAUAGAUGGGCACUUUGGCCAAAAAAUUUGGGUUUGUGUGGCUAAAGAACACAUUAAGAUAAUGGAGCAGUUCAAGCUCAUUUUAGUACAAUUGACACAAGAUGAAGUUAAAGUGGAUGGCAGAGAGGUUAUCGUUAAAAAAAUUGGAGAAAAGCUCAAGGGAAAAAAAUAUUUCCUUGUUCUUGAUGAUGUGUGGGAUCAUGAUCAAGGAUUGUGGAAUGAUUAUUUCAACACUUUGAUGGGACUCAACGAAACCAAAGGAAGCUGGUGUCUUCUCACUACUCGUCUAGAAUAUGUGGCUAAUGCUGUGCCUAGAGAUUUGCAAAUGAAUGAUCGUCCUUAUUUCUUAGCAAAGCUAUCAGGUGAUGAGUGCUGGUCCAUCAUAAAAGGAAAGGUGAUGAGUGCAGGGGAAGAAGUACCAGAAGAAUUGGAAGCACUGAAGAAGCAAAUUUUAAGGAGAUGCGAUGGCCUACCCUUGGCGGCAAGUUUGAUUGGUGGCUUGUUGCAUACCAACAGAAGAGAGAAGUGGCACUCCAUUGUGCAGGAGAGUAUUUUGAAUGAAUAUCAAAGCCAAAUUAAUCAAAUACUUAAGGUGAGCUUUGAUCAUUUAUCACCUGCAUCAGUUAAGAAAUGUUUUGCAUAUUGCUCAAAUUUUCCCCAGGAUACUCAAUUACGAGAAGAUGAACUAAUUCAGCAUUGGAUUGCGGAAGGUUUUGUUCUAAAGAAUAAUAGAGUGAUGGAGGAAACAGGAGGCGAGUAUUUGAGGAUUUUGUUGCAAAAUUCCUUGCUGGAAAAAGUCGAAGAGUCGUGGAGAACAUACUAUAAAAUGCACGAUCUCGUGCAUGAUUUUGCAAAAUCAAUUCUUAAUCCAGAAAGCAGCAAUCAGGAUCGCUACCUUGCAUUGGACUCUUCUAAAGGUUUGGAAGAAAAUACCAUAAGGACAAUACCAGCAUCAAUUCGCACAUUAUUUCUCCAUCUAGAGGGCGGCGUAUCUACUGACAUGCUUUUAAGAUUCAAGUGCUUGAAUGUUCUCAGAUUGUCUGGCGAUGAUGUCGAGUCUCUACCGAGCUCCAUUGGCAAACUACUACAUUUGCGGCUGCUCGACAUUUCAUCUUCUAGAAUCAGAAGUUUGCCGGAAUCCCUUUGCAAGCUAUAUAAUUUGCAGACACUAACGAUUGAUGAUGAUGCACUUGGAGGACGUUUUCCAAAACGGAUGAGCGAUUUGAUUAGCUUGAGGCAUCUAAAUUACUAUGAUUAUCUUCGAGAAUUUAAAAUGCCGGCACAGAUGGGACGAUUGACUGGUCUUCAAACUCUGAAGUUUUUUAUUGUAAGUCAAGAGAGGGGUCGUGGUAUCGAAGAGCUUGGGACCUUGAAAUAUCUGAAAGGAUCGUUGACUAUAAGAAAUCUUGGACUAGUGAAGGGCAAAGAAGUAGCUAAAUAAGCAAAAUUGUUCGAAAAGCCAGAUCUGUCUUACUUGGCGUUUGAAUGGGAGAGUGGGGAUCGGGAAAGCGAUAACCGUGAAGAGGAUGUGUUGGAAGGUCUCCAACCUCACCCAAAUUUGGAAAGGUUGGGAAUUCAAUAUUUUAUGGGUAAUAAAUUUCCACAAUGGCUUAUCAAUUUGUCAAAAUUGGAGGAAUUGCGGAUAGAAGGCUGCAAGAGAUGCAGUGAACUCCCCUCAUUAGGACAACUGCCAUCCCUCAAAAUUCUCUAUUUGAUAAGAUUGGACAACAUUCGAUUUAUUGGAGAUGAAUUCUACGGUAUUACUGCUAAUGAGGAGGAGGAGGGCAGAUCACGAGCAUCAGGGAGCAGCACUAGAAGGCAAAAAUUCUUUCCUGCCCUUGAAGAACUCACUGUAGUAGAUAUAGAGAAUUUGGCAGAGUGGAAGGAUGCAGACCAAGUGAGGUCAGCAACAGGUGAAGCAGAAGCAGAUGUCUUUCCCGUGCUGAGGAAUUUUCGCAUUCGAGAUUGCCCACAACUGACCACCAUUCCAACUCAAGGUCGUUUCCCAAGUCUUGAUGUAUUGGAAAUAAAAAAGAAUUGCCAUGUUUUGCUGGCAGAAAAGGUUUUGAGCAAUAUAGCCAAUCUCUCGUCCCUUGAAUUAAGUGGCGGUCAUGAAGGCAUCGAGUCUCUAAAAUUAGUGAAACGACCAGAGAGCAGCUUGAGUAUUGAUGGCUGUAACAGUCUACCCACUGACAUGCUUGAGCGACUCUGUCUUUUUCCAACUCUUCUGCGUGUAGAAUUGAGGGGUGCCGAUAAUAUAACAACAUUAAGAGGACAGAAAGGCCUGCUUAAGUCUCUUCAGGAAUUUACUGUCAAUGGGUGCGAUGCAUUAACAAGGUUACCAGUGGAGAUGUUCGAGUCGUGUACGUCUCUCCGAGUGCUGAAUUUGGUCGAUUGCCCCAAUCUGGUCUCCUUUCCCCUUGAUUUGCAACGAACCCCUUCUCUCGAGAGCUUCUCGUUAUUCGAGUGUCCCAACUUGAUUGCUGAGAUGCCUAGUGGAUUUGGCUAUCUUACCAGCUUAAAGAAAGUGCAGAUUGGUCCCUUCUCAGAUGUCUCUGUAAUCGAAUUUGAUUGGGCUGGAUUAGCAUCUUCACCAACACUCCGACACGUGUUUUUAUGGGGAAUGCCUGACAUGAAAUCUCUGCCACAUCAGCUUCAAUGCUUGACUACCAUCACAUCACUAUGUCUAAUUGGCUUCGAAGCAAUCGAAGCCUUACCAGAUUGGCUUGGGAAUUUUGCAUAUCUUGAAGACCUAAUCCUAUACUAUUGCCUAAAGCUUGAAUAUUUACCAAAAGAUGCCAUGAAACGCCUCAAAUUAAGACGUCUGGAAAUUAGUUAUUGUCCUCUAUUAACCGAAAGAUGCACUCCUCGUAGCGGCUCCGAGUGGCCAAAGAUCUCUAAUAUUACAGAGCUUGAAAUUGAUUAAAAGCCAUCUUUCUGAGCCAUCCGGUAAGAUUUCACUGCAAACUUUUGAUUAAUUGCUUCUCAUUAUUGGAUAUCACUGUUCUUCACCAUCUUAUUCUAUCCAUCUUUUUGCCUCACUCUUUUUCUACUUCUUCUCAUUAAAGUUUCUUGUCCCUCUCUGGUGGAACUUACACAAUUAUUCAAUCAGAAAAAUAUGAAGGCCCCAGCAACAACAGUGAUCGAGGGCCAAGCAACUUCCAUUGCAAAAGCAUCCAAAUUUCCCACCGAUGUCUUUUAAGUAUUCUACCGAAACAACUAAUGGCCGCCUUCAUUGACCAAACUUAGAAUUGUUGUGGCCGACAAAAUUUAGUCUAGGCUUUCAUACAGCUAUUCUUUAUCAAAUCAUGCAACAUAUAUUUAUUUGUAAACCAAAAACUUGCAACAAAUAUUUGGAAUUUUUUUUUUGAAAAAUAUUGUGACGUUUCUUUAAUCUGAUGUAUGAUGUAUGUGAGAUAAAAAAAAUAGUUAAAAAUGUAUUAAUAAUAUAAAUAAAUAAAUCUUGACAAAUAAUUUACAGUCACAAACAAACCCAUUACAGCCAGAUGACACGUUACUAUGAACUAUGAACAGAGAAUCUUUUAGAAGUUUGCAUCCGAAGAUCAAAAUAUUCCUUUGCUAACUUAAAUAUAUGCAUUUACCAUUCCAUGUACUGAGAAAUAAGUACAACAUUGGCAAUAAUUCAUACGGUAAUUCAGAUAUUUUCAGUAACAGGCCCCAGCAUUGAAUCAUAAAAAUAUGAAGGCCCCAGCAACAACAAUAAUGAUUAAGAAAGCUAGGGCGAAAAUGCCAAGCAUCCAAUUUCCUACUGAAUUGAAGCCCAGCACUAGACUGAUUGAGGACUCCUUAUUUGUCACAUAAUUAUCAUUAUUUAUUUCUUGUACCAAAACAUGGUAGUCGAAGUUGAGUUGGACCACAGGGUUGUUAAUGCGAGCAUAAAUAUCUCAUGUGAUUAGGGUGGUUCUACACCUCGAAUGCAACAAACGUAGUACAGUUUAAGCAUGGAUUUGUGUUGCAAUUAAUGUAUGCGAAUAAAAUUCAUUGUGUGAUUGUAAAAAAAUAAAUAAAAUUUCCUCUUAAUUUCUUAAAUUGGAGAAUAAAAGAAGCUGGUAAAUUGUUUUUUUUUUCUUUUUUGGCAAAGCCCCAAAUUGGGGUAGGGAUGCCAUCCCUUAAUUUAUUUAUAUCGAAAAAGAGUACAGCGAAUUAGAGGAGGGCCAAACCUGACCUCUGUUAAAGUAAAAGAAACAGUUAAGGAUCAACAAUAAAACGCACAUAUGGAAAAAUCUGGAAUAAUCUUGUGGGAUUGUGAGUGAGCAUGGGAAUUUGGUUUAACAUCUUGACGUGUUUGCAUUGUUUUACCUUUUUUUUGAAAGCUGCUUCCUCGCUCUCUUCGAAUCAUUUGGGUAAAUUGCUCGUGAACUAGGUUCUGGUCUUGAUCUUUGUCUUUUUCGCAUUGUGAAUCACCUUCCUCCUCUUCAUUUUUGUCAUCAUUGCAUGUUGUACUUGAAUGAAGAAAAGGCUUUUGAUGUACAAAGGGGAUCCUACCAUGUAAUUUCUCCCAUUUAAACUGUUCGAAAACAUCUUUAAAUUGCGGAACAUCUUUAAACCGUGACUUUUGAGGCAUAGAGGAUUUCAUUUCUAUUCUUGUACUUGUACCCACAAGGGGUGUAUCUCCAACUGACACCACAUCAUGUAGGUCAUGAAGAAGCCGGUAAAUUGUAAUUAACUUAUUAUACAAAAAAAAAAUUUAUGUUGUUUCUUCAGCUUUAUAAAUUUUUGGUGUGAAAAUUUUUUUAUUUGCUUAAGAAUAAAAAUUAAUAAAAAUUUUAAAAAGAGUAAUUUGGAAUAAAAACUAGAAGGGAAGGGAAAAAAAUGAAGAAAAUAUCAACAUAGUAGAGGGAUUUUUUUUCCUCUUAGUUAGGGGGUUAAGUGUUACAAAAUAGAAAUUAGUGGGUAAAAUGAAAAAUAGGGCAUACCUUAGCAAGAUAAAUUGUAAUUAACUCGUAUUAUUAAUUAAAUAAAUCUUAUAUACACUGACAGUGUAUACACUCUCACCGUUAGAUUCAUGACACGUGUGCAAAAAUUAAAUUUCAAAUUUAAAUUUUAUAUAGUUAUCAUUCAUCUAAUGCUGAUAAUGUAUACACUGUAAGUAGGAAAGAUUAAUCCUUAUUAAUUUAUUAUGUGAUCUUAACUUCAAAGGUGAAACUAAUAAUAUGGACCAUUAACGGUCGUACAUGAGCCAUUAAUUAAGAACAUCUUUAGCUUAAACUCUGACAGCCACUAAGUUUUUAACUUCCAUAUUUAUACCCCUGAAGCAAAUGUUUUGAGUAUAUCUCUAAAAGGACUAACAGAUUAGGUGAAUGACCAUUUUCCUUUUUCCCAUGUCUUUGCCAUCACACUUUAUAUAAAGUCCCAUUAGGCUGCAACGGACAAGUGAAAAUGCCAAGCAUUCAGAUCUUUUCAGAUUAAAGGGCUCCAGCAAGCAUUUACUCAAUAAAGAUGAAGGCCCCAGCAGCAACAGGAAUGAUUAAGAAAACUCAGGUGAAAAUGCCAAGCAACUUCCAAUGCGGAAGCAUCCGAUUCCAAGCUCGCCGACGAAGCAUUGCAAUUCUACACGACCGGAGGACUCUCAAUUGGUCACAUCAUGAACCUUUUUUUUUUCUUGUGAAUAGAACAUAAUACUAGAAGUUGAGGCGGAGCCGAGGGUUGUUAAGAUAUAUACAAUAAGAUUAUGGUAAUUGUACACCUUCAAUGCAAUGACUGUACAAUUUAAACACGAGUUUGUGUUGUAAUGAAUAUGCAAAAAAAAAAAAGGGUUACAUUAUGGUUAAAAAUUUUGCCAUAAAUUGUCUCAAGCAAUUAUGCCCAAUAAUUGUUAAGGCACUUUUUUAUCUAUUCAAUAAGAUUGAGAGAAAUGCACCGUUGAAGAUAUUCUCCGUCAAAAUUCAUUAGCCAAACAUUAUAGCGAAAACAAGAAAUGGAAGUGUUGAGGCUUCUUUAUUUAUUUAUUUUUUGGAUAACAUUGAAGCAAAUGCAUCAUUGUUAUUCUUUGCCAAAUUACGGCCAUCAGUUUUUUUUUUUCUAUUAAAAGAUAGUGACAAUGGCACGUCAAUCUCCCCUCAAAGUGAACUCCACAUCUUUGGUAGUGUCAAACAAGUGGUUGAACUUUAAUUUUCUAAAACAAUACAGCAGCGAACCACACAAUUACACUGUGCAUUCUUACUAUCAGGGUUGGUUAUUGUAACAUCUGAUAUUUGUAUGUAUGUGUGUGUAUAUAUAUAAGGGUGUAUUUGAUAAAAUUGAAGUUUGAAAAGUGAAAUCUAAAAUCUAAAGUCUGAAUUCAUUAAAUUAUUAAAAUGUUAUAUACUAAAUCAAAUACUUUUAAGUGUAUUUCACAUUCAAUGAUAAGUGAAUAGCUAGCUUAUCACUUAUUUUUAAGAACAAGCUUUGAAAUUCUCCUCUUUGCUCUAUGUGUGCGCGUGUGAAAUUGAGUUAUCAAACACGGCCUAAGUGUGAAUGUGUGUAUAAUGCUAUAUAAACGAGGAAACUUUGAUCUAGUGAUUAAUGUUGAAAAGUCAGAAAUUAGAGAUUCAGGGUUCAAUUCUCCUCUUUGCUCACUCCACUUCUUAAAUCUCCUUCUUCCUUACUACACUUCUUAAAUCCUAGAAAGCCUUGCUUUAGUGGUUAAUGUUAAAACUUCUUAUAUCUCCUCUUUCCUUACUCUACUUCUUAAAUCCUAUAAAGUUUUGGUCUAGUAGUUAAGUUUGAAACUCCAACAAUCAGAGGUCCAAGUUUCACUUCUUGUCUUUUCUCACUUCACUUCUUAAAUCCUACCAUUCAUGUGAUUUUUUUUUUUAAAAAAACAAUAUAAAUGUUUUUGAUUUUAUUUUCAAAGGACUCACUUCUUAAAUCCCACUCUUACUGUGUUUUUUUAAAAAAAAAAAUUACUACACGAAUGUUUUUGAGUUUAUUGCUAAAGUACUCAUCAAUAAAUGAGGUGAGCUGCCGUAUGCAUUUUUCCAAUUUGAUUAGGAACGUGUAGUUUCUUGUCUAUCUGGGGUGGAACCUACACCAGUGUUAGAACAACCAUUCAAGCACUUAGUACAACAGGCCCCAGCAUUCGGUCAAAAGAUAUGAAGCUCAGCAUUCAAUUAUAAAAAAUGAAGACCCCAGCAACAACAAUGAUCAAGUGAAUUCAAACUCCAACAGUUAUUCCAGAUUUAUCAUGAUGGUUAGUUAAUUUCAAAUGCAAUUGAGUCGGAUUCUCCCUUAGUAUAUAAUAAUGUAGAAUUAGUGUAGCUGCUGUGGAUUCACAAAAUAAAUAAAUAGAAAUAAAAAAAUAAAAAUAAAACUUCCACAGAUUAAGGGCUCAUAAUUUGUCGCAUAAUUAUUCUUGACAGGUCGUCAACCUGUGCAAUAAUAAAAUUAAACCUAAUUGCCAGUUAAAAUGACCAAAACCCAAUUCCAAGUACUGGAGCAGGGACUCUAGGUGUGCAAUGGGUUACUUGAUUCACCCUGUUCCCGAAGAGUUUGCUUGAUCCGAUAUACCCGAAUGGAAUGGUUAUUCCUUUUCACAAAUGAUUAGGAAUUUGUAGACAGGGCAAGUAGGGUCGUAUCCACAGAGACUGGGUAUAUUUGUUUCUUAAGAAAUCCAAAGUAACACAGGGGGUGAUUUUGUAGGAACGACGAUAAUUAAAUAAAUUCAAAUGAGAAAGUAAAAAUAAAUAAUUAACUAGAAAUUAAACCACAAUUUACUGAACUCAGGAUAACAAUAGUUAAAGGCCUCAAUUAAUUAAAAUAAGGAAACAAUCAAAAAUAAAAUAAAGUAGGUAAUUAAAAGUCAAAUGGCAAUCCACUACAAUCAAGGAAAUAUUAACUAAAGAUCUAGCCAAGAAAUAACUUCAGCAAUGGUUCACCUAAUCGAUCAUUGAUGCAAAGCAAUCCCAAUUAUUUACUAAUAAAUAGGUUAUAACUACCAAACAAGCGAUGGCAGUCAACCCCUCCUUACUGUGUCGGUGAUCAAGGUACGCCCGUUAAUCACUGCUCUAAUUGAGAAAUAAUCCUAGGUACGCCCGUAGAAUUUAAUUCCCCAACUGCCUUACGUAUUAGAGGAGCCCUAUUCUACCCAAAUAACACACUACCAGGGUUAUUUUAGAUUAGCCCGCGUAUCCCCCUGACACGAAUCUAAUCGUGCCAGUUGUCACUAAUUUGAGGUAAUUAAACAAUUACGGAUUCAAUACCCCAAUUGACAAUAGAUUAUCAAACCAAUGAAUUAUCCGGAUCCAAGACAAUCAACUAAUUAAAUAAUCAUAAGCACUGCAACCAAGGAAUAUGCGAAUACCAAUAAAUAAAGGAAAAGAUAAAAUUAAAUCGAUCUCACAAUUUACAGGUGACCCAAAGCAUCAGUCGUUUCUUGACUAGAACGAGGGGGUUAGCUCAUAUUGGAUGAACUAAGCCCGCGGGAAAUUCCAGCAAAAGUCACGGCCGUUGUAUGCAUUUCAAGAGCCGCAAUUCGUCAAACACUUGGAAAGCGAAUGUAAGGCACGGGUAACAAUUGAAACUUUCUAAUUGUUCCUAGCAUUCGUAAAGCAAAUUCACUCCAGAAGUACAGUGAGGAAAAGUCAAAGAAAGUGGGCUUCAAUUCCUUGCUCCUGACAUGCGUGGAGACAAGCCAAUGCAAGACUACAAUAAACUAACAAGGAAAAGUCAAGAAUUGGAGCUAAGCUCCCCUGCCAUGCGCAGGAAUCCCAAAAGUAAAAAGUAAAGCUUCAAAGAAAAGUCAACAAUUCUUCCUAAGCUACAGACGGAAGAUCCAGCACAAAAGCCAGCUCCCUUUUUGAUCCCUUUUUCCCCCUUCUUAUUGCGGCGGCUCACCAGGAGAGGAGAGCCCUCCGUCCGUCCUUUCUUCCGGAAAUUACCAAAAUGGGCAUGACAUCUUCUCUUCCAAAAGUGCCCCUGGGACAAGCUUUCUCAUCUGAAUUCUUUUUUUUUCCAAUUUGGCACCUGUUAUCAUAUUUAUAUUCUACUCCCUGAAAUAAACGUCAAAUACUAAAAGUGAGUAGAAUCCAGCAAAUAAAUCCACAUCAAGUCAGGUAAUAGGAGGAAUUAAUAAUAAAAUAAAUGAAUAAAUUGCACCCUAUCAAUUCCCUCCACACCUAAACCAUGCUUGUCCUCAAGCAUAAGAAAAGUAAACGAACACCAAAAUUCGACGAUAGCCAUUGCCCAAUCUCCUAUAUUGCCAAGACAUUCAAGAGAAAAACACAUAUCGAGCAUUGGUGAUUAGAAUCCCAGAAGCAUCCCCCCGGUUAGCCCUUAAACUGCAAAUUCCUUCAAUUUCCAGGUUAACUAUUCUAAGAAAAAGGAAUGGCACGCAACAUUUAUCAGCUAAUGGUCCAAAUAUUCACACAAGUCCCCAUAUUAAGUCCAUAAACCAGCAAGAUCUCCUAUUAUUUAUUCUCUUUUUUUUUUCUUUUUGUGUGUUUUUUUUUUUCUUUUUUUUUCUCUUUUCUUUUUUUUACGUUUUUUUCAAGCAAUAAUAAUAUUUGACACAAGAAGACUUAGUCUCUAGCCGCCGGAGCCUUUUGACGCGAACUCCAUCAUUUUUAGAUGAAGGAGCCCGGUUACUCAGCUUCUGCCGCUAUACGACCACGUACUCAUAGAAAGUACCACCUUUUGACGCGAGAAUCGACACUUUUAGGUGCAGAUCCCCGGUUACUCAGUAGUGACUAAUAGCGGAGUACAGUCCAGAUUAUUCACAGCCAAACAAAGCCAAAAACACGAAAUACCAACACUAGCAACUAAGCAUAGGGGCAGCUCGCCUCAUUAUUGCCAAACAUGGAGAACUGGAGUCAAUAUUGGACCAGUUCACCUUAAAAUGCCAACAGUCAUUCCCAACGCCUAGAAAAGUUAACAAAGAAAUCAAAAGAGCCAAGCAAUCCGAUAUUCACCAAGGAGAUAUCUUGGAUCCAACCACAUCAACCCGAUACAUACUUAUUUUAAAAACUUGGCAAAAGUAGAAUUAGAGUCAAUGAGCCAACAUCCAAUCAAUUUUUUUCUCUUUUCUUUUUCUGUUUUUUUUUUCAGGAGAGAUAAGCACCAAGCAGAAAGAAAGAAAAUGAGCAACUAGAAAUAAAACUAAAAACUAAAGAAAACUAAAAACACUAGCACCCCAUUAGACCCCCCCACACCUAUAGGACACAUUGUCCUCAAUGUGACAAAUAACCAACAAAAGUGGGUGAGAGGACAGAAACACUUCCCUGAAAUCCGGUCAAAGAGGUGGGCGAGGUGGAGCUGGAGGAGGAAAGCCCGUAUGAUGCAGAAAUUGCGCCAAAUUCUGUGCUAUGCCCGCUACAUUGAGGUCGACGUUGAGCAUUCGAGCCUCCAAAUUCUGAACCCGCUCCUGGAGUUGUUGCCAUUCAGUUGACCCAUAUGGUGGAGGUCGCGCAGAAGAUGACGGCCCAGCGGUGUCCUCGGCCGACCCAGGGAAUGAAGAGUGCCCCGCCUGCGUUGAAGGCUGUGCACCCGGAGCUCGAACUGGGCCCGGAGGUGUAAACUGGUGGAAACCAUUGGGUAGGCGCUCGACGACUCCCAUUUUCUCUAAGCAGUUCACGUCCAGGAGCUCCAUCUCGAAAGCCAAAUGUAAGUCGUGGUCCUCCAGACUAAGAACUCCCAACUCCACAGGGACUACCCCAGGCGGCAGACAGAGAAGCGGCGUUGAAGCUGGUGGUCGAGCGGGGCGACGCUCGCGUCGGCGUGCGCAGCGGCGACGGCGCGCGAGGAUGGAGUUUCGUGGGGAGGUCGCGUGCGGGCUUGGGCUGAAGACGCGGCGCGCGCUAGGGCUUCGCUGCGGCAGGGCGAGCAGGAGGCGGCGACUGGCGGCGCGCGGCUGGAAUUUCAACAGCGGCGGCGUCGAUGGAGAUCUUGUAGUGGCUGUGCUGCUCGGCGGCUGGCUGUGCGAGGAUGGGGGCUGCGUGCGGCUGCUCGCGGCUGGUGAUCUGGCGGUGGAGAGCAGCGGCGAAGGGCGGCGGCGGCUUGGGCUGGUCGAGCGUGCGGCGGGCGAAGAGAGCAGGAGAGCAGCAGGGGAGAAAGAAAGAAAAGAGAAAGAAAGAAAGAAAGAAAAAGAAAGGAAAGAAAGAAAAGAAAAGAAGGAAAAGAAAAAGGAAUUUUUCUUUUUUUUUUUUUUUUACUUUAGGCUACGGUUUAGAGGACAAAUUUUUCUUCUUCUUGUUUUCUUCUUUUUUAUUUUUUUUUUAGUUUUUAAUUUAGUAUUAUUAUUAUCAUAUUUAAUUGAGGAAAGAAAAAAAAAAUGUUUUUUUUUUUUACUUGAAUAAAUGAAAUGAUAAUAAUAGUUUUUCUAUAUUUUUCAUAUAUUUUUUUUAAAUCCCUACCUUUCCCGCGAACGUGACGCGGGCACGUCAAGAGGGCAGGAGAGCUCCCAGAAGUUUCAGAAUUUCCUGAUCGUGAGCGCCCUGCACGUCACCACGCGGGCACGUCAUGAGGACAUGAGAGCUCCCAGAAGUUUCAGAAUUUCCUGAUCGUGAGCGCCCUGCACGUCACCACGCGGGCACGUCAUGAGGACAGGAGAGCUCCCAGAAGUUUGAAGUUUCUGAUUCCUGCCCGUCAUCACGCGGGCGCGUCAUGACUGAAGGUCACCUACAAAUCAGCAAAAACGAAAACUAACACCCAAAAUCAGUCAAAUUCAGGGAAAGCAGAUUUAAACUAUGCUACAAAACCAACAAACAAUUAAAAGAAAUAAUUAGGUUGCCUCCCAAUGAGCGCCUUUCUUUAAUGUCUUUGGCUAGACAUGGUAAAGUGUCACUGAUUAGGACACGGUGGUGCGUCAAGCCUUAUUGUCUCCACCUCUCUACCUGAAAAUCCUUCGUAAUAAUAUUUGAGACGGUGUCCAUUCACCACAAUUUUGUUGUCUGUCUUAGCACUCCGGAUCUCAACUGCACCAUAGGGAAAAACACGAGUAACAAUGAAAGGUCCAAUCCAACGGGAACGUAGCUUACCUGGGAAUAGCUUGAGCCUGGAUUGGUACAGGAGGACCUUCUGACCAACCUCAAAUGUUUUUCUUGAAAUUUGUUGGUCAUGAAAUGCCCGGCUUUUCUCUUUAUAAAUCAAGGCGUUUUCGUAUGCUUCGUUCCGGAUCUCCUCCAAUUCUUGCAAAUCCAACUUCCGUUGAGCACCGGCCUCCUCUAAAUUCAUAUUGCAUUGCUUUAUCGCCCAAAAAGCCUUAUGCUCGAAUUCCACUGGAAGAUGACACGGCUUCCCAAAUACCAACCGGUACGGUGACAUCCCUAUAGGAGUCUUGUACGCCGUCCUAUAGGCCCAAAGUGCAUCUUCCAACCUUUGGCUCCAGUCUUUCCUAUCAGGGCGCACCAUUUUCUCUAAAAUGGACUUAAUCUCCCGAUUUGUCACCUCCGCCUGACCAUUGGUUUGAGGGUGGUAUGACGUUGAGACCCUGUGGAGUACACCAUACUUGCGAAACAACGCAGCUAUGGUUCUGUUGCAAAAGUGCGUUCCCCUAUCACUGACAAUAGCUUUAGGCAUUCCAAACCGCACAAAGAUAUUAGACCUGAUAAAAUCUGCAACUACUCUCGAAUCAUUAGUUCGAGUGGCCUUAGCCUCCACCCAUUUAGACACAUAAUCAACUGCUAGCAAAAUAUAUAAAAAGCCAAAUGAAGUAGGAAAAGGCCCCAUGAAAUCUAUACCCCAGACAUCAAAAAUUUCAACAAAAAUCAACGGGACCUGGGGCAUUUGAUCUCUACGGGCUAUAUUACCUACCCUUUGACAGCGAUCACAUGACUUACAAAACACAUAGGCAUCCUUAAAUAAUGAAGGCCAAUAAAAUCCACUUUCCAAAACCUUAUGAGCAGUUCUCUUAGGUCCAAAAUGACCUCCACAGGCAAAAGCAUGACAAAAAGCUAAAAUUGAUUGAAAUUCCACUUCACUUACACAUCUCCUCAUUAUUUGGUCUGCACACCUUUUCCAUAGGUACGGGUCGUCCCAAAUGAAGUACUUGGCGUCACUCUUCAAUUUAUCCUUCUUCGAUUUUGGCCAACCUGCAGGAAAAUCACCCGUUACUAGAUAAUUGACUAAAUCAGCAUACCAAGGCAAUUGAGAAUUUAAGGAAAAUAAAUGCUCUUCAGGGAAUGCAUCUUUCAAUGGCUCCUUAUCCUCCCCAAUUGGUAUGCGACUUAAAUGGUCUGCUACUAGAUUUUCUGAGCCUUUCUUGUCCUUUAUCUCCAGGUCAAAUUCCUGUAGUAGCAAUAUCCACCUGAUGAGUCUCGGCUUUGCAUCUUUCUUGGUCAUUAGGUACCUUAAUGCUGCAUGGUCAGAAAAUACAAUUACUUUAGCACCUAGCAAAUAUGACCUAAAUUUUUCCAAAGCAAAAAUAACUGCAAGAAGCUCCUUCUCAGUGGUGGAAUAAUUCAACUGGGCUCCAUUCAAGGCCCGGGAUGCGUAAUAGAUGACAUGAGCUGCCUUCCCUACUCUUUGCCCCAAUACAGCCCCAAUAGCAUGAUCACUGGCAUCGCACAUGAUCUCAAAUGGCAAAUUCCAAUCGCGGGGUUGGAUGAUUGGGGGUGAAGUCAGCAAUUCCUUCAGCUUGUUAAAGGCCUUCUCACAUUUGUCAUUGAAUUCGAAGGUCACAUCCUUUUGUAGAAGUUGGAACAACGGGGCUCCAAUUUUUGAAAAAUCCUUGAUGAACCUUCGAUAAAAACCUGCAUGUCCAAGAAAAGAACGCACCUCCCGCACACUCGCGGGGUAAGGUAAUGCAGAAAUAAUGUCUAUUUUAGCCUUGUCAACUUCUAUGCCCUUAGACGAUACAAUAUGACCCAGGACUAUUCCGUGCUCAACCAUAAAAUGACAUUUUUCCCAAUUUAGCACAAGAUUAGUCUCUAUACACCUUAUCAGGAUUAAUUGCAGGUUAUCUAAACACGUAUCAAAACUAUCACCAUACACACUGAAAUCAUCCAUGAAAACUUCAAUAAUUUUCUCCACGUAUUCAGAAAAAAUACUCACCAUACACCUUUGGAAAGUCGCAGGUGCAUUGCACAACCCAAAUGGCAUUCGUCUGUAGGCAAAGGUCCCGAACGGGCAUGUGAAAGUUGUCUUCUCUUGAUCCUCCGGGGCAAUUGCUAUCUGAAAGUAUCCUGAAAAUCCAUCCAAAAAGCAAUAAUAAGCUCUACCAGCUAAACGUUCAACCAUUUGGUCAAUGAAAGGGAGAGGGAAGUGGUCCUUUUUAGUGACGGCGUUCAGCCUACGGUAGUCUAUACACUGCCUCCAUCCAGUGGGUUUGCGCACUGGCACGAGCUCACCCGUUUGGUUGGCUUCUACCGUUACUCCUGCCUUCUUCGGGACUACCUGGACCGGACUCACCCAAGGGCUAUCAGAUAUUGCAAAGAUGAUCCCCACAUCUAGCAGUUUUAGAAUCUCUUUCUUUACAACUUCCAUCAUGAGGGGGUUGAGCCUUCUUUGAGCCUGCCUAACAGGUUUGGCAUCGUCUUCUAGCCUAAUCCGGUGCAUACAGAUGGCCGGGCUUAUCCCCUUAAUGUCUGCGAUUGUCCAGCCUAUCGCCUCUUUAUGCUCCCGAAGGACUCGGAUCAAUUUCUCUUCCUGGAUUUUUGACAGUGCCGACGAGAUAAUCACCGGGAGUGUCUCAUUAUCACCCAAAUAUGCAUAUCUCAGGUGCUCUGGUAGAGGUUUCAACUCCAGUACAGGUGCCUGCACCACAGAUGGCAAUACCCUCUGAUGAGGCUCGGGAGUAAAAAUAGGUAAGACUUCAUACCUUUUCCUGGUGGUCUGCAAUGAGUGUAAUGCACCUAUUGUGCAUUUUAAAUCCUCACUCCACUCCACCUGAGGAGUUGUCUCCAACUCGAGGUGCUUGGUUAAAGCCACCUCCAACUCAUCCCUGCCAUCAGUUUCAAACACUUCCUGCACUACAGGAUCAAUAGCACUCACAGAGAAAACUGAGCUAAAGUUGGAGUUCGAGGGGUAUUUCAUAGUAUCAAAAAUAUUAAAAUGCACAAUUUCCCCAUCAAACUCCAUGGACAAGGUACCCUUAUUAACAUCAAUUUUCGUCUGUGCAGUGCUCAUAAAAGGUCUACCCAAUAACAAAGGUGAGGGAUCAGGGGAGUGAUCAUCAUCCAUAUCCAGUACAUAAAAAUCAGCUGGAAACACCAAAUCAUUAACUUUUACCAAUACAUCUUCAACCAACCCAUCAGGAUAUGCAUUAGUUCGGUCAGCUAAUUGAAUGAUAAUUCCAGUUUCUUUUAAUGGACCUAAUUUUAGAGAAGCAUAGAUAGACUUAGGCAUGACAUUAAUUGAUGCUCCCAGAUCCAACAUGGCCCUUCUGAUCACAGUAUUACCUAUCCUACAGGGAAUAGUAAACAUACCUGGGUCCCCGCACUUCGGUGGGAGCUUUCUCUGCAGGACCGCUGACACAUUCUCCCCAACAAUAACCCGUUCAUCCCCUCUCAAUCGCCUUCGGUUGACACACAAGUCCCUUAGGAACUUGGCAUAUUUUGGUACUUGUUUGAUGGCGUCUAAGAGGGGGAUAUUUAUCUCAACCUUGCGAAAAAUCUCCAAGAUUUCCCUCUCCUUAUCCUGCUUCUUUGAUUUUUCCAACCUGCUAGGAAAAGGAGGCGGGUUAGUCCUAACUGUAAUUGUUGGGUCAGGAAGUACCUGUGGAUCUGCACCAUUGCUGUCCUCCCUUUCGAGCUCACUUUCGAUCUUCUCUUCAUCCUUGUCCUUGGGGAUCAUAGGCUCAGGCCCUUGAACUUCCUUGCCACUCCUCAAGGUCAUGGCGCUCACAUUCUUCGGGUUCAACUCAGGUUGAGAUGGCAAUUUACCUUGAUUUUGGGCAUCCAAGCGGUUGAUUGUUGUGGCCAGUUGACUUAUCUGAUUCCUUAUGUCCUGCAUUUCGGAGUCCGUCCUUUGCUGAUGUUGCAUAAUGGUUGCCUCCGUCCUUUGCUGAUUUUGCAUAAUAGUUGCCUCUGUCCUUUGCUGAUUUUGCGCCAUGGUUGUCAUCAUUUGUUUCAUCAUCUCCUCCAUAGAUGAACCGGAUUGAGGGGGCGGGGGUGGUCGGGGUUGGUAUUGCUGCUGGUACCCUGGUGGCUUAUUUGGCACAAAACUAGACUGCCUGUUCGGUGUAAAGUUGGGUUGCCUAUUCCCUCCAUAACUGAGGUUGGGAUGAUCUCUCCACCCGGGGUUGUAGGUGCUUGAGUAAGGGUCGUACUGCUUCCUUGGCGCGGGCGCGUGGUCAGCCAUGUUCACCUGUUCUGCAGUUUCUUCCUGAAUCAUUGGGCACAUGUCUGCAGAGUGGCCUAUACCAGUGCAAAUCCCGCAUACCCUGGCUUGUGAUGCAUUUCUCACAGCCUGUUGCCUAACAAAAGCAGUCAACUCAUUUAGUUGCUGCUGCACAGAGGGUGUCUCUAUCUCAUUCACCCUACGUAUUGGAACAUCCUCUCUUGUACUGAAUUGCUGUGAGUUCUCUGCCAUCCCCUCUAUUAACUCCCGUGCUUCCUGAGGGGUUUUGUUCACCAGUGCCCCUCCACUUGCAGCAUCAAUGAUGCUCCUGUCUCUAAAAAUGAGUCCCUCAUAAAAAUAUUGUAUGAUCAACUGCUCACUUAUUUGGUGUUGGGGGCACCUGCGCAACAAGUUCUUAUACCGUUCCCAAUACUCGUAAAGUGACUCCCCUGGAUGCUGUUUGAUCCCACAAAUUUCUUUCCUUAGACUUGCAGCCCUGGAUGCAGGAAAAUAUUUAUCCAAAAAUUUUUUCAUCAAUUGGCCCCACGUGGUGAUGCUACCUGGUGACAGGUAGUACAGCCAGUCCUUCGCAGAAUCUUUCAAGGAGAAGGGGAAUGCCCUCAUUUUUAUCUGCUCUUCUGUGAUUCCCGGGGGUUUCAUACUGUUGCAAACAACAUCAAACUCCUGCAGAUGCUUAUACGGCUCUUCACCUGGUAAACCAUGAAAAGAGGGUAAAAGCUGAAUCAGACCAGAUUUUAGUUCAAAUGGAAUGUUGUCAUUUAAAGCGGGGAAAGUAAUGCACAAAGGCUGCUGAGUUAAAUCAGGAGCAGCCAACUCCCUUAAUGUUUGUGCAUUAGCCAUGGUUCCUUCCUCCUGGUCAGAGUCACUUGAAGUGUCACCAAACGAAUCUGUUGGUUCAACUUCUGACUCGGGUCUUUGAGAUGUAGCCCUGGUGUGCUCUUCUCUGAGUUGUCUGGUUUCCUUUCUCGUUCUACGCGCGGUCUUCUCUAUCUCGUGGUCAAAAAUCAAAUCACCUGUACGAGAAGAUCGAGGCAUACACUAGAAGAAGACCAGAAAACUAGGACAAAAUUGAAUUUAAAAAUAAACAAAUAAUAACGCCAGUCCCCGGCAACGGCGUCAAAAAUUGACAGGUCGUCAACCUGUGCAAUAAUAAAAUUAAACCUAAUUGCCAGUUAAAAUGACCAAAACCCAAUUCCAAGUACUGGAGCAGGGACUCUAGGUGUGCAAUGGGUUACUUGAUUCACCCUGUUCCCGAAGAGUUUGCUUGAUCCGAUAUACCCAAAUGGAAUGGUUAUUCCUUUUCACAAAUGAUUAGGAAUUUGUAGACAGGGCAAGUAGGGUCGUAUCCACAGAGACUGGGUAUAUUUGUUUCUUAAGAAAUCCAAAGUAACACAGGGGGUGAUUUUGUAGGAACGACGAUAAUUAAAUAAAUUCAAAUGAGAAAGUAAAAAUAAAUAAUUAACUAGAAAUUAAACCACAAUUUACUGAACUCAGGAUAACAAUAGUUAAAGGCCUCAAUUAAUUAAAAUAAGGAAACAAUCAAAAAUAAAAUAAAGUAGGUAAUUAAAAGUCAAAUGGCAAUCCACUACAAUCAAGGAAAUAUUAACUAAAGAUCUAGCCAAGAAAUAACUUCAGCAAUGGUUCACCUAAUCGAUCAUUGAUGCAAAGCAAUCCCAAUUAUUUUAUAAUAAAUAGGUUAUAACUACCAAACAAGCGAUGGCAGUCAACCCCUCCUUACUGUGUCGGUGAUCAAGGUACGCCCGUUAAUCACUGCUCUAAUUGAGAAAUAAUCCUAGGUACGCCCGUAGAAUUUAAUUCCCCAACUGCCUUACGUAUUAGAGGAGCCCUAUUCUAACCAAAUAACACACUACCAGGGUUAUUUUAGAUUAGCCCGCGUAUCCCCCUGACACGAAUCUAAUCGUGCCAGUUGUCACUAUUUUGAGGUAAUUAAACAAUUACGGAUUUAAUACCCCAAUUGACAAUAGAUUACCAAACCAAUUAAUUAUCCGGAUCCAAGACAAUCAACUAAUUAAAUAAUCAUAAGCAUAGUAAUUAGGGAAUACACGAAUACCAAUAAAUAAAAGGGAAAGAUUAAAUUAAAUCGAUCUCACAAUUUACAGGUGUCCCAAAGCAUCCGUCGUUUCUUGACUAGAACGAGGGGAUUAGCUCAUAUUGGAUGAACUAAGCCCGCGGGAAAUUCCAGCAAAAGUCACGGCCGUUGUAUGCAUUUCAAGAGCCGCAAUUCGUCAAACACUUGGAAAGCGAAUGUAAGGCACGGGUAACAAUUGAAGCUUUCUAAUUGUUCCUAGUAUUCGUAAAGCAAAUUCACUCCAGAAGUACAGUGAGGAAAAGUCAAAGAAAGUGGGCUUCAAUUCCUUGCUCCUGACAUGCGUGGAGACAAGCCAAUGCAAGACUACAAUAAACUAACAAGGAAAAGUCAAGAAUUGGAGCUAAGCUCCCCUGCCAUGCGCAGGAAUCCCAAAAGUAAAAAGUAAAGCUUCAAAGAAAAGUCAACAAUUCUUCCUAAGCUAAAGACGGAAAAUCCAUCACAAAAGCCAGCUCUCUUUUUGAUCCCUUUUUCCCCCUUCUUAUUGCGGCGGCUCACCAGGAGAGGAGAGCCCUCCGUCCGUCCUUUCUUCCGGAAAUUUACCAAAAUGGGCAUGACAUCUCCUCUUCCAAAAGUGCCCCUGGGACAAGCUUUAUCAUCUGAAAUCUUUUUUUUCCAAUUUGGCACCUGUUAUCAUAUUCAUAUUCUACUCCCUGAAAUAAACGUCAAAUACUAAAAGUGAGUAGAAUCCAGCAAAUAAAUCCACAUCAAGUCAGGUAAUAGGAGGAAUUAAUAAUAAAAUAAAUGAAUAAAUUGCAACCUAUCAAUUCUUGUGAAACUUUCGGCAUCCGACUGUUGAAGCUCAACUUUGGCAGCAAAACCAUAUCGCUAAACUUAGAAAUCGUAGUCAUUUGAAAUCUAACUUUGAAGUAAAUGUCUUGAGCUACCAUUUUUUCUGCAUUCCUUUGAAGUAAAGGAUAGUAUUGAUUUAUGGGUACAUCAAUUUAUGCACAAAAGUUACUCUUUUUAUGGGUACAUCAUUUUCCUUUUUCCCAUCACACUUUAUUUUCCCGACAACCAUUCAGACAGUUUCAGAUUAAAGGGCUCCAGCAUUUACUCAAAAUUUUUUUUUUUUAAAAAAUGAAGGCCCCAGCACCAAAGAAUAAUUGAGAAACUCAGGUGAAAUUGCCAAGUAACUUCCAAUGCAAAAGCAUCCGAUAAUGUUUUAAGUUUAUCUAUCUCUAAAAUGAUUAACAGAUUAGGUGAAUGACCAUUUUCCUUUUUCCCAUGUCUUUGCCAUCACACUUUAUUUUCCCGACAACCAUUCAGACAGUUUCAGAUUAAAGGGCUCCAGCAUUUACUCAAAAAAUUUAAAAAAAAAAAGAAAAAAAGAAGGCCCCAGCACCAAAGAAUGAUUGAGAAACUCAGGUGAAAUUGCCAAGUAACUUCCAAUGCAAAAGCAUCCGACUUUGAUAACCUUUUUCUGGAAAGCCAUUUUGGCUUAAAAAAAUUUCGCAAGCACAUUUUUUAAUUAUUUUUAUAUCUCGUAUAUAUUAAAUUAUUAUAAUAUUUUUUUUAUAAAUACUUUAAAAAAUAGCAAUUCAAAUGAAAAAAAAAAAAAGCAUUCCACUUCGACGUAGAUUGAUGACUUUCAAUUGGUUACAUCAUGAACCAUUUUUUUUCUUGUCAACGGACUAGCCCUGCAUUUGGGAGGCAAGAAAUGAUAAGAAAAGAAAAGUUUUGGAUGGAUACAUAUCAAUUUCUGUCAUUUGGGAGAAAGGGUGGGAAAGAAAAUAAAAGAAUUGGACAGAUUUUGAUUUCCCUCCAGAGUAAAAAAUGGUAGGAAAUGGAGAAGCCUACAGUAUACUUUCACAAUAUGACAGUUUUACCCGUAAAAAGUUUCUAGGCAAAGUUGAAAGCUUCAGUAUUUCGCCUUUCUGAUGAUGAAGACGAUUGAACUAGACUUCAAUGUCUUCAUACCGAAUGUAGAUAUAUCUCUUAAUCCAAUACUUGUAACUCAAAAUAUUGCCAAAAUAUGGAAAUAUAUUAAAACUGAAAAAAUUUGCUUCCUUUUGUUCUUGAUUGCUGCACUUCAUGUCUUCUUUUCAUCACUUCAAAUCAUCAUCAAUCAUCUAGUUAUCUUCUCAAUUCAUACCCUCUGAUGAUUGAAUUAUUAAACCUACAAAAACAUAAAGUUUUUACCAUUAAAAUACAUAGAAAUGCAACUUUUACCAUUUAAACCACAAAAUGUAUAUUUUUACCAAAAUCCUAAUUAAUUAGUUAUAAAACUAGGUAAAACAAACUAAAAUUAACCAGUAAAAUACACUUAAAAACAUGUAAAAUAUACUCUUGUCAGGCUCCUUAUUUGUCACAUAAUUAUCAUCAUUUCUUGUACCGAAACAUAGUAGUCGAAGUUGAGUUGGACCAUGGGGAUGUUAAUGUAAGCAUAAAUAUCUCAUGUGAUUAGGGUGGUUGUACACCUUGAGUGCAUCCAAUGUACAAUUCCAGCAUGGAUUUGUGUUGUAAUUAACAUAUGCAAAUAAUGGAACUAAUAUUAUGGACCAUUAACGUUUGUAUACGGAGCAUUUAAGAACCAUUCCUUCCCCAACUCAUCGGAAGACUCUUCUUCCACUCAAUUUCUGUGAUAAUUGGUAAGACAUUGGUACUCAUGCUGAUGCCAAAUUGGUGCAAAAUUUGAAUUUGGUCGGUGAAGCAGUACCUCCAAAGGACUAACAAAUGAGGUGAAUUCCCAUUUAGUCUUUUUCCAAUUCGAUUGUGAUCAUAGUUUAUUGUCCCUCCUGGAUGGAACUUUGAGUUACACCACUUUUCCAAUAGUCAUUCAGAUAUAUUCAGAUUAAAGGGUUCCGGCAUUCAAUCAGUAAAGAUGAAGGCCCCAUCAACAACACUGAUUAAGAAAAUUCAGGUAUGUACAAUAUUAAGCACGAAUUUGUGUUGUAAUCAAUGUGCAAAUGAGAGUCACAUUAUGGCUAAUUUCUUGGCCAUAAAUUUUCUCGAGCCACAAAAGUUACUCCUUAUCAAAUUUCACAAGCGAGACAGUUUGACAAAAACAAGGAAUAUGUAAUUGUGGAUGUCCUUCAAUGCCUUGUUUGGAAAGCCAUUUUCCCUCAAAAAAAUUUCUAUCUUUUUUCAUAGGCAUAUUUUUUAAUUACUUUUUAUCUCAUGUAUACCAAAUUGCUAUAGCAUAUUUUUCUACAAAUACUCUAGAAAAUAGCAAUCCAAAUGGAAAAGAAGCAUUCCACUUCGACGUGGAUUGAGGACUUUCAAUUGGUUACAUCAUGAACCAUUUUUUUUCUUGUCAAGGGACUAGCGCUGCAUUUGGGAGGCAAGAAAUGAUAAGAAAAGAAAAGUUUUGGAUGGAUAUAUAUUAAUUUUUGUCAUUUGGGAGAAAUGGUGGGAAAGAAAAUAAAAGAAUUGGGCAGAUUUCGAUUUCCCUCCAGAGUCAAAAUAUUUUCCGCCCAAAAUUGGGCUGAAAUGGUAGGAAAUGGAGAAGCCUAAAGUAUACUUCGACAGUUUUACCCGUAAAAAGUUUCUAGGCAAAGUUAAAUUUCCUUGACUUCUAGCUUCCUUAUAAAAGCCCCAAUCAAUAAAAAAAAUUCAUCUCUCUUCCUUCUCUUGACCACUAACACUCUGGUGGACCGAAAAUAGAGAAACUAUUUGUGCCCUCUUUUUGCUUAAUGAAUUAAAUUUAAAAUUUCACAUGUUUUAGUUGUUUCCUGGAUACUGGUUGUGCUUUUUCUUAAGUACUUGAUAGAUCAUUCUUGGUCUUCUACCUGAUUAUAUGAAUAAUUAUACAGCUUCAAUAAUUUUUCAAAAUUAUCCCUCUUCAAUAAUAUCUAACAAGCUCUUGACCUGCUAAAUUUCCUUUGGCUUAAAGGUGUGUGUUUAAACCCGAAGCUGUCAGUUUCAUUGCAAUUAUUUACUCUAGAAGAACUUUUUAAUAUAAGGGCACAGUUGUAAAAGUAAAGAUAGACAAUUCUUUCUUUUCACUUCUCUCGUCUUAAACAAAAAAAAAAAAAAUCAUUUCUUUUCUUUUUCUUUUUUAAGUUCCCAAACAACAUUGAAGGAAACUUGUCUAGUUUAAUUAGUCAAACAUUCUUUAUGUUUAUAUAUAUAUAUAUAUAUAUAUAUAUAUAUAUAUAUGGCUCAAUCCCCCAAGAUACUGGACUAAAAAUUCCUAAUUUUGGCCAACUUGGAUAUAUAAACUUAAACGGUGAUGUGAGGUGAAAAAUUAGGGGCAAUAUGGUAGAACACUGGGAAUUGUAUGAUAAUUAUAGUUUAGAAGGAGUAAAUUAAUAAGCUGUUGACUUAAACCUGAAGGUGUUUAAAUUUCCUUUGGCUUAAAGGCGUUUAAACCCGAAGCUGUCAAUUUUGUUGCAAUUAUUUACUUUAGAAGAACUUUUUAAUAUAAGGACACGGUUGUAAAAGUAACAAGGUAGACAACCCUCUCCUUUCACUCCUCCCAAGUGUCAAACAAAACCAAAAAAAUCAUUUCUUUUCUUUUCUUUCCUAAGUUCCCAAACAACAUUGAAGGAAACUUGUCUAACUUAAUUAGUCAAACGUUCUUUAAUUCUAUUUAUACAUGAUUGACAUGAAAUAUUAGUCAAAAGCCAACACUUAAAGCAAUGAUCUAAUCAUCCAAGUAAGCAUUGAUCCUUUCCCAGGUUCGUUUAACUUAUCUCAAAUAUCCACCAUUCCUAAAACUCCAUCGUUUUUUUCCAAGGCAACUCUAAUUUUUUUUUUCUUUACAAUUGCUUUGUAUUUAAUAUCAUAAUUUUAGGUUUGUGAUUUAGAAAUUUUUUGACAAUUAUUAAUUUAUCAAUUGUUCUUAUUCUAAAUUUAUGUCUUAGAAGUUUUAUGUUAAUUUGUAUAGGGUUAAUUUUUUUUAUUGAAUUUAGUUAAUAUUUAUCUAAUUUUGGUUUGUGAGUUAAUUUUCAUAUUUUGCUUUGGACUUUAUCUUUUAUUAUUAAAAAUAUUUAGUUGUUAGUAGAGGUGUCAAAAUGGGUGAUUUGGACGGGUUUGAGUUGGAUAAAAUGGGUAAUGGGUAUAAGUGAGUCAACCCAUUUAUACCCAUUUAAUUAGAUGGGUAUAAAUGGGUAAGUCAAAAAUUGGGUAAUCCAAUUACCCAUUUAUAACCCAUUUAUUUUAGCUUUUUGUAAAUUCAUUUAAAUUCAUUUUUGCAAACUAAGUUAUCAAUUUAUAUCAUUCUUUGCACCCAUCAUUAGUUUUAAAUAUUUAUUUAUAAUACUCAAUAAACUAAUUAUCAAUUUUUUCCAUCUGUACUCUAUGUUGCAUAAUUACAUACUAUUUAAUAGUUAAACAAUAAGAAUAUAAAAUUUUGAAUUAAGUACUAUAAAAGUUAACAUAAAAACUUAAUCCAAAAAUUUUGAACCUCUAACAUUUUUUCAUGUGUAAAUUUAAAAUUUCAUUUUGGAAAAGUAAGAAAAGAGGCUAAAACUUUUCAAAAAUUGGUAAUACUGAAAAAUGAGCAAAUUAACAAACUAAGAGAAAAUAAAAUGAUAAGAUAAAACCAACAAAUAAUAAUAAUAAUGAAACAAAUGUAGUUAACAUCAUGACAAAAUGAAAAUUUUGAAAAAAAAAAAUGGGUGGGGGAAGAGAGGAGGUUUUGGGGAAGACAAUUCUAAAUGGGUUAAUUGGGUUUGAUGAGUUACCCAGUAAUAUCCAUUUAUUAAAUAGGUAUUAUUGGGUAACCCAUAUGUAAAAUUUUAAGAUACCCAGACCCAUCUAUUCAUGGGCGGGUAUGGGUAAACUUAAUUAAAUGGGUUUGUUUGACAGCUAUAGUUGUUAGUUAUCGUCUAUUAAACUUUGGUUUUAAAUUUUUUAUUUCAAGUUAAUGUGCAUUAUUUGUUUUGAUUUUUUUUUUUUGUCACUUGUUGUUUGAUCUUUCGCCCCCCUCUUCCCCAAACCAAAAUCCUACAUUCAUCAUUGGUUAUCUUUAGUGAGCUAUAAAAUAAUUUAUUAUUGCAGGGUUUGUGACAAAAAUAACGGAAGGAAUGUCCUAGAAGGAGCUGGAAAAUCACAGAAGGAGCUGUCCUAAAAGCAUGAUUUGGAAAUGUGUAUAGUGAUGAAUUCUUUAAUGUAAAUGUUGCCGAACUCAUGAAGUUGAAUUAGUUCUUUGUUUUUGGUGGAUUGAUUAUUUAAAGUUUUGCCACUAUUGUUGAUUCUUUUUCUGGCUUAACACAAAUCUUCGGUAAUAAGCGUAGAACGAACGUUGUUUUAUAACUCUUUGUAUUUGGAAACUGCUGACAUGUUCGCUUUUGGCUGAGCUGUAGUAGAAAGAAUCUCCCUGAAUGAUGUGGACUUUAUCUUAAUUGGUUACAGCUACCGAAGUUUGUUCUGAAGUUAUCACUGAUUCAUGAUAGGAUGAGUAAACAAGGAGAACUAAUUCUGGCUUCUGAAUGAACCUAAAACGAGCACUGUGAACUAAAUGUUGUUGGAUUAGGGGUGCAAACGAGGUAAAUCGAGUCGAGUCAAGUUUUGGUUUAAUUGACUCGGGUCUCAACUUAGUGUUAUAAAACUUGAACUCGACAAUCUUAAAAUGUAAAGUUUGCGCUCGAGUUUAAAAAAAAUAUAUAUAAUAUUAUUUUAUUUUUAAAAAAUAAAUAAAAUAAUAAUUUUUUAACAAAUAAUAAAAUAUUAGGAACAUAUAUGUAUAUAGAUGUGUGCGUGUAAUCGAACUGGCUCGUGAAUUAACGAGCUAAAUAUGUUUGAGUUCAAAUUCGACUUGAUCAGCUCGAAUUUGAUUAGAGUUGCUCACGGGGUUGGGGGGUGUUGGCAUCUGCAUCACCUGUAAAGUUUCGCAUUCGACCUCGCGUACAUCAUUCACGUUUGUACGCCUUUGGUUGUGGACUAAAAUGUUCAAUAUAUUACUCUCAUUAUGAACUCGAUCAUGUGCAUUGAAGUUCAAUACUGAGUAUAUUCUAUCGUUGUAGAAUAUAUGAUUGUUGGUUUGAACAAUUCUUAGUUUAUCACCAAGGCUGUGAAAUCACUGUUGAAAGGUUACGACUGGUGACUCGUAAUCAGAUGGUACUUUGCUUGUGCUUAAUCAGUGGCUGCAACAUAGUAGCAUAUUUUUGUUCCUUUCUCCACCAUACCAAAUCAACGCCAAAUGUCUAAAUGGUGUUGUGGGUACAUUGGUGAGACAAUUUACUAAAAGAUUGAACCAAGGCAUUGAAAAGCUUUAUCGAUCGGUUCAAGUAGGAUGAUGUUUCUUUUUUGUUUGUACUGACCCCUUCCUUCUGUUUAGCUUACAAUAUUGCAUGGAUCUAAUUGGGCUGCUGCUUCUGAUAUGAUCCCAAAAGUACAUACUUUCCAGGGUGGCAGAUGAAUAUUUCUCGAGUUGGAGUUGAAGCUUAUCACUCAAUGUGUAGCUACUCUGCAUAUGAUCCUUCUUUCCUAUCUCUCUCUGUUUCUUUCUUUUGCUUCAUUGAAGCGGUACCUCCAAGGUGAAUUCCCAUUUAGUCUUUUUCCAAUUUGAUUGUGGUCAUAGGUCAUUGUCCCUCUUUUCCAACAAUUCAUUCAGAUAUAUUCCGAUGAAAGGGUUCCAGCAUUCAAUCAGUAAAGAUGAAGGCCCCAUCAACAACACUGAUUAAGAAAAUUCAGGUGAAAAUGCAAAGCAACUUCAAUGGCAAAAGCAAAUCACCUGCGCUUCUGAACACGGAUUGAGGGCUUUUAUAGUCCAUCACACGAUUCUUGUUAUUUUUUGUUAAUAUUAGAAGUAAACAUGCAUCUACGUGAACUAUCUCACUGAUUGUACACCUUCAAUGCAACAAAUGUACAAUUUAAGCACGACUUUGUGCUGUCAUCAAUAUGUAAAUAAAGGUCACAUUGUGGUUAAUAUUUUCCUUAAUUUGCCUCAUGCAGCUAUGCCUAAUAAGAUUCACUUUGGAAAAGCAUCAAUGAGAAAAAGGUGAAGACCCCAGCAACAAGCCAAGCACCUUUAUUCCUUUGGAACCUAAAGCAUCCAGCUAUGCCAACGAAGCACUGCUCUACACGAAUUGACGGCUCAUUAUUUCUUGUUACCCAUAAAUAUCUCACUGGUUAGUGUGAAUGCAGCAAAUUACAUUUGUAUGUACGAAAUAAGCAUGAAUUUGUGCUGUAAUCAAUAUGCAAAUGAGAGUCACAUUAUGGUUACCCCUUAUCAAAUUUCAUAAGUGAAACAGUUUGACAAAAACAAGGGAUAUGUAACUGUGGAUGUCCUUUUGAUGUGAAGAUUGAAGCAAAUGCAUCUUUCAAGUUACUAAUCCCCAGACUUCAUUGAUAAAAAAAAAAAAAAAAAAAAUUUAAGAAGGAAAGAGAAUUGGAUUGUAGGUCGAAAAUGGGACUUCAAUUCCCCAUGAAAGUGGAUACAAAAUCCUUGGUUUUAUAAAGUUUAAAAGGAUCAAGUCUGAAGAUUUUACAAUAGAAGCAAAUAUCUGACGAUUAUUUCGUUCAGAAAAUACACGUUCAAGUAAUUUGAGAUCACAAGUUUGUUUAUUGAGACACAAAGCUAUAAACCAUCCACUUAUGUCUUUAUUCUUAACCAGCCAAGAAGCAAAGUAGCUGGUCCAAAAAGAAGAUUCCCUGUUUGUUUGUAACACAGGUUCCUUUACCUAAUAGAAUUACUACUACAGUUUAGUUUAAUUUUCAAUGCUUGAGGCUCGCACUAUAGAAUAAAGCAGUAGCUCUAGAAGUCUUACCUUAGAAGCACUUCAAAUUCUUUUCUUCUCCAAACAUUUCUGCUUUUAGCUGCUGAAGCUGAAGAAUUCCUUCUUAUCUCAUUCCAAAAUCCAUCCUGAUCACCACCUUAAUUGAUUCUUUUCUUCUAAUUUCAAUCCCAAGCACGAAAAAAAAUGGCCGAUGCAGCUAUUAGCGCUACUAUUCAGGUUGCAUUGGAGACGGUUAUUUCCCUUGCCGCUGAUCGUGUUAGUUUGGUUCUUGGAUUCGGAGAGGAGUUGGAGAGACUAUGCCACACUGCAGAAACCAUCCGAGGUAUCCUGGCUGAUGCGGACAGGAAAAUGCAUAUCCUCGGGGUGAAAAAUUGGCUCGAGCAGCUUGAAGGAGAGCUUUUUAAAGCGGAGGAUGUGCUGGACGAGCUCAACUAUGAAAAUCUUCGUCGGGAGGUGAAGUAUAGAAAUCAACUCAAGAAAAAGGUAUGCUUCUUCUUCUCGCACUUUAAUACAAUUGGUUCUCGUUCAAGGUUGGCUUCAAAGAUCAGGGACAUCAACUUGAACCUAGAAAGGAUCAAUCGGCAAGCAAAUGAUGUGGGACUGGUCUUCCGGUUCCAAAUUGAAGCCGCACUCCCUGCUGCUACAGGUGCCACAACAAGCAGACAAACCGACUCUAUUCUCGUUCCAAAUGUUGUAGGAAGAGUUGACGAUGAAUCAAAGAUUGUGGACAUGUUAUCGAGCCCAUCUGAAAAGGUUCUUUCUGUUAUUCCCAUAACAGGCUCAGGAGGUUUGGGAAAAACAACUCUGGCGAAAUCAAUCUACAAUAAUCCAAAAAUAGAUGGGCACUUUGGCCAAAAAAUUUGGGUUUGUGUGGCUAAAGAUCAAAUUAAGAUAAUGGAGCUGUUCAAGCUCAUUUUAGUACAAUUGACAGGAGAAGAAGUUAAAGUGGAUGACAGGGAUGUUAUCGUUAAAAAAAUUGGAGCAAAGCUCAAGGGACAAAGAUAUUUCCUUGUUCUUGAUGAUGUGUGGGAUCAUGACCAAGGAUUGUGGAAUGAUUAUUUCAACACUUUGAUGGGACUCAAUGAAGCCAAAGGAAGCUGGUGUCUUGUCACCACUCGUCUGGUACCAGUGGCAAAUGCUGUGUCUAGACCUCUGAAGAUGAAUGAUGGUCCUUAUUUCUUAGGAAAGCUACCAGACAAUGAGUGCUGGUCUAUCCUGAAAGAAAUGGUAAUUGCAGGGGAAGAAGCACCAACAGAAUUGGAAGCAAUAAAGAAUCAGAUUUUAAGAAAAUGUGAUGGCUUACCAUUGGCAGCAAAGUUAAUUGGAGGUUUGUUGGUUAACAAGGAGAAAGAGGAGUGGAAAUCUAUCGUGAAGGAGAGUCAAACUGAUGAAGAUCAAGAUGAGAUUGAUCAAAUACUUAAGGUGAGUUUUGAUCAUUUGUCACCUGCAUCAGUUAAAAAAUGUUUUGCAUAUUGUUCAAUUUUUCCCCAGGACACUGAAUUGCGAGAAGAUGAACUAAUUCAGCAUUGGAUGGCGGAAGGUUUUGUUCAACCAGAUCGCCAAAACCAAAGAUUGAUGGAGGAAAUAGGAGGCGAGUAUUUGAGGAUUUUGUUACAAAAUUCCUUAUUGGAAAAAGUAGAAGAGUCUUGGAGAACAUAUUAUAAAAUGCAUGAUCUCGUGCAUGAUUUUGCAAAAUCAGUUCUCAAUCCUAAAACCAGCAGCCAGGAUCGCUACCUUGCAUUACACUCAUAUGAAGAAAUGGCAGAAAAUGUCAGAAGGAAUAAAGCAGCAUCAAUCCGCUCGUUAUUUCUCCAUCUAGAGGGUGGCAUAUCUGCUGACAUGUUGUCAAGGUUCAAGCACUUGCAUGUUCUCAAAUUGUCUGGAUAUCAUGCCAAGUUUCUGCCGAGCUCUAUUGGCAAACUACUACGUCUGCGGUUGCUCGACAUUAAAUCUUCUGGAAUCAGAAGUUUGCCGGAAUCUCUUUGCAAGUUAUAUAAUUUGCAGACACUAACGAUUAAUGAUUAUGCACUUGGAGGAGGUUUUCCAAAACGGAUGAGCGAUUUGAUCAGCUUGCGACAUCUAAACUACUACCAUGAUGAUGCAGCAUUGAAAAUGCCGGAGCAGAUGGGACGAUUGACUUGUCUUCAAACUCUAUGGUUCUUUAAUGUAAGUCAGGAGAAGGGUUGUGGCAUCGAAGAGCUUGGGACCUUGAAAUAUCUGAAAGGAUCGUUGAUUAUAAGAAAUCUUGGACUAGUGAAGGGCAAAGAAGCAGCUAAACAAGCAAAAUUGUUCGAAAAGCCAGAUCUGUCUCGCUUGGCGUUUGAAUGGGAGAUUGGGGAUCGGGAAAGCGAUAACCGCGAGGAGGAUGUGUUGGAAGGUCUCCAACCUCACCCAAAUUUGCAAGAGUUGGGAAUUCGUUCUUUUAUGGGUAAUAAAUUUCCACAAUGGCUUAUCAAUUUGCCAAAAUUGGAGACAUUGCGGAUAGAAGACUGCAAGAGAUGCAGUGAACUCCCAUCCCUCAAACGUCUCUAUUUGGAGGGAUUGGACAACAUUCGAUUUAUUGGAGAUGAAUUCUACGGUAUUACUGCUAAUGAGGAGGAGGGCAGAUCACGAGCAUCAGGGAGUAGCAGUAGAAGGCGAAAAUUCUUUCCUGCCCUUGAAGAAGUCCGUGUAAGGUAUAUGGAGAAUUUGGCAGAGUGGAAGGAUGCAGACCAAGUGAGGUCAACAAUAGGUGAAGCAGAAGCAGAUGUCUUUCCCGUGCUGAGGAAUUUUCGCAUUGAAAGUUGCCCCCAGCUGAUCACUCUUCCAUGCUCGUGUAAAAGUCUACACGUGGAGAAUUGUGAUAAUCUAACAAGUAUAAAAACGGGUUACGGCACUGCUUCUGUUGAGGUGUUGAGUAUCGACUCUUGCGACAAUCUUAGGGAGCUGCCGGAUCUGGAUCUGUUUGGAUCGAGUUUGCAGCGAUUGACCAUCGCAAGUUGCCCAAGAUUAAUUAGUUUAGGAGUAAAUGGACAGAAAUGCCCCCUACCAUGCCUUGAGGAAUUGAGUAUUUAUAAUUGCGCAGGGUUGACCACUAUAUCCGACAAAAUGUUCCAGUCAUGCCGGUCUCUGCGGUCCCUGUUGGUGAAGUGGUGCCCCAAUCUGGUAUCAUUUUCGCUUAAUUUGCAGGAGACGCCUUCUCUCGAGGAAUUCAACUUAUUCAGAUGUCCCAAAUUGAUCCCUCACAGGUUCAAAGGAUUUGCUUUUGCCGCCAGCUUAAGAAGAUUGAGCAUCAACAGUCCCUUCUCCUCAGAUGACUCCUCAGUCGAUGAUUUUGAUUGGUUUGGUUUAAGAUCUAUAUCAACACUCCGUGAGCUUCGAUUAGAAGGGAUGCCUCACACGGAGUCCCUGCCACACCAGCUUCAAUACUUGACUACCCUCACUUCACUAAGUCUCUUCAACUUUGGAGGAAUAGAAGUGCUACCGGAUUGGAUUGGAAACCUUGUGUCCCUUGAAACCCUAUCGCUAUCGAAUUGCGAAAACAAGUUUUUACCAUCCGAGGCCGCCAUGAGACGCCUCACCAAGUUAACAAGUGUUGAAGUUCAUGAAUGUCCUCUACUAAGACAACGAUACACUUCCCAAAGAGGCAUCUACUUGGAGGAGGAGAUUUCAACUUAUUUUGUAAGAUUUUCCUAUCUAAAGUUCACACUCAUAUAUAUAUGUGUAUAAAUUUUUUGUAUCUGCAUCUCAUUGACAUAUAUUUGCUCUUCAGUCUCUUGUACUCUUUUUCUCCAUCUCUUUCCUGCAAAGUUAUUCUCCGUAAUUAAUUCUCUUCUUUUGGGCAAACCUUGGUUUCUCUUCAAAGAUUAGUUUUAACAAAGCCUGGUUUUGAGCAAAUUGGAAGAGGCCAAAAUUCUGGAUUUUCUCUGCAUCUCGCCAUUGAAAGAUUUUGAACAUCUUAAAAACUCAACUUGUUACCUUCUAUUUGGCCAAGCAUGAAAUUAUUAGCAACGGUGCAUACACAAUUAGCCUCUUUGUUUGAAUGUGUUAGCAAAUGUUCCAUUGCAUGUGCAAUGCUAGAUGUGCAUGGGAGCAUUCAUCAUUUUUCUAUCACCGAUAUUGCCAGUCUGAAUGGACAACAUUAAAGCUAAUCAAGAAACAUUUGCGAAGAAAAAUCAAGAUACAAUUUGAUGUUCAAGUUACAAUAAUUUUGGAUGGUUGUUUGUUAUGUUUCACAAGUUUCAGAAGUUUAUACGUCACAAUUACCAUGCAGGCAAGCAGUGAGAGCGAAGAAGAAGAAUCGACGACAAUGAACUAGCAGGCAGGGACGAUGAAUGAAAAAGCAUUCAUGGUGCUCAAACAUCAGCUUCAUGGUGUUUCCCAUCGUUGUUGAAGAAAAAGAAGAGGUCAGGAGGUAUGUUGUGCAGAAAAGUGAUAAUGCAGCAUUUCUCUCCCCAAGAACUCUUUUCUUACCUCCAUCCAAUUUAGUAAAAGUACAAGGAAUUGGUGCAAGUUUGCUUUUUAGUAUGCUUGGGUCAUGUAAUUGGCCUAAAAACAGGGCAUUUUCCUGUACUUUUAUCUGUUUGUGAACUUUUACCCUAUGCCUACAGCUUAUCUUUUGCUCUUUAAGAUUUUUAUAUUUACUUGGUGCUAAACAUGUCUUUUGAUUGGGACAGAAUCUGGUCUUUUCCGAUUUUCUUGACUAGUUACCAGACCAUAAGUUUUCUUUGCUUUCAUUGUUUAUUAUAAUUGGAGGCAUACUGAAAUGUACCAUUGUGAUGCUUUCCAGAGUCUUAGGAGGCAUAGCUUAUGUUAUUGGACAAAGGACAGCAUCGUUUGUUGUUUCAUUUCUUACUAGAAUACCAAGGGACAGAAGUUAUUUUCAUUGACCAGACAGGGUUUGAAGAUGAAGGCAAUUAUCAAUGAUCUUUAUUAAUCUCAUUAGAUAUCAUUAGCUUUGAUGGAGGCUUCAUAAAUAGUUGGUUCUCCCCAAGUUUCUCAAACAUAAGGUUUUCAUCUUCUCCUACUCAGACUGGAGAAAGGAAGGUAACAAUUUAGCUUGUUCAUCUUCAGGGAAGUUUUGGUAGUUUUUUAAUCUGCAUUCUUGAUAUGUAUUUAGUAAAUCAAUUACCAAAACUUUUUUUUCCUGUCGUGUAGCAUGCUGAUUGCUGAACUGAAAAUGGCUAGUAGCAGGCCUGCAAAGUGUGAUAUGGAGGAAGAAUAAAUUGGGGGGAGGGGGAGGGGGGAAGCAUGGAAGCUGACACUGGAGAGCUAUCAACAUACAAUGCUUAUUUCAAUCAAACUGGAGUUGGUCUAUUGGUUCAGAAGGGAUUUCAGGCGAAGAGUUGGAUGCAUCAGAAUGAUGUGAUAAGUACAUCCUGAUAGUACGUUUUCUUCAGCUUUAUUUGGAAGUAAAAGUGCAUCUGGUGACCAAAUUUAUGACAUUUUCAUCUUUUUUUUUUAAAAAAAAAAUUAAUCAUUUAAUGGAGAGAUCAUAGAACUCUUGUUACUUUUCCUCUUCCAGAAAUCAUUUUUCGUUAUUUCUUUCGCCUCUUUUAGCUGCUUCCCUUUCAACUACCGGGUCCAAGAUUUCGAUUAAUCCAUUGCAAUCACCACAGGAUUUCUCCUGGUUGGUUCCCUUAUUUUCACAUCUCAUGACUGUUUGAUUACUUUUGGGCUUCUGAUAGAUUCAUCUUCUCUUUUUUCCAGGAUUUUUACACUGGGUGGGCUUGUUUGGGUGUUCUUCAGGGUUAUGAUGCUAAUUUCUUUGCGGCCGUAAGUUUACUCUGACUUCUUCAGUUUGUUUUCCUGCCUUGGUUAUUUCACAGCACUUGGUUUGUAUUUAUGCGUGUGUUUUCUGAUAUAUGUUUUGUUGCUUUUGGUUUUGCUUAGGCUGCCAUCUUUUGUGUUUGCCAUUUGUUAACUACUGUGUUUUUCCUGCUUGUCUUUGUUCAGGUUGCCUCAUCGGUCCUAAAUUUCUCAUUCAGUGAAAGUAAUGGCAGUAGAAGCUAAAGUUGCGCGCCUUCCAAUCCUUAAACAUCCUUUCCCUUUCUUUUGGCGUGAAUAUUACUUUAUAUUAGGUUAUCUCUAUGGUCUAACUACCGAACUACAUUGGAAAGUUCUUUUUUUUUUUUCCAGUUCAUUGAAUGUUAAUUUCUUGUAAUGUAAUGUUUUACAGUUUGUGCUCACCAAAUUGAACGGAGCUCAUGGAUGAAUUACAUAUGCUUUUGAAAUUCAGUACACUUAAAAAAUUUUUGUGUCUUAAAUUUUAUUUAGGACUGGUGUAUUUUGGGAAUAAAAAGAUAUAAAUCUCUUAAUUUUAAACUGAAUUUCUGUUUUUCUUCUGGGGAAAAUUUUAUUGUGAAACUUAGGUCUUAUGCUUGGGUAAAAUGGGUAACUAGAGAACAAGUGGUUCCAAGGCAAUCAAUUGAAGGAAGUGUGAAGCAAAAAACAGGAGAAAAGGCUGAUUAAACAACACCGAGUAACAAUGUUCUGUUAUGAUGGCUCAGAUACUAAGGGUCUUGAAAGCUACACAACCACCAUAGCUUACCAAGAUCGACAGUGAUUUCAUAACUCUGCCCUCCUUACUUUCCAUUUUCUUAUUUUCUGUAUAUUUUUUAUAUGAAUUUUUAACUGUGUACAUUUUUUUUUUUUAUGAAAGACAAUGUUUUGUCAUUCGAUUAUUUUGAACCAAAAUUGUGAAAUCGGUUAAUGUAUCAGCUUCUGAUUUUUAUAAGUUCUGUGAUGGGAUAUUUCAGGUUAUGAAAGCAGUUGAAGCUAUCGAAGGCUACUAUUAAGGCACAGGUUCUGAUUUUCUCUCCUGACCAUGCUUCAAUUUCCAAUGAGGUUGUUACUUGGCAUAUGAAUUUUACCAUUCAGUCAUCCGGGAAAAGGAUUAUUCACAUGUGGUUCUUAUUUGCUUGCAAGCUGUAAUUUGGGUCUUGUUGCCCAUAAAAUGCUUUCUAGAGUUGCAAAUCAGUGAGUUCAUGGUUUCAUUAGACUUAAUAGAUAAUGCAGAUAAGUUUCUCUUGAUUAUGUGUGUACGGUUCUGAGAUAAUUUUGUAUUAUUGUUUGAACUUGCUCUCAAGUCUCUUUUUCUAAACUACAUUAAAGCCAAGUCUUUGUUAGUAAAGGAUGUCCGGAAGAUUAGUUAUUGGCUAGUAGCCUGGUACUAGAGAAAAAUUUACGUCUUUUCUAUUUUUGGUUCCUGCCAUAUUGUUGUCUUUAGUUUGAGCUACCAAAGGCUACUACACAAGGUAGAAAUUUAAAAAAAAAAGUAUUUUCUUUUCUUCCUGGUUGAUUUUUCUAUCUUUGUCUACAAAAUAAUAUGCAUUCUGCUAUCUUGCCCCACACACUAUCAAAUGGGGAAACUUUCUCGUCUCAGAGGUGGAAACAUACAAAAGCGGAGAUUUGGAUCUGACAUUGGACCUAGCAUAGUAUCCUCUGCAUUCUAAUCUCAUUUUGUCACUUAGAAACUUUGUUUGGUUUUGAUUUGGGAAGCAGCAAAGUUCAUUUUAGAUUUGUCAUUAAGCUCUGUUGUUAUUUCUUUUGUGACCAUGUGACAGCACGCUGAUACGUAUUGUAUAUAUUGUUCUUAUCAGCAAAUUACAAUUUUUUGUCUUUUUUCUUUGCUUUUACCUGGUAUGUGGAUAGAUUGAUGUCCGGAGGUUGUAAAGAAUAGUAAUGAAAGAUUGCAUGAGUCAUGUCUUUUCUUUUUCUAGAUAUUGAAAAAGCAUAUCUGCAUUUGACACAAUUUGUCCCCAGGAUUUUGACGCUGACAAGUACUUAUAUGCUACCUUUUGCAGACCCCGUCCAAGGUUCCAGAGGGAGUAUGUUGAGCGCAAUAACAAGCUGUUGUACUACAUCCUUGAUUGCCUUAGCAUGGGUUCAUCAUCAAGGUGACGAUAUGUCCUGUUCCUGGCACCAUCAAGAUUGAAAGUUUGGAGAUCAGCAGCAAGGCCUUGUCAGUGAAUUUGAUACUAGAAAGUUAAUGCAGUUGAUGCGGCAAAAGCUAAUUGAUAUACCUGAUUUCAUGGCUGAAACUUGAUUUCUCACUUUUGCAUUUUUUUUCCCUUCUUUUGAAUAAUGUACAUUCCUGGGAACACUUGACCAAUUAGGAAUGUGUUAGGAUGAUUGGUGAGAAAGCUUCUUUUUUUGGAUGAGGUAAAAACUUUUGUCAGUGAGCCAAUAUGCAUUAGGCAAGAUUUAUCAAAGAUGCUUUGCACUGCAUCUGUCUCUGUUUCUAGUAGAUUAUUUGUUUGAUUUGACUGGAAGCAGUGUGUCAUUACUAUAAUAGCAUGGGGCGAUUGAACAACGAAUGACAAAUAAGUCUAUAACAGCAUGUAAAUAUUCAACGAAUCAAAGAACAAAGAAAAUUAGAAUUUUGAGAGAGUUAUUAGAACUAUUGUGACGGUGCAAAUAGUUCCUUUUAAAUUGCAAAUAGAAUUAUACAAAAUAGAAUAUAGGCAGGAAAUGAGAAAGAUUCCUGAUAAAAUUUUGUAAAACAGAGUAGAAGGAAGAAAUGGAAAAGAUUCUUGAUGUAGCAAAGAAUGAUAAUAAAAUAAAAGAACGUCCUCUGAUCUUAUUAAAGCUAAGAUUAAAUCAAUUGAGUGUUUGAUAACUUGGAUAUAUACGGAGAUGGGCAAGUAAAGAAGUUUGUGUUACCAUUUAUGCCUCCUAGUCGAAAUGUCAUCUACGUCAACGUCGUAGACAAAGAAUGUCUCGUAGGCUAUGUUGGAACAUGCAGCAAGCAAUAGCUUCUCGUGCCAAAUUGUAUGAAUUUGUAUUUAUAACUAGUUGAUGUUGACAGAAAAUUGCUCUCUUACGCCGUAAGAAGUCUUCCGAAUGCAAUAUGCAUAUGUGUUUAUACAGCUAUACGAAGUAUAAGCACUAUGGAACAAGUAUCAAGGAACUAUUCGCUUGCAUGGCCGAGACCAGUGGCCAAUUUGGGUAUUUUGGUUCCAUUCUGAGCACUUUGGGAUUAAUUAACUUUAAGCCCGUGUAUUCUGUUUUAUUGUACAUUUUCCCCAAAUAAAUGCUUCAUGGGUCUAAUAUCAACUUGUAGAAAAAAAAAUAAACCAAGCCAAUUUUAGUUGUUUUAGAAUUAAAUUCAGUGUCGAAGUUGAUCUAAGAAAUAGAGUUAAGCCCUAUUUUGGUAUUAGAAUUUGAAUAGUGUAGUGCAUUCGUCUGGUCCAAUGGUGGUUUAGUCCCAUCGGCUUUUCAUAGGCUCAAUUGGGCACUCUCCCUUAAAAUAGGCUAGACUAGAAGUAGGUGUCGGAUAGACAAGUGCCGUUAACCAAAAAAAAUAAAAAUAAAAAUGGCUGAUUGUUGGAUGCAGGUACAAUUGCUUAGAGUUGCCAAAAUGAUUGACCUUUGUGUAGGAGGAGAUUUUACAAUACUAGAGGCAUUCAAUAUGCUUAAAAUGGGGCUUUUAUGCAGCCAAGCUAAUGCAAUUUUGAGGCCUGAUGAGGUUGUUUAGGUGCUCUGAGUUGUACCUAUGCAAUUGUUGAACCAAAUGAAUAGCCAGGGCAAGAUGUUGGUUUGCCUGCUGACAAUUCGACUGUGUUGUAAAGCUACUGGAGUGAAAUAGUUGACAAUAAAAUAGAGAAAUUUUUAGAAUUAGUUUAUAAGAAAAGGAAUGGGCAGAUUGUUUCAUAAAGAGGCUAAAGAGUGAAACGUACUUAGUGCAGAUGAAAAAACAUAGCUGUCAAUUAUUUUCUUACAUAAUUUUUAGAGAAAAAUGCAGUUUUAGUUCCGAUGUUUAGUUAGUAUGCCAAACUAGUCUAUAAUAUUUUGAUAAAAACAAAUGUAGUCUCGAAAAUUUCUAAUUUUGAGCAAAUUUAGGAUAAUUUAUCGAAAUUCAACCAUUCGUAGCGGUAAAUAUCAAAUUUCUAUUAGUCAAAUAUUUUGGCUUUUCAUUUUAGUUCCCAAAGUUUGAAAUUUCAGUCAUUAUAGCCCUUAAGUUUCAAAUGGUAUCUUCGGGGAUUUUAUGACGAAAUUGGACAUAAAAAGGGUUGAAAUUGUAUUAUACAUACUAAAUAUGUUGAUAUAAACUUGUCUUCUUCUUUUUAUUUCUUUUUUUUUAUUUAUACAUACUACUAAUUUAUAACAUAUUUCUUCUCUUUUACAUACUUGGUCAAAUUUGGCACAAUUCAUCUAAUCAUGUCUAAUUUUCAUUCAUGUUGAUAACUAAGCAAUCAAUUAAAUAUCCCUUUAAAAUGUUAAGUUGAUUGAACAGUAAAUUUUAUUUUUCUUUUUUUUGGCAUUUUAUUUGGUCAUCAAUUGAGUUUCAAAUGAAAUAGAUAUUUUAUAUGAUUGCAUAAAUUCAUAAUGAAAUUAUCUAUGUAUACAAACAUAGAUACAAACACUUUAAAAUUUUAAUAUGGAAAUAUUUGAUUUAAUAUGAAGGAAGUAUAAGAAUAAACAACAGGGUGGUUUGUCAAAAUUUCAUACAAGUUCUUCAUAUUAUUAAUUACCUUUACUUGUUAAUAUAAUAAUGAUUGAAAAUUAUAACAGUUUGAAACUUGCAUCCAACAAUCAAUUGACAAAUCUCUGAUCUCCAAUAGAGAAUCUACAUUUAUCCAACUCUUAACUCAAUCCUUAUAGUACUUAAAUUUUGAUAAAUCCAUCAUGAAAUUGCCUAAUAUUAUCAUAGUGAGCUUGGAUAUUGUGUUCUACGAUAGCAGCGUACUAAAUUAGUGAAUCAUAAUUUUGUAAAGUAUGAAGUUUCUGCACAUACUAGUUUGAAAGUUUCUCAAUAUCAAAUGUAACUAUUUUUAUUGCAAAUGGUUAUGGCAAUUCAUCUUAAAUGUUUCAUUGUUUGGUUGUUUGUAAUAAAAAAAAAAUCUAAAUAGUUAACACAAAUCACAAAAAAAAAAAAAAGGAAACACAAUAACAAAGGUUUUCCAUUGUUGCAGCCAUUUGUUCAUUUUGUUUUUCUCUGACUCAAAAUGAAAGUGGGAAAGUGUGGGGUUUUUAUGCGAGAGUGAUGAAUAUUGUAAAGGUUUAUAGUGUGAGAUCUUUUUCUUAAGAUUACAAAACAUAAUACGUAAGAUUACUCUUCAAAAAAUUUCUUUUGCUAUUUUCAUUUAAUUCUUAAAAGCUAUCCAAAGGAAUGUUUUGAUUUUUUUUUUUGAAUUAAAUUCCAAAAGCCAUCAAUAAAUGAAUUUUGAUCUGGUUCCAUUCAACAGGAAUUUUACAACAAAUAUUUCACGACAAAAAAAGUUCAAAUGGUAUAACUUUUGCUUCUAAUCCAUAGUCAUGCGUUGCCUCCUUCACAUUCAAAGAAGUGUCGUUAUCGCCUUUCUUUUUAUUUUAUUAUUUAUUUUUUACAUUGGGGACAAUGUAAGAUUUAGGUGUGGGGAAGGAGUUUGGACUGCUAGUUAGGCACUAAUUGUUCACUUUUUCUUUUCUUUUUGCUAGUAGUGUAUGGUGGUUAAGAUGAAUGUAUGCAAUCAAGAUGUGAGAAUGAAUAGCAAAUUUAUGCUAGUUGAGCAUUUUAUUUUUCUUGGCAAUGGAUUUUGACAAGGUGUCGGCCUGUGCAAUAAUAAAAACCUGCUCAAACUAGAAGUAAUUUCUGUAGAUAGUGGUAAGUAGGGUCGAAUCCACAGGGACUGGGUGUAAUUGCUUCUUUCCAAAUUCACAGUGACAAGAGGGGUAUUUUUAUAUCAGGGGUGAUAAUUUAAGCAAUUCAACUAAAAGUAAAAUAAUAAAAAUAAAACAGCCAACUAGAAAUUAAAUAAUAAUUUACCAAAAUCAAAUGAGUGAUAAUUAAGGAUCUAGCCAAGAAAUAACUUCAGCAAUGGUUCACCCAAUUGAUCAUCGAUGCACAAGCAAUUCUAAUUAUUUAUUAAUAAAUAGGUUAUAACUGCCAAACAAGCGAUGACAGUCAACCCCUUCUUACUGUGCCGGUGAUUAAGGUACGCCCGUUAACCACUACUCUAAUUGAGAAAUAACCUUAGGUACGCCCAUAAGAUUUAAUUCCCCAAUUGUCUUACAUAUUAGAGUAGCCCUAUUCUAACCAAAUAAUGCACUACCAGGGUUAUUUCAUAUUAGCCCGCGUAUCCCCCUGACACGAAUCUAAUCGUGCCAGUUGUCACUAUUUCAAGGUAAUUAAACAAUUACGGAUUUAAUACCUUAAUUGACAAUAGAUUAUCAAGUUAACUAAUUAUCCGGAUCCAAGACAAUCAAUUAAUUAAAUAAUCAUGAACACUGCAAUUAAGGGAUAUGCGAAUACCAAUAAAUAAAAGAAAAAGAUAAAAUUAAAUCAAUCUCACAAGUUUAGGCGAACCAAAGCCUCCGUUGCUCCUUGACUAGAGUGGAGAAAUUAGUUCAUGUUUAACGAGAACAAAACAUACGAAACUGAAGCAAAAGCUGCGGCCAUCUUCUGUGUUUGGGAGAAAAGCCACGGGAAAAUCAUUCAAUUGUCCCUAAUUGCUCCUGACAUCCCAGGAGACAAAAACUACUAAGAAGCCUCCAAGGAAAACAUUAAAAACUAAGCUUAGUAGUGCCCAAAAGAAAAGUCAAAGCUGAAACUACUAAGCAGUCCUGCCAUGCGUGAGAAAGAAAAACCAAAAGGAACACUAAGCUGAUGGAGAUAAUGAUCCCCCGCUACUCAAUCCAAUUCCUAUCUAAUUGUCUUCCUUUGUGCGGCGGCUCCCACGGAAAAGAAGACUUCGGCCAAAUGACCAAAAAGGGCUUGCGUCUCUUUGUUCUAAAAAUGCCCCUGCAAGCCUUCUAUUUGAAUUCUUUCCCGAUAACUGUCAAAUUAGCAUUGAUUGUGGUGUUUUCGAUCUACUCCCUGAAAUAACUGCAAAUUAUGAAAAGUGAGUAGAAUCCAAUAAUAAAUCCACAUCAGGUCAAGUAAUAGGGAAAAUUAAUAAUAAAAUAAAUGAUAAAAUCGCACCCUAUCAGAUUUGAAUGAUAAAUGUGUUGAAUUUGACAAAGUUUAACCACUUUGUGAGUUUGUUGGGUCUAUUAAUGAGCAUUUCAUUUGUGUUUGCUCUAAUUUCAUUUGUUGAGUGGUUGUGGCACAUGAUUUUGUCAUUCUAGAACUUGGUAUUAUGUGCAUAUCGUGUUGGAUCCUUAAUCCAACAUUGGACUUAUAUGUGAAUAAUUAUGUAUUGCAAACUGUCAAUUAAGGUUAAACCCAAUUAAAGUGAUCAAAUAUAGUUUGGGUUUAAUGUAUCUAAUAGGAUGUGGGCCCUUUAAUGUGUAGAAACUUAUGGGCUCCUAUUUUAAUGAUGGGCUGAAAUAGGGCUCCAAAAGGUAACAGGAAUGUUACUUAUAAAUAGGGUUAUGGUCCCCAGGUCACAGGUAUCAUUUUAGUUGUCGUACUUCCUAAUACCACAAAAUAUCUCUUCCCUGAUAUCUCAUCGUCGGGAAAGAUACUAGAGAGAAACUAAAGGCCUCUCUCAAAGGAUCGGUGAAUACCUGUUGACCUGGAAGACCACCCCAAAAUCUCUAGGGAUUCAAGUGUCAAAUUUAUCAAUAUGGAUUCAGGUACACUUCCGCUAUUUUUACAGUUAAUGUAUUUCUUAAUAAUCGCCAUACAAAUCUUGGGUUUAAAGGUGAUGGUUUUCACCAGUGGUUAAAUUUAGAUAACCACCCUAACAUAUCGAAAUCACAAUUUUGUUGAAUUUGAUGCAUGAAAGUGACAAGGGUACCUAGGAUUUAAUCCCUUUUGACUUUCUUAAAGGACUAGCCCCUCAUUUGUUUACCAUUAGUGAGACCAUUUGAGCCUUUAUCCCUUUUCUUUGUCUAAUAACCAAAAUUGUUGCCCCUAAGACCUUUUGUUUUGAUUUUUUUUCGAACAUUGUGUUAAAGGGAUGUCUAAAUUUGAUGGCAUGAAAGCUGGGUGUAUAGUUGCAAGGCAAUAGAGCAAGUGAGAUGGUCCACAAGUGUUUGAAUAUGCUGAGGAAUCAUGAAAAGUAAGAGAGAGAGAGAGAGAGAGAGAGAGAGUUGAAAAAAAAGAAAAAAAGAUGGAAAAGCACAAAAGAAAGAAAAUGGAGAGAUGCAAGCUUUUGUGCAUAAGUGUUGAAGUAAUAGAAGCAAAUUGCUGAAAAAUAUUUACAUUUAUCGAAAUUGAUGAAGGUGGAUGCUAAGCCUUGGAAGAUUGAAUUUGAGAAAUUUUCCUGUGAUGAAUUCUUGACAUUCCCUUGACAUGUUUAUGCCUCAAUUUACCUUUAUAUCCUGUCCUUUACCCCAGCCCCGUUAGAAUCUUAUAAAAGUCCUUUCGAUUCUUGUAUAGAAUUCACUUUUGAUGGUGAAAAUGUGAUAUAUGAACAAACUUAUGGUAAUAUCACUCCGUGGUGUGUAUUUGAAAGUUAUAUGAUACCCUAUACACUAUUGAGUGGCGAGUGUGCAUGUUCAAACCUUUGUAAGGUUUGUUGAGUUUGGUUCAUUCGAAUUUUGAAGAAAUUGUUGGAAGGGUAGGAUGUUUAUAUUAGUAUGAUAUGCUGUGAGUUACUUGCUAUCUUGAUUGUGUUUUUGCUGUGAGAUGCUUGAGAACAUGCAUAGUUUAGGUAUGGAGGAAGUUGAUAUGUUAUAUUUUUGUCAUAAAAUUCAUGAUUAUUUUUUCUUUAAUUUUGACCAAAUAUUGCAUUAAUUGGUAGAUUCUACUUAUAUUUGAUAAUCGUAUUGGUUGCAGGGAUCCGGAGCCAAAAAAGAUUAAAAACAUGGAUUUUACUAUAUUUUUGCGCAAUUCACCAAGGGCACGUCAAGGUCUAAUUCUGCAUGUCUGAAAACUCGGAAUUUGACACGUGAAUUCCAAUAUUAAAUUGAAGCUGUGGAAGUCCGUCUCUUCACCAAAUAAGUAGUCUCCUACUUCUAUUAGGACAUCGGUCUAGUUGGCCUAUCUCGACUUUUUGGAAAGAGUCCACUACCUAGUAGGAAUUUGAUUUCUUUGAUGAGAGAAACUUUUAGUGGAGAUAGGAAACAAAGUCCGGAAAAUUAGCAUCAUUAUAUGCUUGGAUUGUUUGUUUCCGUCGGAAAAUAUUGUCGUUUUCCGUGAUCACAUUUUUCUAUCACCUUUUUCCCUCACAUAUAUCAAAUCGCUACAGUAAUUUUUCCAUGAAAAAUGACGGAAAAUGCAAUCCAAACACAACCUAAAGAGUAACGGAGGGGAGACAUCUUUUUCUUUCAACCAAGAAACGAGGGGAGACAUCUUUUUCUUUUCUUUUCUUUUCUUUUUUAUCGUAUUUGUUGGGGAGAAUGGCAGCAAUAAAUUCAAUUAUUUUACGUGUGUCUUUUCCCUUAACAAUAAGCUAAAUUUUUUUUUUCCAAUCAAGGAGUAACGGAGGAUUUGGUUCAUUUAAAAAUGUGAUAUCGAAUUAAUUAUAUUCAUUUCUUUUUAUUUACUGAUAUUCGUAUGCUCUUUGAUUUAAUUUUUAUCGUUAUUUUGUUAUUUGAAUAUCAAAGGCCUAAUAUUUAAUUUAAUCUAAUAACCUAAAACCAUUUAGACCAGUUAAAUCCGUAAUUAUUUAAUUGUUUUAAAUUAGUGGUGGCUAGUUUGAUUAGGUUUGUAUCAGAGGAACAUAUAGGUUAACUUAAAAUAAUCCUCGUAGCUUGUUAUUUGAUUAGAAUGGAAUUUCUCUAAUUCUUAAAAUAAUUGGAAAAUUGAACUCUAGCAAUCGUAUCUAAGGCUAUUUCUUGAUUAAGAAAGUAAUUAACAGUCGUACCUUGAUCAGUGACACAAUUAGGAGAAAUUGUUUGUCAUCGCAUAUUUGACAGUCAUAACUUUUUUAUCAGUGAGUAAAUGAAAUUAUCAUUGCAUCAAUGAUCAAUUAAGCGAACCAUUUCCGAAGUUAUUUCUUGAUUGAAGUUUAUUUAUUAUUGAUUUAAUUUUAGCGAAGUGUUAUUUAGUUCUUUUUAUUGGAGUAAUUUAAUUAUUUUCAUUUUUAUAAAAUCCCCCAUACCUUAAAUUCUUAAAGAAACGAGUUAUCUCUAAUCCCUGUGGAUUUGACUCUACUCAUCCUAUACGCAAAAAUUUGUAUCUCAUUUGAAUAGGUUUUUCAUUAUUAUACAGGUUCGACACCUAUCAAAAUAGUCACAAUCCAUUCUUUCAGUAAUCAAGAAGAUGAUUUGUAACUGCAAAUAAUAAAGUAACAAUAAGAAUAAAACUAAAAAAAAAAAUACAAAGGCAAGAAGAUGCAAUUUGGAGGAAGUAACCACCGGGCGUCCAAUUCGUCCAGUAACGCCACUGAAAAAGGUUGAGAACUGCAAAGGAAGCAAUUACGGGGAAUCCAAUCUGUCCAACAGGUCUUUAUGGCGGCCUGUGAGAAGCACUGAUCCAAGAAAGUUACAUCGGAAAAUUGAACAAAGAACAAAAUAGUAAACACAUAACAAAGCCCUCUUUUGACUCUUCAAAAAUUUAACUCUAGACUACCAAGCACUUAAAAACAUUGACAAUUUCCCACUCAGCACGAAUCAUGCGGAAUAAAUUCUUUCCUUAUCUCUUCAAAUUAAUUUUACAAACUUUUCCACACCCGCUAAAGUAAUCAAGAAGUUGUCUGAUGAAAUGACGAAGUCCUGACCCCCUCUCAUUUCUUGGUUUCUUGUCUCAAUCACUUAAUUAACAAUAACAGAUUAACGAAAAGAAAAAAAAAGCGAAUUAAGAAAUACAUUUCAAGGAACUAGCCACCAAGGAUCUAAUGCCGAUGUAGACUUGGCCAAGAGGACUAAAUUAAUAUAGAGAGAUGAAAAGGAUCAAACCAUUGUGGUUGGCCCGAUGGAGUGAUUAAGAAAGGACCCUUACCGUUCUUUCUAUUAUUUAGAUUUAGCGAUCAAAGUCUGGGUUAGGCAGUUCAGCGUGAGAGGGCUGUGGGGAAGCUUGGGAGGUAAUAAAAAAAAUGAAAAAGAAUAAACUGAUAAAAUACAGUUUUAUACAUUAUCCUGGCAAUGUCUAAAACAUGUACUCACCCCUUUGAGUUUGGCGCAAUGCUUUUAUUUUGAGCUUCUUCUAUACGGUUUUUUUUUCCUUUGAUAUUUGUGGCUGAAACGUUGAAUCCUUCAAUUCGAAAACCCAAAUUAGAAAAUAGAUAUUAUCUUUAAUUUGUAAUUCCAAAUAUCUGAACACCAAAACACACCAUCUUAUGAGAUUUACUUGAUAAUCGAAAAAAUAAUAAUAUGGUAAAUUUAUCUACAGGGAUUACCAUACACUACUGCAAACUGUGCUUUCGUAUUGAAAGAUAUAGUACCAAAAACGAAAUAUUGCUAUUCGUUGACUAAUUAAUGAGAUGACCAAAUGAUCAACCACUUUCAUUUCUUUAUUCUUUAAGUACGUGAGAAGAAAGCAUUGCCUCUAUAUUAAUGCCUUAAUUAAUCAAGCGAUUUCCACUUGAAUAAUUGACUAAAAAAUUGGUCUGAAGAUGUCAUUAGCCAUUUUCACUUCAUUAUUUCAUUUCUUAAUUACUGUUUAUCGAUGGAAUCAAGAAGAUGCUUUCUGGUGUAAAUAAUAACAAAUUCAAAAAUAAAGAGACGCAAAUUAUGAUUUGGAGGAAGUUGUUGCGGGGCGUCCAAUCUGUCCACUCGCAUUGGUAGAUGGACACUUCAUUAUUCUUUGUUCUUGGCCUCUAUAGCGGUUUUCACAUUUGCCAGCGAUCCAGAAUAAGUCCCUACUUUUUUUUUUUUUUUGGGUUUUUGGCCUUUUAAAAAAAUGAGCAAUCAGACAGCCACUUUCAUUUCUUUAUUUUAAAUUGCACGAGAAGAUGCUUCAAGCAAAGGUGAAGCAACAUUGGCCGAUGAGCAUCUAAAGUCCAUGUGUAAUCACAUGGCAAGCCACAAGGGUUGUCCAUAUGUAAUUAUAUUGUACUUCUCUAAAUCAUUUGCAGUGAAUAACCUAACACGAGGGCGUGCAAACAAAAUGUCCAUUCUUCUAGUCUUGAGUCAUUCGCUAUUCUGCCUGCAUCAAAUCCAAUUUCAUGAUAAUGGCUCAUUAUUCUAAAAAAGAAAAAGAAGAAAUUCAUAAAAUUAAAAAAAAUGCUAGUACUAUUUUUCUUUCUUUUUUCUUGCAAAAACUGUUGUAAGAAGUUACCUAAAAUGGUGCAUGAACUCAAUUUGACGACUUGAUCGGUGCCUUUCACCUUAGUACCUAACUUUUAACUUUUCCAUAAAGUCAGCUAUCCUAAACAAGUCCUUGAUUGCAGUUACAUUUUCAUGCAUUAGUAUAUGUGAGUUAAACAGUUUCAAGUUUUGGUUUCUUUCGGGGUACAACUUAUUUGAAUGCUAUUAACUACAGCAAACUUGUAUUUAACAGUAGUAAAUUGGUAGCGCCCAUGUUGAUGUCACAGUUUGACUUUCAAGUUAGCAAUUUAUUGGAUGUUUCAGGCUUGUAAUAAUGUCGACGUCCAAUGAUGUUUAACCUACUAGUAUUAAACGUUUCAUAUUCAUUCAAAUAUUUGCUGCGUUUAAGUAAGCUAUUUUAUCGCAUAUGCAUGACUUCAAACCUUCUCAUUCACUGCUCUUUCUAUAUUUAGCCUUUGUUGUUUUGAUCUGGACUUGUUUUAGUCAAGGUGAUUUUAUUUUCUCAUAAUUUUUUUAUCACACAUAUUAUAUUACCGAAGGUACUACAAUAUUCAUCUAAAUAAAUUUUCAGUUUCUAAUUUACACUUCCGAAGUAAGGGGUUGGGGGGUUGAAGGAGAGGAGAGAAGGGGAUGAAAUUAAUUAAAGAUGACGCUAGAAAAAACUGAUGCAGACAACAUCCAAUUUCAUUGUUUUUUGUAGAUAAAACACAUUAAAGAAUUGAUGUGACCAAGAGAACCUUCUUGUUAUUUUAACCUGGCAAUAGGGAAGCUGAAGAUUUCCACUUCCAUAAUUACAUCCAAUUUGAGAAUUGAAAGCUAUCAUCAUUCAAUAUUGCAAGUGGAGAACCCUCUUAAACCGACCUUCUUCACGAUCUAUCUGCUGACCCACCCAGCCCUUGUUUUCCCUUUUGUCUUCUUUUAUAAGGAGAGGUGCUCGUAAUUUAUAGUGUGUCGUACUGACUUGCUUUGGUUUAUUGCACCCAAGCCAUGUUGUAUUAUAAUAGUUCAGACCUUUUCUUCACAGCUAAUUUUAUUCCUAGAGAACAAAAAAAAAAAAGAAGUGCUGCCUACCACUAGUCACUUCUCCUUGAGGACUUGGGAGGUGGAGUUGGGAACUUUUGGGGGGUUGACAUGGAAGUGGUGGAAACUUGAAGCUUGGAGUGCAAAAGAAAGAAAGAAAAAAUUAGAUUGGUGAGAGUAUAAAAGAGUUAGCGGGAAAUCAUUAUUCGUCAUUUUACCAAAUUGAAAUUUCUCGAUCUUUUCUUCUUCCCUUUCUCCUAGCAAAAACCCUUGCUUUCUUCGUUCUUUUCAUUCUCUCACAAACGAUCACACUUGGGAAAUCAAGCUCAAGCAAGUGCUUCUCAAGAGCUAGGAGACCUUCCUCUAUCUCUUAAUCAAGGUAACUAUUGCAUCUUUUAAGUUUUCUUUAUUUGAUUUGAUUUGGUUUUGGGUAUAGAUGUAAGCUAAGCUUUGGUUUCGAGUGGACCUUGUGGUAGAGAUCCUUGUAUAUGUAGUUUUUAAAUUUAGAGUUUAGAGACUAAAUUAAGAAUCAUGGUAUAGUUAAAAGAUUAAAGUAUCCUAAUUUAGAAUUUAAGAACCGAAGUGUCAUGUGCGGUUAUCACACUGCUUCCAGGCCCUUAAUCUGGUAUACCACCGCUCUUUGUUGAGGUUUGCUUAUUUUAUUGAGCAACAUAUAAAUCAAGUGGUAAUUGAAGUCACUGACUCACACAAUUGUAAUUUCAUUCGAAUGCAGAGAUCAGAGAUAGUCUUUUUUUUUUUUUUUUUUGGAAAAACAAGAUAAAACCAAGCAAGUUCCAGCGAAGUGCAUCCAAUUGCUGUGGAAAUACAUUAUUUGAUCUGUAUUAUGAAGAAAAUUUAAGCGUUCACUUGUCCAAGAAUUCACUUGUUAGAGGAAAUAUCCAAAAGAACCCAUUAAAAAGGCCCAAUACAUAAGUCAAAAAUCCCAUCUUGACACAAAAAUUUAAAUUGUUAAGCUCUAGCCCUUACAUAUUAAGUGACCUUUUUUUUUUCCAUUUCUGAAACUAAUGUGAGAUACAAUUCUCUAUUUAUAAACCUAACAUUUUUUACGGAAAAAAAGCACCUUUUAUAAUUAAUAAAGAGGAUUACCUAAUAAUUGAGAUUAAAAAAUGAUCAAUCAGAAAACUACUUUCAUUUCUUUAUUUCUUGAAGAUGCUUCAAGCAAAGAAGAAGCUCUGUUACCCGGUGAGUAUUGAAAGUCGAUGGUAAUCACAUGGCAAGUCACCAGGGCAGACGAGUGACGGAGGACACUUUUCUACCGGACAUAAAAAAGAAGUUCUAACUAAUGUCUUAUUCAAAACCUACAACCAAAUUUGCAGAAUAAGAAAUAAUUAAUAAGCCACUAAAUUACCCAUUACUAAAUACGAAAAUUGAUAAAAGAUUGAGUCCAAUAAAAUCACUAGACAAGUAGAUGGAAACUCUUAAGCUUGGUUUUAGUUUACCAACAAGAUUUACAUAAUUCAUUCUCAGUUAGUUUCUUAAUUACUGAAGUAACCAAGAAGUACUUGCUUCACGAGAUGAAGAAGUCGCUGUCCAUUUGUCAUUUCCUUGUUAACGUCUAGCCUUAGUUACCUUAGUAAUAAAGAAGAAUUUUCAUUAUGUAAAGUAAUGACAAGUGGUGAAAAAAAAGAGCAAAUUAUGAAGAUGCAUUUUCGAGGAAGCAGCCACCGGGCAUCUUAUUACGAAUACGCGACCAAGUUGAAAGGUCACGCUUUUAUUUAUUUAAUUUUUUUUGGAGUACGGUCACGCUUUUAUUUGUUUUAUGAUCAGAUAAUAUCUAAAACAUAAUAUAUAGUGGAGUACUAGUAAACGGAAUUUCUUAAAUUAACUAAAGGCCGUCAGCAUGAAAAAAAAAAAAGAAGAAUGGCCGUCAGCGUCACAAGCCAUUGACCAAAACUAGUAUCAUGCAGUUUUAAAACCAAUGUUUUAAAACUCGGACAGUUAAUUAAACUGGUGAAAUGUUCGGAUUAAGGUUCAAUCUGUCGGACCGGUUCAACCCUAGUUCAAUGAAUUUUUAAAAAAUUAAUUUAUAUAUAUAUAUGCACAAAAUAAGAUAUGCUAUGGACUAAUUUAAAACUUUAUAUGAUGUAAAGUUUAUUAUUUUUGAAUAACUUAAAUUUUCAAAAAUAAAUUUUAAAUUAUAAGUUGAAACAAAUAAAUUUCAUUUCAAUUUCAAUUAUAUCUACCAAAAAAUAAUUUUAAAUCCAACCGAAAAAUACCACAAUAUUUUAAAAUUAUACAAAAUUCGCGUCUAUGAGAAUUUAGACAUUGUGAACUUAAAUUUUAAUUUACGUUUUUGAAAUUUAGAGAUUGCAAUUUUAAAAAGGAAGUUUGGAGUUUGAAAGAAGUUAAGAGAAUUGAAAAUAAAAAUGCAAACUUGAUAAGAAAAAAAAAAGAGAUAAAAGUGAGUGGUUGUGGCAUUAAAUAAUUAGUCUUUAGGGUUAAAGAAAAAUAAUUCUUUUUUUAACUUUUUUCAAUUUAUGGACAAAAAACAAAAUUAAAAGAUGAAAAAAAACAUCAAUAAAUUAAAACUAAAGAGGUUUGAUUAAAAAAGAAGUGACAAAAGAAAAGAGGAGAGAGAGAGAUAGAGAGAGAGAGAGAGUUGCAGAUUAAAAAGAAAGAGUCAUAAGAGAAUGAAAUUUUAUAAGAAAAAUGGAGAAAAGAAAGAUGGAUGUUUGUUUUAUAUAAAUAAGUUAUCAAAAAAGACUAAUAAGAUGUGAUUGUAUGAUGGUUUCUACAUUGGUUUUCUAUUAUAAAAGUCUUGAGUUUGAACCUUGGUAGCUGCAUUUUGCAAACCUUUAAAAAAAAAAAAAGAGGGGAAAUUUGAAAACCGAAAACCGCUGACCAAUUUUCUUUAGAUUUUUUAAAAUUUGUUUAAUUAUGUACUAACUAAUAUGAGAAUUGUUUAUGAGAAUGAUUUAUACAUUAAGCGAGUGCUUUUCUUUUUUAUUUAAUUACAUAAACCAAAUUAUAGAUAUUGUUUCUAAGAAUGAUUUUUAAGUUAUGCUGAAAUGUUUAUUUUUAAAUUGAUAUGCUGAAAUUUUAAUGCUAUAGGGUCAAUAACUGAACCUACGCUAAUAGCUCGGUAGUGUCAAGAUCUAAAGCGGUAACCUUCUUUGGACCCAAAUCAUCAUGGUAUUGGACCACUAUCUUCCUGCCACUGGGGGAAAGGGCAAAAAAAAGCACAAAUCGCAAAACACAAUUUUCAUAGGACGUAAGAAGUAAUAAUUUUGACUCAAAAUUCUUUUCAUACACUACUGUUUGAUUGAAACUGUCAUUAACACACCAUGUACUAAAUAGUCUAGAAGACGUGAUUAAAAUGAUUCGGUAAUUCUAACUUUCCUCCCAAGUUCAUAGACAGAGCACGCCUGUCGUUUGAAGAUUCAAAGUUGCGUACAUAGUUCAUAAUUUCUGCCGGCGCAAACACAGAUUAUUACGUAUACACAAAGGAAUUACCAACAAAUAGUGAAAAUUGGGACCAAACUUUUGUAAUUUGAAAACUUCGGGGGCCAAAAUGCAGCAUCGUUUAUAAGGGACUCAAUAAGUAUAAAUUCCAAAUGUUAUGGACCCAUUGUGAUAUAGAUAUCACACAUUUGCAUGUGGUAUCAAUCAUAUACAACUAAAGUUUGAAGGGUAAAGUUUUGUCUAUACAGUCACCAUUCAUCAGUACCUUAACACUCCCAUCAUGAGGCGGUUCAUUUCAAGAAUAGCAUUUCCCACAAGAAGGGAGUUAUUAUUGGGAUCAAAAUGCCAUCUCUUCUCGUUGCCCCGCCAACCGAGAAGAAACCAUAUUGCUGAUGGUUCUGCAGGAACUACCAAACCAGCGCUGUUUGGCUGCAAAUGUGCAUCGAAAGGGUAUAAUGAACAUUUCAUGAACAGGCAGAGUAAUGGCCAUGUCUAUACUUUUCCAAGUUCUGGCAUUGCUGGCUCAAGAAGGUAUGUAUGUAAACUUCUUUCUUUCUUUCUUCAUUACUCUUUAGAAUACGUAGUAUUGACUUCUUCUUUUUUUUUUGGUUGUCCAUGACUAUUGGAGGGAAGUUUUUUCAAUUUCUUUUUAUUAUAGACAAGGGGAAAGACAAAUAGGGAAAACGAAAAAGAAAACAAAAAUAACUAGAAAGGACAGAAGAAACUCCUUUGCUAAAACUAAAUGAGUGUCAAUUUUAGGCUGUGAUUAUAGGAAUAUUUUUUGAAAAGGGUCCAUGAGGAGAAGUUCUUGAAUUAAAGGGCUUCAUCUUCGAGAUACAUGUAAUUGUAGAUAGGAAAAUAUACAUUUUCUUUUUUGGUAUGCUCAAAAGUAAAUUUUGCCCUAGAAUUAGUAGAGAGGACCUUUCAUCAUUUCACGGUAAUGACAUAGCAAAAAUUUCAUGUUUUGAGUUUUGUUCUUGUUUAUGAUAUUAUGGAAUAGUUCUAAAAGUCCCAAAAAUUCAUCACAAUAACGUGAAGUUAUUGAAACUCUAGCUAAUUAUGUUUUUCUAGUCCAAAAGCAAUAAUUAUUCGUGAAUUUGAUAAUACUCUUAUUCAUAUUGCUUUCUUUUUAUUGUCAUUGGCAGGAAAAUUAAGACUUUCUCAAUUUAUAGGGGAGUAAUUCAUUUACUACAACGUACUAGUAUAAUACUAUAAUUUGAAAUUUAUUACUCAAAAGCAGAAUUGCUAAUUAAACAGCCCCAGACGAGCUGAUCUUAACUAUGAAAAACAAACAAUAAAGUUUAUUUUUCCAUUAAAUUUAAAAUUUUAAUUUUAUGAUAAUUUUAUCCUCUUUUGUAAUGGCUAAAAAUUCUUCUAAACAUGUCCCUGCAGCAUUCAUUUGAGUGUCGAUCAGAAAACUGCAUAUAUGGGCAUAGAAAUUAUCUCCAAGGAAGAAAUCAAGCCAGCAUCUCCAACUCCCCCUGAGUUGAGAACUUUUAGGUUUUCAAUCUUGGAUCAGCUUACUCGGGACUCUUAUACAAAUAUAUUGUUCUUUUUCUUCCCAAGAAAACAACAAGGCACUUAUCUCAACGAUGUUAUUUCCCAAAGAAGUCGAUGUCUAAAGGAAUCACUAUCAAAAACCUUAGUACCCUUCUAUCCACUAGCAGGAAAAAUAAAAAAUAAUUUGCAUAUUGAGUGUAAUGAUGAUGGAGUUUACUACGUCGAAACUCAAACCAAUAUUGGACUGUUAGAUUUUCUGAGGAAGCCUGAAAAUGAGUUCAUGAAUCAGCUAUGUCCAUUUCAUCCAGAUUCCACGGAAUUAUUGUCAAAAAGUUAUCCUAUCAUGGUUCAAGUAAACAUUUUUUACUGUGGUGGUAUUGCCAUUUGCUUGAGUGCUUCCCACAAGAUUUUUGAUGGUCUCUCAGUUUCUACAUUUAUGCAAUCUUGGGCAGCUACAGCACGCGAAUCAACGGUACAAAUAAAUCCCAGUUUUAUUUCAUCUUCCUUAUUUCCUCCUAUUUUGGAUAUGUACCAAGAUUCACCUCCUGUGGUCUCCAAACCACAAAAGAACGAGCCUAAAUAUGCUACAAGCAGAUUUGUGUUCGAUAGCUCAGCCUUGGCUGCGCUUAAAUCCAAGGCAGCUACAUCAACAUCUUCCGCGAAACCAAGUUCAGCCAAGGCUGUUAUGGGACUUCUAUGGAAAUCUGCCAUAGCAGCUUGGAAAGUGAGGUCUGUUUUGUUUAUCCCGGUGAAUCUGAGGACAAAAGUUUCGCCCCCUUUAUCACCUCAUUCACUGGGAAAUAUCGUCUGGUUGGCUCGUGCUAAAUGUUGUGACAAUUCUAAGCUAGAGCUGGAAUUGCUGAUAAACAAGAUCUCAAAUUCCAUUGGUACAAUGAACGCUGAUUUUGUUGAAUCUAUAAAUGGUGAGAAUGGGAUUCAGAAGCUGAUGGGAGCCUUAAAAGAUUUCCAUGAAGUGUUCUAUGACCCUAAUAGUAUGGCUGAAUGUAUCUAUAUCAGCAGCAUCCGCAAGACUGGUUUUUAUGAGGCUGAUUUUGGAUGGGGAAAGCCCAUAUGGACAUGCAUUGCGCGUGGAAACAGGGAUUUACACGGAUUGGGAAAUAUUGCUCAUCUGAUCGAAACAAAAUCUGGUGAUGGGAUUGAAGCAUUGGUGACCAUGAAAGAAGAGUACAUGGCUACACUGGAGAAAAAUCAGGAGCUUCUCCAUUAUGCUUCUUUAAAUCCUAGCCCUCUUGAUUCAAGCUAGCUUUUCAGCAUGUUUUGUCUGGCUAUGUUUCAAAUCCUACAAAGCAAUUGUGAAGGUUGGAUUGUUAUCAAAAGAAAGUUGUAGGAACAGAAAACCAUGAAUUUGUGUAUUAUUCCCCAUUAGUUUGUUGACUUACUUUUGAAAAGAAAAAAAUAACACCUGAUAUGAUUGGGAGUUUGGCAGACCCUGUUUGUGUAUAAACAAAGAAAAACUUUGGGGAACUUAAGGCCUUAGUUCUGAAUUAUGUGCCAUUAGUGCAGUGGCAGAUGGUUUUCUGAAAGAGAGUGGCUCAAGUCAUGUGGUUCCUGACCCCAAAAACAAUAACAAAUCUACCGUUGUACCUUUAUUUCUUGCUAUGGAGCACCUCCAUGACCCCAUGAUCAUGAUUUUUCUGGGGCUGAAAGUGGGGUAAAUUUAACGCCAUACGAGUCUGCGGUAGUUCCUAGAGAUAAUAUCAAAAACUUCUCUUGAAGUUUAUCACUUAGCACUCUUAGAUCGUGUUUGUAUUGUAACUUUUUGAAAUUUUUGUAAAAAAUAUACUGUAACAAUUUAAUAUAUAUAAGAUAAAAAGAUGUUUGAAAAAUGUGUUCAUGUAAAACGUAAAAAUUUUUGAUGAAAAAUUCCUUUUCAAACAAGGCCUUAAAAUUGCUAUUCAUUGACUAAUUAAUGACAUGACAAAAUGAUCAACCACUUUCAUUUCUUUAUUCUUUAAGUGCGUGAGAAGAAAGCAUUGCCUCUAUAUUAAUGCCUUAAUUAAUCAAGCGAUUUCCACACGAAUAAUUGACUAAAAAAUUGGUCUGAAGAUGUCAUUAGCCAUUUUCACUUCAUUAUUUCAUUUCUUAAUUACUGUUUAUCGAUGGAAUCAAGAAGAUGCUUUCUGGUGCAAAUAAUAACAAAUUCAAAAAAAAAGAGACGCAAAUUAUGCAAUUUGGAGGAAGUUGUUGCGGGGCGUCCAAUCUGUCCACUCGCAUUGGUAGAUGGACACUUUAUUAUUCUUUGUUCUUGGCCUCUAUAGCGGUUUCCAAUAAGUCCCUACUUUUUCUCUUUUUUGGUUUUUGGCCUUGAAAAAAAUGAGCAAUCAGACAACCACUUUCAUUUCUUUAUUUUUAAAUUGCACGAGAAGAUGCCUCAAGCAAAGGUGAAGGAGAGUGAAGGAGAGCACUUUUCUACUGUUAAUAAUUUUAUUCCUAGAGAGCAUAAAAAACAAGUACUGCCUACCACUAGUCACUGCUACUUGAGGACUUGGGGGGCUUACAUGGAAGUGAUGGAAACUUGAAGCUUGGAGUGCAAAAGAAAGAAAGAAAUUUUCUUAUUAGUUUGGUGGGAGUAUAAAAGAGUUAGCGGGAAAUCAUUAUUCGUGAUUUUACCGAAUUGAAAUUUUCUCGAUCUUUUCUUCUUCCAUUUCUCCUAGCAAAAACCCUUGCUUUGUUCGUUCUUUUCAUUCUCUCACAAACGAUCACACUUGGGAAAUCAAGCUCAAGUAAGUGCUUCGCAAGAGCUAGGAGAUCUUCCUUUAUCUCUUAAUCAAGGUAACUCUUGCAUCUUUUGAGUUUUCUUUAUUUGAUUUGAUUUGGUUUUGGGUUUAGAUGUAAGCUAAGCUGCUAAGCUUUGGUUUCGAGUGGACCUUUUGGUAGAGGUCCUUAUAUAUGUGGUAGUUUGGGUGAUUGUGGUGAUUUCUUGAUUGAGGGAUAAGCGUUAAAGUUUUGGAUGUUUGGUGAUGUUUUGGGUUGGUUUGUACUUUGGUUAUAUGUUGUGUUGGGUUGGAAAUAGGUAGAGCGGUGAAAAAGGAAGUAAAACUAAUUAGUAUCACAUUUGCCAUCGAUCUAAAACAAGCCAUUAAUUGAUGAAAAUUAGUAUCAUGGAUUCAUCUUAAUGUAGUACUAUUAAAUGGAAUUUUUUGAGUUACUAAAAUUGCAGCAAAGUGAAGGGAAUUCAAGCAAAAAGCAUCCAAUAGCUGUGGUACAAAUAAAUGAUUAAGUGAAUAAUUAACUGAUAGUCGAUGAGAAGCUGUCCUCACUUCUUUAUUUUUCGUCUUAAUUACUAUAAUAAUAAUAAUAAUUAAGAAGUGGCUUGAUGGGAUGAAAAUGUCACAGCCCAUUUCUUUGUUUCUUGUCUCAGUUCCUUCAGUAAUCAAGAAGAUGAUUUGUAAAUGCAAAUAAUUAAGUAACAAUUAUAAAAAAAAAAGAAAAAAAAAAAGAAGCAAGAAGAUGCAAUUUGGAGGAAGUAGCCACUGCGCUUUGAUCAUGACAGAUGCUUAUCAAGAUGACUCAUUUAAACUAGAAAAUUUUGAAAAAAAAAAAGUAAAGUGAUACAUCAUCUCUUUUUCUUUUUUUUUUUUUUUUUUUUUUGGGUGUUGCUUUCUUGACCAAGAAAUAUCUAAAUCAUAUCUUACCUACUUAAUAAAAAAAAUAAAAAGAUAAUAAAAAAAUGUGUCCUACCUGCAAUUAUACUUUAUCACCCUUUUUUUUUAAUGCCAAUUAGUGAUAAGAUAUCAUUAACAAUUAUUCAGCCACUUUCAUUUCUUUAUUUCUUAUCCACUCGAGAAGAUGCUUCAAGCAUAAAAGAAGAAAUUCCUCUAAAUUAUUGCCUUAAUCAAGAGGGUGCAUCUGCGAGGAAAAAGUCUUACAUCAUCCAAUUCCAAAGAUGAGUUUGCUUUUUUCAACAUCAUUGAAUCUACGAAUGAAAAAGGAACCAAACCAUAAUACUUCUUAAUCACCUCAAAACGCAAUCUUUCUACUAUUAAAGUUUUUAGCCCUACCCACUACUAGAUAGAAUAUUUAAACACUAAUUAGUCUCACAACAAAAGAUUGCUCUCACGUCCUGUCUAGCUUGAUCAGAUUGAAGGAUGAGAUUCAUUAUAUGUUGUCUUAAACGUCACAUUGUUGGAAAACAGACUGGCUUAGGUGAUGUUUGAAUUGUAGUUUUCUAUUAAAAAUUUCUCAUAUUUUUAAUGAAUAUAUGUCUUAAUCACCUUUUAUUUUACAUAUAUUAAAUCAUUACGGUAUAUUUUUCUACAGAAACUAUAAAAAAUAAAAUACAAACGGGACCUUUUAUUCUCAACCAUAAACCCCGCGGGAAAAAAAAGGAAAAAGAAGGUGUUUAAGCAUGAUUUUUGCCGAAUUUGUAAAGGAUGAUUCUGAUAACAUAUAGAAGCUGGAUCAACCAAUGAUUAAUAGUCACGGAGAAAAGGAAAAAUCAAUCACUAAUAUAUAAUCAACCAAGGAUUUUAAGUUUUGAUAGGGUGGCACGUCAAUGAUUCAAAUCUUGGCUUCCUAUUAUAUGUGAUUUUUUCUAAAUGUAUACGGAUGCGUAACGCACCUAUCUAAUCCGAUUUGCUGGUUAUUCAGUCCCCAUCAACAUUUUAGGUCCUUUUGGACUUCUCAUUCCUUCCUAAAGUAGGUUAGAGUAGGAGUCGAUUGUGUUAGGUAUUGAAAAAAAUCAAUAAUAUAUAAGUCACGGAGUUGAAUAUCAACUUUUCAGUACAGGUACCAAUAAUAUGUUGCCUUCAUCAUUUUCAGCUAAAGUCUGUUUCGUUUUGGGACCUUGAUGAAUCCGACAAGUAUUAUGAAGAAUUUUUAAAAAUCCGACAAGCAUUAGAUAGAAUUUUCUAAACAACCGUUCUAUCUAAACAAUUAAUGACCAACACCGUUGAUCUUCCUCCUAUGGAGGAAGAAGAGUAGAGAGAAAGUUAAGGGUAGAGAGAUAGGGGAUAGAGAAGGUUGAGGGAAAAGAGAAAACAGCCCCUACGGCGACAAGAUUUUCGUCUAAGCUUUCAUACACCUAUUCUUUAUCAAAUCAUGCAACAUAUAUUUAUUUGCGAACCAAAUCUUGUAACAAAUAUUACAACCGGUUGACACAUUAAAACCGUACUUAGCCAUAUUUCUAGAUUACUCUGGCCAAUAUAAUCAUAGAUACGGAUUGGUUACAUGAGGAUAGGGUCAAUUUUAAUACAGAAAGUGGAAGACUGGUGGAUGAGUUUUGGAGUGUCAACUAUCAUUUACCUUGUAGUUCUGAAUAAUGGCAUAUAGAUUGUUUAUACAGUUAAGCACAUUCAACUAAAGCGUCUCAAUUUAGAACUUAGAGACAGAAUUUAAAGUUUAAAGACUAAAUUAAGAAUCAUGCUACAAUUAAUGGAUUAAAGUAUGCUAAUUUAGAAUUUAAGAGCUAAGUUUCAUGUGCGGUUAUCACACUGCUUACAGUCCCUUAAUCUGCUAUACCACCACUCUUUGUUGAGGUUUGCUUAUUUUGUUAAGCAACGUAUAAAUCUAGUGGUAAUUGAAGUCACUGGCUUAUACAAUUGUUAAGUUCUGACUUUUACAUAUUAAGUGUUUUUUUUUUCCAUUUCUAGAACUAAACGAGCAUGUUUCGAGCUCGAGCUCGACUCGUUAACCAAAAUUAACGAGCCGAGCUCGAGCCUUAACGAGCCGAGCUCUAACGAGCUUUCGAGCUACUUGAUUAACUUAACAGCUCUAAGUACAAUCACACUUUUAUUUGUUUUAUGAUCAGGUUACUAUACACUGGAGUACUAGUAAAGGCCGUCAGUGUCACAAGCCAUUGACCAAAACUAGUAUCAUGUAUUUUUAAAACUAAAGGUACCUUGGCUGUGUCUUGCACAGCCCGAGUCCGCUAAUAGCUUAAUUGAACAUAUAGCAACAUAUUUUUUUGGUAUAUAAUAAAUAGAAAUAUAGGAAAAAAAUUAAGUAUCAAAACAAUUAAAUUUUGCUAUAAAGAAAAAUUCCAUCUAUGAAAUUGGCCACCUCCCCCUCCACGGAUUUUAUAAGAAAUAAAUUAGCUCCUAAUUAUUGUGAUUUGGACAAAGAAUUUUGAGCCUAUAUUACGUGACAUGAUGAUAUAAAAAAAUGGAGAGAGAGUAAAUAAACUAUGAAUGUACUACUAAUUCAAUAGCAACAUAGCUUUAAUUGUAAUUAAAUCAAAAGUAGUCAAUUGAAUCUCCAAUUUCUCUUAAGCGAAAGUGAAGAAUCAUAUUAUAAUUAAGGGAAGUAGGUAAAAAAGAAUCUAUCAAAUCCAUCACUAAUCUUGAGGUUAAUGAAGGAAGGCAAUAAAGCAAGUGCACAGUUAAGUACAAUUGGGAAGAAAGAAAGCUGAUUUUCUAUGCAACUUUGAGAAAUGAUUUAUAGCACAAGAAGAAAAGAGACAUUAAUCAGUCAUAUAAAGGAGCUGUUUAAAUAUAAGUGUUGGGUGAGCUAUUAAUGAAACAUAAUUAAUCAAUAUCCAAGGACUAAAAGUUUUUCAUUAAUUUGUAAAAUUUGAUACUAUAGUUAUAAACUAGACAAUAGUACAUAAAAGCAGUAGAAGUCCAUAUGAUUAAACAAAAUGACCUCUAGUGAAAAUCUUCGGUCUUGACCCAUAUAGUAGAUCUUCAGCCUUUACCCAUCAAGGUAGAAGUGAGAAAAUAAAAAAGCGGAAAAAAUCACAACGUUUCUCAAAGGAGAGUUGUGCCACGUGUUAAAAAAUUGGUGUGAUACAGUAAACUCCCAUAUCUUCUUAUAUAAUAGGUACAAAACUCGUUCGCCUCAGAAAGGACAACAUAAGGGCCAAACUUGUUUAGCUUGGCAUGAACAAAGGGACAAAAAAAAAAAAAGAUAUUCAAGGGGUAAGAAAUAUUAGAAUCAUGUCACUUGUGAAACUAUUAGAAAGUCAUGUGACAAGAAAGGAGGCAAAGAACUAUAUCCUCCUUUCUUCUUAUAUACGGAAAUUGGGUUUCACAGGUUCCAUUUCGCACAAGUUGGAGUAAAUUAACAAAUUAGUCUCAAUUUAUACCAAAUUCUCCUUAUCUUACACUAAAUGAUAAUAAUCGAUUUAUAACAAAGUGUACCUGAUUUACACCAAAUAAUAACAAAUUACCAUACACUGAACUACACCUGAUUUAUAUUAAACUGAACCUAAUUCAUACUGAAAUCCUACUAAUUUAUACUAAAGUCAACUUUGUGCGAAAUUUUACAAAAUACAAAUUGUGAGGACCUAGACCCUAUGCUUAUAUACAAGGUAGACUAGAGCGGCAACGGGAUGGGCUCUCUCCCAUCGCAUGCUAUAGAAGUCUUGGAUUUGGAUCCUCUCCAGUGAAUUGUCUCUCCAUUUCCCACAAUGUACAUUUGGAUAGAUGACAUGUGCCUCCAUUUACUAGAAAAGAAUAAGAUCAUUUUAAGUUUAACUAAUUCUAAUCCUUGAUAAUAAAUUAAGACACAUGUCAUGCAUUAAAAUGUAUAUUGUGAGAAAUGAAGAGAGAAUUCACUGGAGAGAAAUCAAGUCCUAGAAGUCCUACCACCUCUUUUAGAUUUAUUUUAAAUGACUAAAGGGCUCUGUCUAUGGGUGCAAAUGAGUUGAGCCGAGUAGAGUUUUAGUCUAAUCAAGCCAUACUUCAACCUAGAUUUAUGAAACUCGAGCUCGACGAGCUCAAAAUGUAAAGCUCGAGUAAAAAAAUAAAAAAAUUACUAUUUUUCUAAAAUUGAAUAAAAUAAUAAUUUUUCUUAAUAAAUAAUAAAAUAUUAAGGAUAUAUAUGUAAUUUUACUAUUAAAAUAAAAAUAAAAAAUAUAUAUAUAUAUAUAUAUAUAAUCAAGUUCGAGCUAGCUUGCGAGUUAACGAACUUAAUAUUUUCGAUAUCGAAACGAACUUAGUAUUUUUAAUAUCGAAUUCGAGCUCGAGUUCGAUUUGAUUAGGUCGAACUCGAGUCGAGUUCGGACUCGCGCCACUCGCGAUCGGCUCGAGUCAUUUGCACCCAUAGCUCCACCAUUGACCCAUUUUCGAGGAAUAAAUUAACAAGAGAGAUAAAAUAGAAUAAAUUGAUUAAUGAGGGCGGCACUUCAGAUCUAGGUCUCCAGUUGUGACUUGUGAGCCUUUAAUGAGUUAACUCUUUUGAGUUUUGCAUACUUUUACGAUAAAAUUAUUUUGAAGGUUGCGGACUAAAAAUUCAAGGUUGCGGAAAAUUUAAAAGAUUUAAUUAUCAACAGUUCUACAACUUGGACAAAGAAUCUCAAGAUUUCAUUAUUUAACGAAAACAAGUAAUUUGAGAUCACAAGCCUCACUAUCAAGACACUAAGGUGACCAUCCGCUAGACACUAAGCAAAUUAAGUGGUUUAAAAAGAGGGGUCUGUUUUUGUUUAUUGAUUUGCUAUAUAAACUUUUUGGUCCCAUUAAUUUUCGCUACCUUAAUUCCCUAAUUGAGGAACUGUCUUAUAAAAGUUUCACCACCUACUCAGAUUACUACAAUUUAUGAGUUCCAAUUUUCUUUUCAUCCGACCACAGUGGUUUAAUUUCUUCCACAACUAAGGCCCCCAUCAGUGACUAAAUCAGAUUGCGCUAAAAUUAUUUUGAGGUGACCCCACGCAAUUUGAUUAAUCACAAUUAUACUAAUCUGAAUCUCUCUUAUACAUCAGCCCACUGGAAUCGUUUAAUCAUCUCUCUCUUGUUCUGACUGGCUUCUAUUCUGAUUUCUGCCAUUUGUUGCUGAAACAUUCCUUCCAUCUCUUCUAUCAGAAAACCUUUCGAUCCUAGUUCCAAUUCCAAGCAAGAAACAAUGGCUGACGCUGCUAUCAGUGCUACUGUUAAGGUCGUCUUGGAGACGGUCAUUUCCAUUGCCACGGACCGUGUUGGUAUGGUUCUCGGGGUCAAAGCAGAGUUGGAGAGACUAAGCAACACUGCUGCAACGAUCCGAGGUCUCUUGGCUGAUGCUGACGGGAAAAUGCAUAGCCCAGGGGUGCGAGAUUGGCUCAAGAAGCUAGAGGAUGAGGUUUUUAAAGCUGAUACCGUGCUGGACGAGCUCAACUACGACAAUCUUCGUCGGGAGGUGAAGUACCGAAAUCAACUCACCAAGAAGAAGGUAUGCUUCUUCUUCUCCUUCUUUAAUGCAAUUGGCUUUAGUUCCAGCUUGGCUUCAAAGAUCCGGGACAUCAACACCAACCUAGAAAGGAUCAACCAGCAAGCCAAUGACUUGGGAUUGGUAAUCAAGUACCAAAUUGAAGCUGCACUCCCUGCUGAUGCCGCUGGUGCCACGACAAGCAGACAGACCGACUCUAUCAUUGUUCCAAACGUUGUAGGAAGAUCCGGCGACGAGUCAAAGAUAGUGGAGAUGCUAUUGACCCCAUCUGAAAGAGUUGUCUCAGUUAUUCCCAUAACAGGCAUGGGUGGCCUGGGUAAAACAACUCUUGCUAAAUCAGUCUACAACAAAAUAGAAAUUGAUGAGAAUUUUGGCAUAAAGAGUUGGGUUUGUGUGGCUAGAAAAAUUGAUAUAGUGGAGCUGUUUAAAUUGAUUUUAAAAUCGUUGACAAGAACAAAGGUUGAAGUGGAUGACAGAGAGGUUAUCGUUAAAAAAAUUGGAGAAAAGCUCAAGGGACAAAGAUAUUUCCUUGUUCUUGAUGAUGUGUGGGAUCAUGAUCAAGGAUUGUGGGAUGACUAUUUCAACACUUUGAUGGGACUCAACGAAACCAAAGGAAGCUGGUGUCUUCUCACUACUCGUCGAGAAUCAGUGGCUAAUGCUGUGCCUAGACAUUUGCAAAUGAAUGAUGGUCCUUAUUCCUUAGGAAAGCUAUCAGGUGAUGAGUGUUGGUCCAUCAUAAAAAGAAAGGUGCUCGCAGGGGAAGAAGUACCAAAAGAAUUGGAAGUAUUGAAGAAGCAAAUUUUAAGGAGAUGCGAUGGCCUCCCACUAGCAGCAAAGUUAAUUGGAGGUUUGUUGCUUAACAGUGGAAAAGAGGAGUGGCAAUCUAUUGUGGAAGAGGGUCUCAUUGUGGAAGAGAGUCUUUUGAAUGAAUAUCAAAGCCAAAUUAAUCAAAUACUUAAGGUGAGCUUUGAUCAUUUAUCACCUGCAUCAGUUAAGAAAUGUUUUGCAUAUUGCUCGAUUUUUCCCCAGGACAAUGAAUUAGAAGAAGAUGAACUAAUUGAGCAUUGGGUUGCCGAAGGUUUUGUUCUACCGGAUCAGAAAAAUAAUAGAGUGAUGGAGGAAACAGGAGGCGAGUAUUUGAGGAUUUUGUUGCAAAAUUCCUUGCUGGAAAAAGUCGCAGAGUCGCAGAGAACAUACUAUAAAAUGCACGAUCUCGUCCAUGAUUUUGCAAAACCAAUUCUUAAUCCAGAAAGCAGCAAUCAGGAUCGCUACCUUGUAUUGGACUCUUCUAAAGGUUUGGAAGAAAAUACCAUGAGGACAAUACCAGCAUCAAUUCGCACAUUAUUUCUCCAUCUAAAGGGUGGCGUAUCUACUGACAUGCUUUUAAGAUUCAAGCACUUGCAUGUUCUCAGAUUGUCUGGCGAUGAUGUCGAGUCUCUACCGAGCUCCAUUGGCAAACUACUACAUUUGCGGUUGCUCGACAUUUCAUCUUCUAGAAUCAGAAGUUUGCCGGAAUCUCUUUGCAAGCUAUAUAAUCUGCAGACACUAACAAUGAGAGAUUAUGCACUUGAAGGAGGUUUUCCAAAACGGAUGAGCGAUUUGAUUAGCUUGCGGCAUCUAAACUACGACCAUGCUGAUGCGGAAUUUAAAAUGCCGGUGCAGAUGGGGACGAUUGACUUGUCUUCAAACUCUACAGUUCUUUAAUAUAAGUCAAGAGAGGGGUCGUGGUAUCGAAGAGCUUGGGACCUUGAAAUAUCUGAAAGGAUCGUUGGAGAUAAGAAAUCUUGGACUAGUGAAGGGCAAAGAAGCAGCUAAACAAGCAAAAUUGUUCGAAAAGCCAGAUCUGUCCUGCUUGGUGUUUGAAUGGGAGAGUGGGGAUCGGGAAAGCGAUAACCGUGAUGAGGAUGUGUUGGAAGGUCUCCAACCUCACCCAAAUUUGAAAACGUUGAAAAUUCAAUAUUUUAUGGGUAAUAAAUUUUCACAAUGGUUUGUGAAUUUGUCAAAAUUGGUGGAGUUGUGGAUACAAGAUUGCAAGAGAUGCAGUGAACUCCCCUCAUUAGGACAACUGCCAUCCCUCAAACGUCUCUCUUUGAUAAGAUUGGACAACAUUCGAUUUAUUGGAGAUGAAUUCUACGGUAUUACUGCUAAUGAGGAGGAGGGCAGAUCACGAGCAUCAGGGAGCGGCACUAGAAGACGCAAAUUCUUUCCUGCCCUUGAAAGCCUCUGGGUAAUAGUUAUGGGGAAUUUGGUAGAGUGGAAAGGUGCAGACCAAGUGAGGUCAACAGUAGGUGAAGCAGAAGCAGAUGUCUUUCCCAUGCUGAGGUAUUUUCGCAUUGAAAGUUGCCCCCAGCUGACCGCUCUUCCAUGCUCGUGCAAAAUUCUACGCGUGAGGAGUUGCUGCAAUCUAACAAGUAUAAAAACGGGUUACGGCACUGCUUCUGUUGAGGAGUUGAGAAUCCUUUUUUGCGACAAUCUUAGGGAGCUGCCAGAUCUGGAUCUGUUUGGAUCGAGUUUGCAGCGAUUGACCAUCGCAAGUUGCCCAAGAUUAAUUAGUCUGGGAGUAAAUGGACAGAAAUGCCCCCUACCAUGCCUUGAGGAAUUGAGUAUUGAUGAUUGCGAAGGGUUGACCACCAUAUCCGACAAAAUGUUCCAGUCAUGCCGGUCUCUGCGGUCCCUGGAGGUGAUGAGGUGCCCCAAUCUGGUGUCGUUUUCGCUUAAUUUGCAGGAGACGCCUUCUCUCGAGAAAUUCGUCUUAGACAACUGUCCCAAAUUGAUCCCUCGUAGUUUCAAAGGAUUUGCUUUUGCCACCAGCUUAAGAGAAUUGAGCAUCAACAUUCCCUUCUCCUCAGAUGAUUCCUCAAUCGAUGAUUUUGAUUGGUCUGGUUUAAGAUCUGCAUCAACACUCCGUGAGCUUCGCAUACGAGGGUUGCCACACCAGCUUCAAUACUUGGCUACCCUCACUUCACUAAGGCUGGAGAACUUUGGAGGAAUAGAAGUGCUACCGGAUUGGAUUGGAAACCUUGUGUCCCUUGAAAGCCUACAGCUAUGGGAUUGCGACAAGCUUCAGUCUUUACCACCCGAGGCCGCCAUGAGACGACUCACAAAGUUAACUCGUGUUCGAGUUUAUAGGUGUCCUCUAUUAAGACAACGAUACACUCCCCAAAGAGGCAUCUACUUGGAGGAGGAGAUUUCAAGUGAUCCUGUGAGAUUUUCCUAUCUAAAGUUCACACACAUAUAUAUGUGUAUAAAUUUUUUGUAUCUGCAUCUCAUUGACAUAUAUUUGCUCUUCAGUCUCUUGUACUCUUUUUCUCCAUCUCUUUUCUGCAAAGUUAUUCUCUGUAAUUAAUUCUCUUCUUUUGGGCAAACCUUGGUUUCUUUUCAAAGAUUAGUUUUAACAAAGCCUGGUUUUGAGCAAAUUGGAAGAGACCAAAAUUCUGGAUUUUCUCUGCAUCUCGCCAUUGAAAGAUUUUGAACAUCUUAAAAACUCAACUUGUUACCUUCUAUUUGGCCAAGGACAAAAUUAUUAGCAACGGUGCAUACACAAUUAGCCUCUUUGUUUGAAUGUGUUGGAAAGUGUUUCAUUUGAUGUGCAAUGCUAGAUGUACAUUGACGCAUUCGUCAUUUUUCUGUCAGUGAUAUUGCCAGUCUAAAUGGACAACAUUAAAGCUAAUCAAGAAACAGUUGUGAAGAAAUUUUGCUAUUCUUUGGGACUCUAUGUUCUUAUUGCCAUAAAAUUAUAUCAGUCUCCUUGAAGUUCAAAUAUGUUUGUUGAGGAACUAGAGUGCUCCAAACCUUCACCCCUUACAAUUGCUGAUGCAUGCUUCAUAAGAAUGACAAUAAUAUGGGAUCAUUGUUUAUCAUCUUUCAUAAGUUUGAGAAGUUUCUUCAUCACAAUUACCUUGUUUUUUUGUUCUGUGAGCUGAAUUACUAUAUUGUUACCUUGUAGACAAGCAGUGACAGCGAAUAAGAAAGCAAUAAUGGUGCUCAAACAUCAGUUUCAUGUUGUUUCCCAUCGUUGCUGAAGGAGGAGAAACCAGGAGGUAUGAUGGUUCUCAAGCAUCAGCUUCUCUCGCCAAGAACUCUUUUCAACCUCCGCCCAAUUUAUUAAAAACACAAGGGAAUUGGAGCAAUUUUUUAUCAAAGUAUGCUUGAGUGAAAAUAGGGUGUUUUUCUGCACUUUCAUGUACUUUUGAACAUUUGUCCUAUGCUAUAUAGCUUAGUUUUUAAUCUUUAAGAUUGUACAUUUACUAGGUGCUUAACACGUCAUUUGAUUGUGAAAGAAGCUGGUUUUUUCCAUUUUCUUGUACUGAAUACUAGACCAUGCCUUUUCUUUGCGUUCCUUAGCUGUCAUAACUGAAUUCAUGCUGAAAUGUAACAUUAUGAUGGUAUUUUCCAGAGUCUUAGAAAGCAGACCUCAUGUUGCUGGACAAAGACACCACCCUUUGCUGUUGCAUUUCUUACAAGAUUGCCAGGGGGCAGAAGUUAUUUUCACUGACUAGACAGGUUUGAAGAUGAAGUUAGUAAUCAAUGAUGAGAAUUUUGCACAUCAGAGAGCGCUAGCUUUGAUGGAGGCUUCACCAGUAGGUGGUUCUCCCCAGGUUUCCCAAACAUAAGCUUUUACUCAUCUCCUGCUCGGGCUGCAGAAAGAAAGGUAAUAAUUUAGCUUGUUCAUCUUCAGGGCAGUUUUGAUAGUUUUUUAUCUGCAUUCUUGAUAUAUAUUUCAUAAAUCAAUUACCAAAACUUUUUUUUCCCUUUGGUGUAGCAUGCUGAUUGGUGAACAAAUUGAAAGAGACCAAAAUCCUGUGUUUUCUCUGCCUCUCUGAACUACUGAAAGAUUUGAACAUCUUAAAUCUCUUUAACUUCAACUUGUUACAUUCUAUCUGGCCAAGGACAAAAUUAUUAGCUACGGUUCAUACCCAAUUAGCCUCUUUGUUUGAAUGUGCUACAAAAUGUUUCAUGUGAUUUACAAUGCUAGAUGUACAUGGACUCAUUCUUCAUUUUUCCAUCACUGAUAUUGCCAGUCUCAACGGAUAACAUUAAAGCUAAUCGAGAAACGAUUUUCAAAGAAAAUUCAUGAUACAAUUUGCUGUUCUGUGGGACUCUGUGUACUUAUUGCCAUAAAAUUAGAUCAGUCUAUUUGAACUUCAAAUAUGUAUGUGGAGGAACUAGAGUGCUGUGAACAUUCUCCCCUUAUUAUUGACACUGCAUGCUUCAUAUCAAUGAGAAUAAUGUUUUUUUCUUUUCAAUGACAAAAAUGUUGGAUAAUUGUUUAUCAUCUUUCACAAGUUUGAAAAGUUUAUACGACACAAUUGCCUUGAUUUUCUGUUCAGUGAGCUGGAUUACUGUAUUGUAACCUUGCAGAUUAGCAAUGCAAGGAAUGAUGGCGCUCAAACAUCAGCUUCGUGUUGUUUUCCAUUGCUGCUGAAGAAGAAGAGCUCAGGAGGUAUGUGGUGCACAAAAGUGAUAACGCAGCACUUCUCUCCCCAAGAACUCGAAGUUUGCAUUCUAAUAUGCUUGAGUCAUGUAAUUGGCAUGAAAACAGGGUGUUGUUCUGCACUGUUAUUUGUUGUUGAAUGUUUACCCUAUGCCACAUAGCUUAUCUUUUGCUCUUGAAGAUUUUUAUGUUUAUUUGGUGCUUAACAUGUGUUGUGAUUGCGAAAGAAUCUGGUUUUCAAUUUUCUUGCACUUCUUAAAAGAUGGCAUUUCAUCCUUUUGACGUAUCAGAAUGUGACAAGUCUUGAUCGUAUGUUUUCUUCAUCUUUUACAGGGAGUAAAAGUAUGUCUAGAGACCAUACUUGUAAGAUUUCCUACCCUUUUUUAGCUAGACAUUUGAUAGAGAGAACUUAGAACUCUUGUUACUUUUCCUCUUCAAGUAAUCAUUUUUUGUUAUCUCUGCGAAAUUGCUUAAUCCAGUGGUUUGUUAGCCACCGAUGCUUUGGGUUCAUAAACAAAUCAUGACAGUAAAAUCUGGAUGAUGAUCUUAUUGUUAAAGGCUUUUAUAUAAAAGUAGAUACUUAAUACAAAUGAAACAACGUAUUUGUAUUAAUUCUAGAUCCGUGAGAUGUGCGUGCCCAUCAAAUAUUUACAUAACAAGGAAUCAAGAAAGUUUUGGGCAGGGAAGGAGCCAGCCAAGUACAAGGCACUUUGCCCAAUUUAUAGGAGUAUAUUUUAUGAAAUUUUCAUCAGUGUUGAGUAAAUUAGUCAUCCUCUUUCCAAAAUUUUAAAUUAGACAAUUGUAUUCAAUAUUGUGGUCGUAUUAUAAUUUUUCUCUUCUCUAAUUCUCCUACGCUGCCAUUGAAGUUUUAACAAAAAUGUCAUACAAUUCUAACAACUAGAGUUGUCAACAAUUGAACUUGGCACUGACUAUUGACUUGGUAAAACUUACUAAAGCUGUUAAAUUAAGUAUUUGUACAAAAACUUUAUUUUCGUCACUUUCUUUCAAGCAAAGUUGGGAGAGAUGAUCAAUCCAUAACAUUCUUCUUCGAUAUAGGAGAACAGGAGACUUUUCAAGUAGGAAAGGAUUUCAACUCAACCAACUACUACUAGAAUAUUUGGCCACCAAAGAUAGGGUUAAAACUUUUCUUGGUUGUAGGUUAAGAGAUCGAAUUUCUUUAUUUACAUUUUUCUUCGGGAUUUCUUGAAAAUUUCAUCAAUCGAUACAUAAGCACCUAUCUAGUUCCGUGACAAUUCAGUCCCCUCUGGUGCUCCAUUGAUCGUUUUGAGUCCACCCCAUCGCUCUAAUGUGAAGUAGGAAUAAGUAUAGAAUAAGAAUUGUUCAGUCAACAAAAAAAAAAAAAAAUGGACAGGUUUCAGCUAAAUACCAAUGAGUCCAUUAGGCUACAAUAUUUGCAAAAAUAAAUAAAUAAAUAUUGUUUAAUUUCAUAAAUAUAACUUUUAACCAUCUUUUUAUCUUAUGUAUAUCAUACCAUUAAAAGUGCUACAAUGCUAUCAUUCCAUUAGGCUACAAUAUUUGCAAAAAAAAAUAUUAUUUAACUUCAUAAAUAUAACUUUUAAUCAUUUUUUGAUCUUACGUAUAUCAUACUAUUAAAAGUGCCACAAUGCUAUAAUUCGUUAUUGAUUCUUUGGACUACGAAAUUCUUUUCUCAUGUUUGCUCAGAAAUGAGACAUGAGACUUUAGUUUUCAUUCUUCAGUUGAACUUAGACGUUUUAGACUUUUAGUGAAGCAUUUCUUUCAGGUAAAAUAAAUUUCACUAAAGCAUUUAAAUAAUUAUAGAAAACUACUGUUCUCUUUAAUUUGGAUCAUAAAAUAUUUAAAGGUCAAUAUGGGACAUGAGACUUUAGUCAUAUGAACUUCGACGUUUUAGACUUUUAGUGAAGCAUUUCUUUCAGGUAAAAUAAAUUUCAGUAAAGCAUUUAAAUAAUUAUAGAAAACUAUUGUUCUCUUGAAUUUGGAUCAUAAAAUAUUUAGAGGUCAAUAUGAGACAUGAGACUUUAGUCAUCAUUCUUGAAUUGAAAUUAGACGUUUUAGACUUUUAGUGAAGCAUUUCUUUUAGGUAAAAUAAAUUUCACUAAAGCAUUUAAAUAAUUAUAGAAAACUAUUGUUCACUUGAAUUUGGAUCAUAAAAUAUUUAAAGGUCAAUAUGAGACAUGAGACUUUAGUCUUCAUUCUUCAGUUGAACUUAGACGUUUUAGACUUUUAGUGAAGCAUUUCUUUCAGGUAAAAUAAAUUUCACUAAAGCAUUUAAUUAAUUAUAGAAAACUAUUGUUCUCCUGAAUUUUUUUUCGUAACGGCACAUUUAGCUUCAUUUAACCUACUCCUACUCUAGGAGGAAGGAGGAGUGGUCCAACUGAACUGAGAGAACCGACAGGGACUGAACUACCAUUACACCAGAUGAGUGCACCACGCACCCGUCUGGAUUUAGAAGAAACCACAUAUAGUGGCACAUUGAUGGGAGGUAAAAUUUGAAUCUUUGACCAUCCAAUGCACAAUUCAUGUGAUGGCCAACUCCUCUAGAGUAAGUUGGCCAUUGCUCUCUUGAAUUUGGAUCAUAAAAUAUUUAAAGGUCAAAUAUAUUGAUUCCUUUGUUGUCGAACCUCAAAGUAAUUAUCAAAGAAACUUUUGCAAUAAUAUCAUACCAAAAGAUUCAUAAUCCAUGCUAUAUUGCAUUUUGGAAAUGAUACCUUCCCAGUCCUACCAAAAUCACAAUACUAUAGUACAUAUAAUCAGUUAACUUCUGGUCUUCAUGAAGUACAUAUAGUCUGUGUUCGACCCAUUUCUUUGACAAAAAUAAAAAACAAAAAUGAUACUAGUAAAAGAAAUGACCAUAUGGUCAAAACAGUAAUAAUGCUAGAUUCAAACGUAUGAAAUCCUUCGUGGACUAAAUUGCAAAUACCCUUGUCCCUUGACAGACUGAUACUUCCUUAUUUACAAAGGAUUCAAUUCCGCAAUUACUUCAGCUGAAUUCGAGUAGCUUUAUGAAUUUUCAAAUCAAACUCAAGAAUAAUAAUGGUCUACUCAAAAUCAAUGUUAUAAAACCUAGUCCAAAUUGGCUGGUCGGCCUUCUUUUUGGUAUUGGUACCAAUUAGUAUCAAUUUAUAGUUAAACCAGUUGAACCGUCUAGUUGAGCCAGCCAAAGCAAGAACAAAGCGUAUAUUAUUGAAAUUUUCAUCAGUAUUGAUUAAAUCAGUCAUCCUCUCUCCAAAAUUUUAAAUUAGACUAUUUUAUUCAAUAUUGUGGUCGUAUUAUAUCUUCUCUAAUUCUCCAACGCUGCCAUUGAAGUUUAACAAAAAUGUCAUACAAUUCUAACAACUAGAGUUGUCAACAAUUGAACUUGGUACUGACUAGUAUUAUUAUUUUUUUUUUGUCAAAGAUAACAGUAGCAUUAUUCUCAAAGAUAUGUGUAAAUUCCAUCUUAUCUUGCUAAUGUCAAGAGCCUAAUCUUCAAGACAAAAAAUUUAUUAAAGCCGUUAAAUUAAGUAUUUGUACUAAGAUUUUUAUUUUCCUCUUUAUUUCAAGUAAGGUGGGGAGAGAUGAGCAAUCCAUAGCAUUCUUCAAUCUUCGAUUUAGAGAAUUGGAGUCUUUUCUUUAAGGGUGCGUUUGAUAAAAUUGAUAUUUAAAAUUUGAAAUCUGAAGUCUGAAAUCUAAAUCCAUUAACUACUGAAUUGUUAAAUACUAAAUUUGAUACAUUUAAAUGUAUAUCACAUUAAGUGAUAAGUGAAUAACUUAUCACUUAUUUUUUAGAACAAGUUUUGCUUUGGAAAUUCAUUGUCACUUAAUUAAUCCAUGUGUUUUAGUUUUAGUUAUCGAACGCAUCUGAACAUAAUAAGCUAUGAAUCCAUUAAAUUUAAGUGCUAAAUUGGAUUAUCAAAUAGAAUCCAAGUUUAACAGAAUUUCAACUAAAAAUCAAUAGGUUCGUUGAGCUAACAUAAUUUGCUAAUAAUAAAAAUAAUAAUAAUAAUAAUAAUAAUAAUACUUUCAAAUAUUAUUCAGAGAAAUGAGACAUGAGCCUUUAGUCUUCAUUCUCCAGUUGAACUUAGACGUUUUCGACUUUUAGUGGAGCACUUCUUUCAGGUAAAAAUUAAUUUCGCUAAAGCAUUUAAAUAAUUAUAGAAAACUAUUGUUCUCUUGAAUUUGGAUCAUAAAAUAUUUAGAGGUCAAACAUAUUGAUUUCGAUGCUGUUGAACCUCUGAGUGAUUAUCGAAGAACCUUUUGCAAUGAUAUCCUGCCAAGAGAUUCAUAGUCCAUGCUAUAUUGCAUUGUUGAAAAUCAUACCAAAAAACCUUGCCCAGUCCUACAAAAAUCACAAUACUGUAGUACAUAUAAUCAGUUAACUUCUGGUCUUCGUGGAGUACAACUGUUUGACCCAUUUCUUUAGCCCAAAAUAAAAUUUAUAAGUAGCGAAAGAAAUGACCAUAUGAUCAAAAUAGUAGGGCAAAAUACACUUUGCCCUCAUGUAAUUUAGCGCUUUUUCACAUAAUCUCUCAUAUAGUUUCAUAGUUAUGCAUACCCUUUUCAUGAUUUGGAUGAAAAUGUCAAAAUGACAGAAUUUGUAUUCUAUAAUAGAGUCAAUUAAAAUGUCAACAGUAUUCCUAUGUAAAGUUGAAAAUUAUUUAUUAACCACGGAAAUUUAUGUAUAUAAUUUAAAAAUCAUAAAGAAAUUAUAUGGUAAAACAUUAAAUCAUAAAGGGGUUACAUGAAAAAUCAUAAAAUCAUACGAGGUUAAAGUAUCAUACAUAUUAUAUUUAUAUAUUUUGGCCAUUUCAACCAGUUUAGUUUUUAAACAAGAGUAAUUUUGACAUUUUCAUGGAUUCCAUUACAAAUGAUCAUUUCUGUUAUUUUGAUACUUUAAUUUAAACAAUGAGAUGAUAAUAUAUAGUUUUUACAACUAUAGAGAGAUUUUGUAAAAAAUUGCUAAACUACAGGGGGUAAAGUAUAUUUUAUCCAAAACAGUAAUACUAGAUUCAAACUAAUGAAAUCCUCUAUGGAUUAAAAUUGCAAAAACCCUUUUCCGUUGGCAAGCCGGGACUUUCUUAUUUACAAAGGAUUCAAUUCCGCAAUUACUUAACUCCAGCUGAAAUCGUGUUGCACCAUGAACUUUCAAAUCAAACCGGAGAACGAUGCCGCCUACUCAAAACCUUUAAAACUAUGUUGAACGGAGUUUGACACGAGGACUAUUGCAGGUGGCAACUCUCCAAAAAGGUUGACCGUCAUUAUUUGGUUAAAAAAAAUAUUAGGAUCAAACGACAUCUUGUAAAUAAAUUUUAACACCAUAUAUGAGGUCCACAAAAUUUUAUUCUAUAUUUAUAAGUUGCUGAAAAUAAGUUACAUUCUAAAUAAAGUGAAUUAUAUCUUGUGCAAAUGAAACAAAAUCGGCCCAAAUGAUUUUUCUGACAAUCCUUUGAAUCCUUGGUCCAUGGUAAACUUAUUACAAUACAUAGAGAGGCCUUCUCUUAUAGACUAUAUAUCACUGUACACUAUUACACUAAUAAUUGAGUCGACUUGUGAGGGUGGCAACUGUGGUCCAUAAUAGAAUUUUCAUAAGACAUACUUGGUUUCUAAAUUAUCUUUCACAUUUUGUUAAAUAAAUUAUUUCAUCCUUCACUUUUAAAAUGAUAACUUUAUGUUUCAUACAAAAUCAAAUUAGUAAAAUUUGAUUCCAAUUUAGAUUUUUUUACCAUAUUUUAUCCUAAAUCCAUCACGUGACCCAUAUGCAAUCAUUAUUUAUGUAUGGAAAGGUUGAUCAGUUGCACGACGAAAAAUUACCCACUAAUGUAUGAGGAGAGUCUCUGAUGCCACAUCAUAUAUUUGCACUUAUUAGUGUAAAAAAUUUUAACAUUGAUAAUGUAUACAAUAUUAAUCCUAUAUAUUUAAUAAUUCAAAGAAUUAUUAGAUUAGAAAAUUCAAUGUGCAUUCAUAUACAUAGAUCAAGAAAAUAAAAUAAAAAGUGCAAGGACAAUUGUAUAUCUUUCGUAUUGUAGGCUCUGUUUUCAAACUCGGGCCGGACUGGUUGGUCUGAUCGAUCAAACCGAAAAUCGAUCAAUUGUUCGGUUCUAAUUAACUUAAAAAAUUGAAAGAUUAAAAAAAUUGAUCAAAUCUAGUCAAAAUCGGGUCAACCCUGGUUUGACCGAAUAAAUAAAGAACCGGGCUUGUCAUCACCAUGGUUUUCGUGGGCAGCCUUUUUUGACUUUUUUCCGGAGAUAACGGGAGGGAAACAUAUUCGGAGAUUUUGAGCCAUGAUGAAAGAAUCUUUUUUUUUUUACUUUUUUUCGAAAGGUCAAAAUAUCUUUAAUAUUAUAUUUUGACCCCUAGGUUGUUAAAAAUUGUUAAUAUACCUCAAAUAUUUCAUACUUUAUAAACGUUGUCUUAAAGUUUGGUGUUAUUUUUCAAUUAAGUCUAUAAUUUUAAUUCUAAACUUGUUAUUGCUCAUUAAAUAAUAUAAAUUGCUACUUAAUUGUUCUAAUUUCUUUGUAUUUUCUUGUUAAAUAUAUUUGAACCAUCAAAUAUAUAUAAAUACACAUUUAUUAAUAUAAAUAUGCUAUUAAGUAUUUUACAUAUAAUAUUUUAAUUUUUAAAUAAUUUUUAUUUAUGACGUCAUCCGGUUCAACCCCGAUCGAACCCGGUUGAACCCAUUGAUCCCUGACCCCUGAGCUCGACCGAGUCGAUUCCCGGUCCGAUUCUGAAAACAUAGAUUGUAGGUUUCAAGCAAAUAUGUCUUGAUCGGGUUAAGGUUGUGGUUUUUGAUAUAGAUUUGAAUCAACUAUCGUAAUAUAGAGGGCAAAGGUUAUGGUUAGAUUAGUAGAUGACCUUUUCUUCUUUUCAAGUGGUCUACUUGAAUUUGUUUAGUAAGAUUGAAUUCAGAUAGAGGAUGAACUACGUUCAACACAGAAUAUGGUAUUAAUAAGGAGUCAGUCGGUGACGUUGAAUUAGAGUAAACUAAAAUUAAGAAAAGACUUCACUUAAAAGUAUCAAUGGACUUUGUUUUGGCAAACCUUAGGAGAGAUAAAUGUAGUUGAUCAAACAUGAUUAGAAUAAUAUACCAUCCAAAUCUAUUUUCAGUUGAGGAACUACAUAUGUUACAUUUAUGCAUUCAAAUCUACCAAUUGUGAUGCUUUAACAGCACCUUCUUGAUUAUGUAAAUAGUUUUCUAAUUUUUUUUAUGCUUUGAGGGAUAAUUUGUAAAAGUUAGUUUUUUUAGGAGUAAAAUGUCCCUUUUUUUCUUUUUUUUUUUGAAAUAGAAAUUAUAGCCAUAUAUAGACAUGUGAGUUUUUUUUAGUAAUAUAGCGAUUUAGAUUUCUUUCAUUAGAAUACACUGACAAUGAUUGUCUUAUAAUCCCAUUCAUGAAUAGACUUCUAAUAACUCUUUGGGCUAUUUACACAAUACAAACAUGGAGUUAUUCUUGCAGUAUUGCUCAUAAGAGGGACAAAGUCAAUAUGACUCUCUACUUUGUAAGUCAAUUUGUUUGAACUUCAAGUUAAUAUUUUAAGUAAAGGAUAAAAGUAGCGUGAAAAGUAUAUUAGUCUGUAUUUGAGGCUUACAAUGUUUUAGCAAAUGCUUGGUAAUCCCCUUACUAAUAAUCAAAUUCGAUGAUAAAUUACUAAUUGAUUUUCUAGAUAAAGUCACCGUAUCCUUUAGUUAAGCAUUAAGAGAUGAGGCAAACCUAUAGAUGGAGAAGACCUUAGAAUAGUUGGUGAGGUGGUAAGGAGCUUUUCCUAAUUUUCCCUUAAUAAGAUUUUUAUUCCUCUCUUUUCUCAAAAUAAAAUUUUUAGCUUUAGUAGCCUGGCUAUUUGAAACAUUUGCAAGUGAAGUUCCAUGAAAACUGCGUUAGAGUUUGCUUAUUCGAGAUAAGGCAAGUGAAAAUGCCAAGCAACUUCCAGUGCAAAAGCAUUCAACUAUGCCAACGAAGCAUUGCGCUUCUACACGGAUUGAGGGCUCACAAUUGGUCACACCAUUAUCCUCUUUUGUCAUUAGAACAUAAUACUAGAAAUAUGCAUAUAAAAUAUUUCACUUAUUAUGGCAAUUAUACACCGUCAAUGCAACGAAUGUAGAAUUUAAACAUUAGUUUAUGUUGUAAUGAAUAUGUAAAUAAGUUACAUUAUGGCUAAUCUUUGCCAUAUAGUAUCUCAAGCAAUCAGUCCUAAUAAUUGUUAAGGCACUUUUUAAUCUAUUCAAUGAGAUUGAAACAAAUGCACCGUUCAAGUUAUUCUUUGUCAAAAGUCGUUAGUCAAGCACUUUAGCAAAAAACAAGAGAGGUGUAAUUGUUCACGCCCCGUUCAUGAUAAGAUGGAAGCAAAUGCAUCAUUCAAAGUUAUUCUUGGCCAAAAUGCAUUCAUCAUUUUUAAAAGGCUCCAUGAAAGUGAGCUUAACGUUUUUGGUCGUGUGUAAGUUUAAAAGUACUUCUUUUUUUUUUUCCGGAGACGAUAAGUCUAUUCUAUCCUACACUAUGGGGGAGGGGGCGGACCUAAGUAGGUCCAGGGAUAACCCGGAGGGGACUGAACCACCACCGGACCAAACGGGUGCACAGCACACCCGCCUGGAUUUUUUAGAACAAACCACAUAUUGUGACCAAAUUGUGGGAGGCAGGGAUUGAUCCCUUGACCUCCAGCAUCACCAUUAUGGUGAUGACUACUGGAUCAAAUGGCCAGUGGCUUCAUAUGUCAAGAUACUAUUGAUUCUUAUUUUCUCUUUCAAAAAUAAAAGUUCAAGUAAUUUGACAUCACAAGCCUGAUUACUGAGACCCAAAAGGCAAGUAUAAGUGUUUUACAUGUUUUCCAAAUUAAGAAUAUGUUAUAUGUCCCCCAAAAAAUCUAAAAGAAAAAAAAAACUUCCUUUCUUGCGUGAAAAAUUGCAUUGUAACGCGUUCUAUUGUUGGGCAUUAAACCUCAUGAACGAGAUACGGAGGUUAUUGUCUACGAGUAAAUUUCCAAAUCCGGCUGCCUUUUGAAGCUAGUUCGCAAAACGUGAAAGUUUUUAAACAAAGAACGCAUUCACUAUAUCCAAUGUUUAAAAAUUUAGAAAAAAAUAUAUUUUUACUCCUUAUUGUUUAGUCUCUGUGCAGUUUUAGAUCUUAAAGUUUUGGCAAAAGUAAAUCUAGUUGUUAAUGUAUAUUAUAUGUACAGUUUUAGUCCCUGAAGUUUUGGCAAGAGCGAUCCGAUUUUCAAUGUCACCAAUUUGAAGCAUUUUAAGGACCGUUGAUAAAAUUUUCUAAAUAUUAAUCAAAUCAGUCACGUGCAAUCACAUAUUUGUUAAAAAAACUUCUUAAAAGAGAAUCAAAAUAAUGAGUAAUCUAAAUUUAACAAUAAAAACAACUUGCAUGCUAACACAUUAGUAACUAAUUACUCAAGAAAAAAAGAAAGAAAUUUUGUUAAUCUAUACUAAAAAUUAGGAAUCACAUUUUUUUUACUUGGAGACACUAGAGAUAGUUAGUGAAAAUGAAUUUGAGAUCAAUGAACUUGGUAUAUUGAAGUUUUAGUUUAAAAAUUUUCCUUCUUUUUAUUGGUUAAAUAGUUAUCAAAUCAAUUAUUAGUUCUUAAUUUUAUUGUUUAAAGUUAGCUACUAUUUUUCUUCUUUAUUUUGAAAUUUAAUUUAAUAGGCAAUUGAUCAGACAUGACUAAAUUUUGUUAGUAAUUGAGAUGAAAUUCUUCAAAUGUCCUAAAUCAGCUUUAAAUUGAAUAUAAAGGGGACCAGAUUUGCUCUUGCUAUAACUUUAUGGACUAAAACUGCACGUACUAAAUAUUGAGGAUCAUCAUUGCUUUUGUUAAAACUUUUAGGACUAAAACUGCAUAUGGACUAAACAUUAAGAAUUAAAACUACAUUUUCUUCAAAAAUGGAAUAUUUAUGCCUACAAAGAAUGAAAAGUGUCAUUCAGCAAAUGCAACUUUUCAGCAAUUGGGAUUGGUCCGGUAACCAAAACAGAACUCUUAGAGUUUUUCUCGUUAUCAAAUUUAGGUUUUGAAUCCUGUCCCGAGUAAUUGAAAGUAGGAAGGGUGUGGGAAUGAGUGAGAGGAUUAAAAAAAAAACUGCAACUUUUAAAUUUGCAAAUGUUGCAUUUGAUGAAUACGAUUUUUACCAUUUGGGAAGAAGUUUGAAAAACAUCACUUUUUAGGAAUUUUUUUUCUUUUAAGUAGCCCUCUUUGGGAAUUUACUCCAUCAUCCACUAGAUAGUUCUGUGUACAAAAGUAGCCAACUAGCAAAGUAGGUACCACAUUGACAAUAAUGGAACUUUUUGGUCUCUGGUUUCUAACGAGAUGGAGUAACCACCCCAGCGUGGUCACUUGUGCAACCAAGAAAAUGAAAUGUCUAAUUCCCAUGGAUUGGUAAUCUAUAAGACUAGAUAAUCCUUUCAGUUUUCUUACUAACAAAUGACGUGAAUUGCUAUAUACUUUUCUCCAGUGUGAUUGCGAUUAAAGUUUCUUGUCCCUCUCUGGUGGAACUUACACAAUUAUUCAAUCAGAAAAAGAUGAAGGCCCCAGCAACAACAGUGAUCGAGGGCCAAGCAACUUCCAUUGCAAAAGCAUCCAAAUUUCCCACUGAAUUGAGCCACUGAUCGAGGGAUCCCUGAUGUCUUUCAAGUAUUCUACCGAAACAACUAAUGGCCGCCUUCAUUGACCAAACUUAGAAUUGUUGUGGCCGACAAAAUUUAGUCUAGGCUUUCAUGCAGCUAUUCUUUAUCAAAUCAUGCAACAUAUAUUUAUGGGAUAAUUGCAAAAACCUCCCCUGAGAUUUCUGACAUUUGCACUACCUCCCCUCCAGGUUUUGAAAUUUCAUUCACCUCCCCUAAACAGCUUUUGUAAAAGUGAGAUAAGAAAUUUCUUCCAAUUUUGCCCUCUUCUUGCUUGACAAUUAUUAUUUGCUUGACAAUUGCUUAACUAAUUAUCUAAUUAGUUAAUAGUUAAACUAAUUAACUAUUAACUAAUUAUCUCAUUAAUUAUUAACUAAUUAACUAAUUAUUUAAUUAAUUAAUUAACUAAUUAACUAAUUUCUAUUUAUCUAAUUAACUACUUAACUAAUUAACUAAUUAACUAAAGCUAUUGUCUGUCCGAAACUAACAAACUAUUUGCAUGACAAACUAAUUAACUAAUUAACUGCUACUAAUCAACUAAUUAACUAACUAACUAAUUAACAGACUAUUUGCAUGUUAAACUAUAUGCAGUACGCAUUAUCUAUUUAAAGUAUCGGCUCUUUAUGGAUAUUUUACUUUCAAACAUUUAAUUUAUGAUAAAAACAUCAAUGUUUGUAAAUAAAAUUCAAAAAGUGUUACAGUAAUAUUCUUACAAAAAAGGAGGGGCAUAGGGCCAUAAAUUAAAUGUUUGAAAGUAAGAAUAUUGAUAUUUUUUGUAACACUUUUUGAAUUUUACUUACAAACAUUGAUAUUUUUAUCAUAAAUUAAAUGUUUGAAAGUAAAAUACCUAUAAAGAGCCGAUACUUUAAAUAGGUAAUGCGUACUGCAUAUUGUUUAACAUGCAAAUAGUUUGUUAAUUAGUUAGCUAAUUAAUUAGUUAAUUAGUUAAGCAGUUAAUUAGUUAAUUAGUUUAACAUACAAAUAAUUUGUUAGUUUCGGAUAGACAAUAGCUUUAGUUAAUUAGAUAAAUAGAAAUUAGUUAAUUAAUUAAUUAGAUAAUUAGUUAGUUAAUUAGUUAAGUAGUUAAUUAGCUAAUUAGUUUAACAUGCAAAUAGUUUGUUAGUUUUGGAUAGACAACAGCUUUAGUUAAUUAGUUAAUUAGAUAAAUAGAAAUUAGUUAAUUAGUUAAUUAGAUAAUUAGUUAGUUAAUUAGUUAAGCAGUUAAUUAGUUUAACAUGCAAAUAGUUUGUUAGUUUCGGAUAGACAACAACUUUAGUUAAUUAUAUAAUUAGUUAAUUAGAUAAACAGAAAUUAGUUAAUUAAUUAAUUAAUUAAUUAGAUAAUUAGUUAGUUAAUUAGUUUAACAUGCAAAUAGUUCGUUAGUUUCGGACAGACAACAGCUUUAGUUAAUUAGUUAAUUAGUUAAACAGUUAAUUAGUUUAACAUGCAAAUAGUUUGUUAGUUUCGGAUAGACAACAGCUUUAGUUAAUUAGUUAAUUAGAUAAUUAGAUAAUUAGUUAAUUAGAUAAAUAAAAAUUAGUUAAUUAAUUAAUUGGAUAAUUAGUUAGUUAAUUAGUUAAGCAAUUGAUUAGUUUAACAAGCAAAUAGUUUGUUAGUUUAGGAUAGACAACAGCUUUAGUUAAUUAGUUAAUUAGUUUAACAUGCAAAUAGUUUGUUAGUUUCGGAUAGACAACAACUUUAGUUAAUUAGAUAAUUAGUUAAUUAGUUAAUCAGAUAAACAAAAUUAGGUAAUUAGUGAUGAGAACAUGAAGAUUUGCAUGGAUUCCUUUCAUUUUACAAGUCCUCACAUUCCAAUGAUGGUUGAUGGUGCAAUCGGGCUCGAGAAUCAUUGAAGAUCCAAAUUUUCCAAAUGUUAAUUGGCUUCCAAAUCUUGAUUGGUAUCUUGAUUGAUAUCUUGAUGGAUUUCCAAAUUGAGAGUUAAGUAAGUUGCUUGAAUUAGGGAAUAAAGGCUAAGGUCAUGUUGACCAUAGUUAAGCCAAUUUGAAUUAGUUAGUUCCUAUUCUAGUUGAAUUAGAGUUUUAGGAAAGCAGUUAAUUGCUUCCAAAUUUGUUUAGGAAAUUGUGUCAAGUUUAGAAGUCAAGUCAAAUAAGGAAACUUGUAUUGUUUCCAAUUUAGAUUAGGGUCUUGAGUCUUGUAAGGCUAUAAAUAGCCAACUUUAUUUAACUAUUCGGGGGAGACAAUGAUGAGAUGAAUAAAAAUUGAGAGUUUUCUCUUUCUUGUUCCUUUGGGAGCGUUCCUUGAUACAAAGUGAGUUGUAUCUCCUUUGUUCAAGUUUUGGCUUAUCAAUUCAAGAUCACGUUGAAUUGUGGCGCCAUUCUACCAACACCUUUGGUUCCUAAUCCGUUAGUUUGUGGGUUAAGAUAAUAUCAAGAUUGUUCGCAAUCUCGGGGAUUAGAGAGGUCGUAAGGUUUUUCCAUCUUUGUAUCCAUAACCUGAUCAAGAUAGAUCAUUCCGCUGCCUGAUCGAUUCGGUUCUUCAAGACAGGUUCUUGUUGGGUCGAGUUCGCAUCAUAUUAGUUAAUUAAUUAAUUAGAUAAUUAGGUAGUUAAUUAGUUAAUUAGUUUAAUAUGCAAAUAGUUUAUUAGUUUUGGACAGACAACAGCUUUAGUUAAUUAGUUAAUUAGAUAAUUAGAGAUUAGUUAAUUAGAUAAAUAGAAAUUAGUUAAUUAAUUAAUUAGAUAAUUAGUUAAUUAGUUAAUAGUUAUUUAGAUAAUUAGUUAAUAGUUAAUUAGUUUAAUUAUGCAGAAAUAGUUUGAUUAGUUAAUAACUAUUAACAAUUAGAUAAUUAGUUAAUUAGUUAAUAGUUAAUUAGAUAAUUAGUUAUUAAUUAAUUAGAUUAUUAGUUAUUUAGUUAAUUAGUUAAUUAGUUAAAAUAUGCAGAAAUAGUUAAUUUAGUGUAAUUUUUAUUAACAAAUGUUUUGUUGGGUUUGAUGAAAGACUCAUCACAUUCAUUUGGUAAAAUUAAAUCAUGUCAGGGGUACUUUAGUAAAUUGACCCACUUUUGUCUAUUAAAUUGCCUCCAACUUUUGAUAGGGGAGGUCAGUACUAUUUCAAAAUUGAUAUGGGAGGUCAAUGCUAUUACUAUAAAAGUCAGAGGAGGUUUCUGCAAUUAUCCCUAUAUUUAUUUGUAAACCAAAACUUGUAACAAAUAUUUGGAUUUUUUUUUUUGAAAAUAUUUUGACAUUUCUUUAAUCUGAUGUAUGUAAAAUAAAAAAAUAAUAAAAAAAUAUAUUAAUAAUGUAAAUAAAUAAAUUUUGACAAAUAAUUUACGGUCACAAACAAAUCCAUUACAAUCAGAUGACAGGUUACUAUGAACAGAGUCUGCUCAUAGACACGUUAGAUAACUAUGAACAGUUUUUAGAAGUUUUUAGUCUGCUCGUAGUCUUUUAGAAGUUUGCAUCCGAAGAGCAAAAAAUUCCUUUGCUAACUUAGAAAUAAAAUAUAUGCAUUUACCAUUACAUGUACUGAGAAAUAGCAUUGGCAAUAAUUCAUACGGUAAUUCAGAUAUUUUCAGUAACAGGCCCCAGCAUUGAAUCAGAAAAAGACGAAGGCCCCAGCAACAACAAUAAUGAUUAAGAAAGCUCAGGCGAAAAUGCCAAAGCAACUUCCAUUGCAAAAGCAUCCAAUGGAGAAUUGAAGCCCAGCACUACACUGAUUGGGGACUUCUUAUUUGUCACAUAAUUAUCAUUAUUUAUUUCUUGUGCCAAAACAUAGAAGUCGGAGUUGAGUUGGACCACAGGGUUGUUAAUGUGAGCAAAAAUAUCUCAUUUGAUUAGGGUGGUUCUACACCUCGAAUGCAACAAACGUAGUACAAUUUAAGCAUGGAUUUGUGUUGUAAUUAAUGUAUGCGAAUAAAAUUCAUUGUGUGAUUGUAAAAAAAAAAGGUCAUUGAUUAUGACUUGUCUAAUUAUAAGGAAAUAGAAUAAAAUUUUCUCUUAAUUUCUUAAAUUGGAGAAUAAAAGAAGAUGGUAAAUUGUAAUUAACUUAUUAUACAGAAAAAAAAUUUAUGCUGUUUCUUCAGCUUUAUAAUUUUUUGGUGUGAAAAUUUUUUAUUUGCUUAAGAAUAAAAAUUUUAAAACGUGUAAUUUGAAAUAAAAACUUGAAGCGAAGGGAAAAAAAUGAAGAAAAUAUCAACAUAGUAGACGGAUUUUUUUUUCCUCUGAGGGGGUUAAGUGUUACAAAAUAGAAAUUAGUGGGUAAAAUGAGAAACAGGGCAUACCUUAGCAAGAUAAAUUGUAAUUAACCCGUAUUAUUAAUUAAAUAAAUCUUGUAUACACUGACAAUGCAUACACUUUCACCGUUAGAUUCAUGACACGUGUGCAAAAAUUAAAUUUCUAAUUUAAAUUUUAUAUAGUUAUCGUUAAUCCAAUGCUGAUAGCGUAUACACUAUCAGGGUAGGAAAAAUUAAUCCUCAUUAAUUUAUUAUUUGAUCUUAACUUCAAAGGUGGAACUAAUAUUAUGGACCAUUAACGGUCGUACAUGAGCCAUUAAUUCAGAACAUCUUUAGCUUAAACUCUGACAGCCACUAAGUUUUUAAAUUCCAUACUUAUACCCCUGAAGCAAAUGUUUUGAGUUUAUCUAUCUCUAAAAGGACAAACAGAUUAGGUAAAUGGCCAUUGCCCUUUUUCCCAUGUCUUUGCCAUCACACUUUAUUGUCCCAUUAGGGUGGAACGGACAAGUGAAAAUGCCAAUCAUUCAGAUCUUUUCAGAUUAAAGGGCUCCAGCAAGCAAUUAAUCAAUAAAGAUGAAGGCCCCAGCAACAGGAAUGAUUAAGAAAACUCAGGUGAAAAUGCCAAGCAACUUCCAAUGCAGAAGCAUCCAAUUCCAAGCUCGCCAACGAAGCAUUGCAAUCCUACACGACCGGAGGACUCUCAAUUGGUCACAUCAUGAACCUUUUUUUUUUGUUCUUGUGAAUAGAACAUAAUACUAGAAGUUGAGGUGGAGCCGAGGGUUGUUAAGAUAUAUACAAUAAGAUUAUGGUAAUUGUACACCUUCAAUGCAAUGACCGUACAAUUUAAACACGAGUUUGUGUUGUAAUGAAUAUGCAAAAAAAAAAGGGUUACAUUAUGGUUAAAAAAUUUUGCCAUAAAUUGUCUCAAGCAAUUACGCCCAAUAAUUGUUAAGGCACUUUUUUUAUCUAUUCAAUGAGAUUGAGAGAAAUGCACCGUUGAAGAUAUUCUCUGUCAAAAUUCAUUAGCCAAACAUUGCUCUUUAUUUAUUUAUUUAUUUUUGGAUAGCAUUGAAGCAAAUGCAUCAUUGUUAUUCUUUGCCAAAUUACGGCCAUCAGUUUUUUUUUUUCCUAUUAAAAGAUAGUGACAAUGGCACAUCAAUCUCCCCUCAAAGUGAACUCCACAUCUUUGGUAGUGUAAAACAAGUGGUUGAACUUUAAUUUUCUAAAACAAUACAACAGUGAACCACACAAGUACACUGUGCAUUCUUACUAUUGGCGUGAGUAUUGGGGUUGGUUAUUGUAACAUCUGAUAUUUGUAUGUAUGUUUGUGCAUAUAUAUAAGGGUGUAUUUGAUAAAAUUGAAGUUUGAAAAUUGAAAUCUAAAAUUUAAAAUCUGAAUUCAUUAAAUUAUUUAAUUAUUAAAUAUUAAAUCAAACACUUUUAGGUGUAUAUCACAUUUAGUGAUAAGUGAAUAGCUAGCUUAUCACUUAUUUUUAGGAGCAAAUUUUGAAAUUCUCCUCUUUGCUCUAAGUAUGCGUGUGUGAAAUUGAGUUAUCAAACACGACCUAAGUGUGCAUGUGUGUAUAAUGCUAUAUAAACGAGGAAACUUUGAUCUAGUGAUUAAUGUUGAGAAGUCAGGAAUUAGAGAUUCAGGAUUCAAUUCUCCUUUUUGCUUACUCCACUUCUUAAAUCUCCUCCUUGCUUACUACACUUCUUAAAUCCUAGAAAGCCUUGCUUUAGUGGUUAAUGUUAAAACUUCUUAAAUCUCCUCUUUCCUUACUCUACUUCUUAAAUCCUAUAAAAUUUGGUCUAGUAGUUAAGUUUGAAACUCCAAGAAUCAGAGGUCCAAGGUUCACUUCUCGUCUUUUCUCACUUCACUUCUUAAAUCCUACCAUUCAUCUGAUUUUUUUUUUUAAAAAAAAACUAUAUAAAUGUUUUUGAGUUUAUUUUCAAAAGACUCACUUCUUAAAUCCUGCCCUUACUCUGUUUUUCAAAAAACUUCAUUAACAAAUAUGCACUUUGAUUAGGAACGUGCAGCUUCUUGUCUGUCUGGUUUAUCUCUAAAGUAUUCCAGCCGUUAUUCUAGAUUUAUCAUGGCUAGUUAAAUUCAAAUGCUAUGUAGUAAUGAUUCCUCUGAUGUAGAAGUGGGUUUUUCUCCCUCCACCGCAAUUGAGUUUGAUUCUCCCUUAGUAUAUAAUAAUGUAGAAUUAGUGUAGAUGCUGUGGAUUCACGAAAUAAUUAAAUAAAAAAAAUAGAGAUGAAACUUCAACGGAUUAAGGGCUCAUAAUUUGUCGCAUAAUUAUUCUUGCGAAACUUUCUGCAUCCGUCUGUUGAAGCUCAAAUUUGGCAGCAAAACCAUAUCCGUUGAGGUUAACUUUGAAAUCGUAAUCCGUAUUGAAAUCUAACUUUGAAGUAAAUGUGUUGAGGUACGAUUUCUGAUUUAAUUUAGAGUAAAGAUAUCAUUGUUGAGAGGACGAAUAUGACUUUAUACUCUUGAAACUUGUAUCACUUGCUUACUUUGCAUUCUAAAACUUCAAUGCUAAUCACUUUACAUCCUAAAUUCUCAAUUUUUAACAUUUUACGCCCUAAAUUUCAAUUUUAUUCAUAGUAAUAGAAUACAUAACUACUUUAAAUAGUUAAAACCUUUCGCUUUCUUUUUUUUUUUUAAUUCUAAGUAAAUUAUUAUUAGAGUAAGUUGUUGGAAAAAUGGCUAUAUUCAUUGUAGAGUGAAUGAGAAAAUUGUUCUCAUAAUGGCACUCUUGAAAGAAUCCAGGAUAAUUAUCUAUCAUUCAUUCAUGUAUAUAGGAUUCAUGUAUAUUAAUUAUUGAUACAUGAUUUUGGAUAGGAUUCAUGUGUAUUAAUUAUUGAUACAUGAUUUUGGAUAGGAUUCAUUUGGGGUUAUCUUAUUGAGAUACAUGUAUGUACAUGAAUGUGGUCCUUUGAUAAACGUGAAGAUAAUUAUCUGGAAUUUAACACUUGUUGCCAAUUUCUAACAGUCACCCUUGGCCAGCAUCUAUAAAUAUCUCUUUUGUUUCAAAAGAAAGCGCGCUCUCUCUCUCCUUUUCCUUCUUGCAUCUGCAUCUUUUAUAGUGUUCCAUAUUGCUCUAGUUCGAGUUCGCUGGGGUGAAGAACGUUUGGUGCUGACAUAUUCGCCUUUAAUCCGUUGUAUCCUGGGAGACAGACGCCUACUCAACCUCAAGCACUCUACCUGGAGGGGGCGAAUCUGUUUUAAGGAAAUUGUGCUCACAAGCCUCGGAUUGUUAUUAUUAUUUUUCGAUCAUUUCUUUCUUUCUGGGUUGUAUUUAUUCUUCUCUAUUGUGUAUCAGCCUAUAUCUUUUAUUAUUUCACUAACAGUCUUAAAACAGAUUCGGUUCUCAAUGGCUGACAAUACAGGAAGAGAAACCAACACAUCUACUGUUGAUGCCUCUGCCUCUGGCACAAUUGUGAAACAACCUGAAGGAAAGAUUACUCCUACGGUUUCUACCAACCAUAGUGAGAAACCUGAGAAGUUCCAUGGCUCGAACUUCAAGACAUGGCAACAAAAGAUGUUGUUCUAUUUGACAACAUUGAAUCUCUCGAGAUUCUUAAGUGAGGAUGCUCCAAAGCUGCCUGGAGGCUUAACUGAUGCACAAGCUGUCAGUCCUAUUGAUGCUUGGAAGCACUCCGAUUUUCUUUGUCGAAAUUAUGUCAUGAACUGCUUGCAUGACUCGCUGUAUAACGUGUAUCAAAUACACAAGACGGCUAAGGGAGACAUGGAAAACAUGAACCUGACUGCUAUGGUUUCUGAAGUAAAUAUGAUAGGGUCAAAUCCGAAAGAAUGGUGGAUUGACACUGGAGCUACAAGACAUGUUUGUACAAACAAAGACUUGUUCACUACCUUCGAAAAAAUUGAAGGAGAAAAAAUGUUCAUGGGGAACUCUGCCUCAUCUGCUAUUGAAGGUCAAGGGAAGGUGUUACUAAAGAUGACUUCUGGCAAAACAUUGACUUUGAACGAUGUUUUGUAUGUGCCAGAAAUCCGCAAGAACCUUGUUUCUGGAUCGUUGCUGAACAAGCAUGGCUUUCGCAUGGUUUUUGAAUCGGAUAAAGUUAUAUUAUCCAAAUCUGGGAUGUAUGUAGGGAAAGGAUAUACAACCGAUGGGUUGUUCAAAUUGAAUGUACUGACUAUUGUGAAUAAUAAGAAUAAGUCUUCUGCUUAUUUGCUUGAGUCUUCCAAUUUAUGGCAUGGUAGACUAGGUCAUGUUAAUUAUGAUACUUUGCGUAGACUAAUUAACUUGGAUCAUAUUCCUUCCUUUCACAUCAAUUCAAACCAUAAAUGCGAGAUUUGCGUAGAAGCAAAAUUAACAAGGUCAUCCUUUCAAACAAUUGAAAGAAACACCGAACCCCUUGAAUUGAUUUACACAGAUGUCUGUGAUUUGAAAUUUGUUCAAACAAGAGGUGGUAAUAAAUAUUUUAUCACUUUCAUUGAUGAUUGCACAAAAUACUGUUAUGUGUAUUUGCUCAAAAGUAAAGAUGAAGCCUUGGAAAAUUUCAUUCUCUACAAGAAUGAAGUUGAAAAUCAACUUAACCGGAGAAUUAAAAGGUUAAGAAGUGAUAGAGGUGGUGAAUAUGAAACACCUAUUGGUGAUGACUGUGCAAAAUAUGGAAUUGUUCAUGAAGCUAUUUUGUCAAGCAAUUACCUUUUAAAUAGGGUACCCCGGAAAAAAUAAGAUAAAACUCCUUAUGAGUUAUGAAAAGGUAGGAGACCAUCCUACAAAUACUUGAAAGUGUGGGGGUGUCUUGCAAAAGUGGCUAUUCCAGUACCAAAGAGAAUAAAGAUAGGUCCUAGAACUGUGGACUGUAUCUUUAUAGGCUAUGCACAUAAUAGUACUGUUUAUCGAUUUCUUGUGUACAAUUCAGAAAUUUCGAAUAUACACAAAAAUACGAUAAUGGAAUCAAGGAAUGUUUCAUUCUUUGAAGAUGUGUUUCCUUGUAAAUCGAUUGGUGCAUCAAGUUCAUCAAAACGAACACAUGAAGUUAUGAAUCAAGAAAAUCAUGAUCAUGACUUGAUUCAACAAGAUGAACCGAGACGUAGCAAAAGGGUUAGAGUGGAAAAAUCAUUACCUUUUAAGCAAUUACCUUUUAAAUAGGGUACCCCGGAAAAAACAAGAUAAAACUCCUUAUGAGUUAUGGAAAGGUAGGAGACCAUCCUACAAAUACUUGAAAGUGUGGGGGUGUCUUGCAAAAGUGGCUAUUCCAGUACCAAAGAGAAUAAAGAUAGGUCCUAGAACUGUGGACUGUAUCUUUAUAGGCUAUGCACAUAAUAGUACUGCGUAUCGAUUUCUUGUGUACAAUUCAGAAAUUUCGAAUAUACACAAAAAUACGAUAAUGGAAUCAAGGAAUGUUUCAUUCUUUGAAGAUGUGUUUCCUUGUAAAUCGAUUGGUGCAUCAAGUUCAUCAAAACGAACACAUGAAGUUAUGAAUCAAGAAAAUCAUGAUCAUGACUUGAUUCAACAAGAUGAACCGAGACGUAGCAAAAGGGUUAGAGUGGAAAAAUCAUUUGGAGAUGAUUUUACAACUUUUCUAUUAGAAAAGGAACCACAAACCUAUACAGAAGCUGUAAGUUCUUCUGAAGGAUUUUUGUGGAAAGAAGCAAUAAAAAGUGAGGUUGAUUCUAUUUUACAGAAUCAUACAUGGGAGUUAGUGGAUCUUCCUCCUGGCUGUAGACCUUUAGGGUCCAAAUGGAUCUUUAAAAGGAAAAUGAAACCUGAUGGCUCUGUCGAUAAGUACAAAGCCAGACUUGUAAUCAAAGGAUACAAGCAACAAGAAGGUUUGGAUUAUUUUGAUACUUAUUCUCCUGUUACGAGAAUAAACUCUAUUAGAAUGAUUCUUGCUAUCGCUGCAUUGAGAAAUCUGGAGAUACAUCAAAUGGAUGUAAAGACGGCUUUCUUAAAUGGAGAUUUAGAUGAAGAAAUCUACAUGGAGCAACCUGAGGGUUUCAUAACUCCGGGAGCAAGAAAUAAAGUUUGUAAAUUAGUCAAAUCAUUGUAUGGACUAAAACAAGUGCCAAAGAAAUGGCAUGAAAAGUUCGACAAUGCAAUGAUAACUAAUGGAUACAGAAUAAAUGAGUGUGACAAAUGUGUCUACACUAAAGAAACAGACAAUGGCUAUGUCAUCUUAUGUCUUUAUGUAGAUGACAUACUUAUUGUUGGUAGUAAUGACAAAAUGGUCAAGUCUACCAAGGACAUGUUGAAUUCAAAAUUUGACAUGAAAGAUAUGGGGCUUGCUGAUGUAAUUUUAGGAGUUAAAAUUACAAGAAUAUCAGACGGGUUGGUCUUGAGUCAAACUCAUUAUGUGGACAAGAUUCUAGAAAAAUUCAAUAAGGAUGAUUCUGGAAUUGCAAGAACUCCAUUAGACAAUAGUUUCCAUCUAUCUAAGAAUAGAGGAGAGAGUAUUUCUCAAGCAGAAUACUCAAGAAUCAUUGGCAGUCUAAUGUAUUUAAUGAGUUGUACUAGACCUGACAUUGCAUAUGUAGUAAGCAAAUUGAGCGGAUUUACAAGCAAUCCGAGUGCUGAUCAUUGGAAAGCAAUUUUAAGGGUACUUAAAUACCUACGGUACACUCGGAACUAUGGACUGCAUUACACUAGAUACCCUACUGUUUUAGAAGGGUACGCUGAUGCAAAUUGGAUAUCUGAUAUAAAGGAUUCAAAAUUCACAAGUGGAUAUGUGUUCACACUUGCCAGUGGGGCAGUAUCUUGGAAGUCUUCUAAACAAACUAUUGUAGCUAGAUCUACAAUGGAAUCUGAGUUCAUUGCCUUGGACAAAUGUGGAGAAGAAGCUGAAUGGCUCCACCAUUUCCUUGAAGACAUUCCAAAAUGGGAAAAACCUGUGCCACCAAUAUGUAUUCACUGUGAUAGUCAAUCAGCAAUUGGAAGAGCACAGAAUAACAUUUAUAAUGGUAAGUCUAGACAUAUACGUCGUAGGCAUAAUACCAUUAGACAACUACUCUCAACAGGAGUUAUCUCUAUUGAUUAUGUGAAAUCAAAGGAUAACAUAGCGGAUCCGCUAACCAAAGGAUUGAAUAGAGAGUUGGUUGCAAAAAUGGCAAAGGGAAUGGGACUAAAGCCCAUGGAAGGCUAAGUGUUAUAAAGGAAACCCAACCUAGCUGACUGGAGAUCCCAAGAUCUAGGUUCAAAGGGACAACCUAAUUAUAAGGACUUAGCAUAGUCAUUGUGGGGGGAUAUCCCUAGACCCAUUCCAUAAUGAAACAAUGACGCAAAGGAGAAUUAAGGAUAGCACGAUGGUGUGCUUUAAUGAUUCUUAAGUGAAGUAAUUAAUUACUGAAGACUUAAGUAAAUCACCUAUGUGAGAGUGAAGUGGGGCCGCUUCAAAAGAGAAUUGUUUAGGGCUCAAUUCUUAAAAAACUCUUGCUGAACCAGGUUGAUGUUCAUGGCCAAAACGAACAUAACUAUGAGAACUGAACAAAUGGAGCAUGAUUCCUGUGUGAAAUAUAUGGUUCAUUUACACUAAAAAGCGGGACAGUUCAAAGACAUCAAGUCUACUGGAUUGCUAGUAAAGUAAGUAUAUUUCACAAGAGAAGGUUCAAAGGGUAACACCAACCUAUCUUAUGCAGGUUUCAGUCGUGGAACACUACUGUAGAGUCAAAUCAAAACAAAUUUUCCAUUCAUGUGGGGGAUUGUUGGAAAAAUGGCUAUAUUCAUUGUAGAGUGAAUGAGAAAAUUGUUCUCAUAAUGGCACUCUUGAAAGAAUUCAGGAUAAUUAUCUAUCAUUCAUUCAUGUAUAUAGGAUUCAUGUAUAUUAAUUAUUGAUACAUGAUUUUGGAUAGGAUUCAUGUGUAUUAAUUAUUGAUACAUGAUUUUGGAUAGGAUUCAUUUGGGGUUAUCUUAUUGAGAUACAUGUAUGUACAUGAAUGUGGUCCUUUGAUAAACGUGAAGAUAAUUAUCUGGAAUUUAACACUUGUUGCCAAUUUCUAACAGUCACCCUUGGCCAGCAUCUAUAAAUAUCUCUUUUGUUUCAAAAGAAAGCGCGCUCUCUCUCUCCUUUUCCUUCUUGCAUCUGCAUCUUUUAUAGUGUUCCAUAUUGCUCUAGUUCGAGUUCGCUGGGGUGAAGAACGUUUGGUGCUGACAUAUUCGCCUUUAAUCCGUUGUAUCCUGGGAGACAGACGCCUACUCAACCUCAAGCACUCUACCUGGAGGGGGCGAAUCUGUUUUAAGGAAAUUGUGCUCACAAGCCUCGGAUUGUUAUUAUUAUUUUUCGAUCAUUUCUUUCUUUCUGGGUUGUAUUUAUUCUUCUCUAUUGUGUAUCAGCCUAUAUCUUUUAUUAUUUCACUAACAUAAGUAUCAUAAAAAAUAAUGCAAAGUAAAGCAUUCAAUUGCUGAACUAAUUAGGUGAUGAAAUGACCAAGUCUCAUGAAUAAGGCGCGAAGCUGACCACCCACUGGAUGUUUCUGCGUACAAAUAAAACCAGCCAAGAAGCAAACUAAGUACUACAUUGGCAAUAAUUCAUCUAACCACCGGGCCAAGUGGCCAGGGCCGUAGGUGAAAGUUCGAACCUCACCUGCAGUGAAAAAAAUCUAAGAAUCGUGCUCUUUUGAUCUAGUUGGAUCUGUAUAUCCACUAGCUCCUAUUACAGCUUUCUUAGGCUCCUUCUCUCCCUUAGAUUAGGAUAGAGUAGGUUAUACAAAUAUACCGUUGCCGAAAAAAAAAAAAAAAAAAGACAAUAAUUCAUCUAGUAACAGGCCCCAGCAUUGAAUCAGAAAAAGACGAAGGCCCCAGCAACAACAACAGUGAUUAAGAAAGCUCAGGCGAAAAAGCCAAAGCAACUUCCAUUGCAAAAGCAUCCAAUUUCCUAUUGAAUUGAAGCCCAGCACUAGACUGAUUGAGGACUCCUUAUUUGUCACAUAAUUAUCAUUAUUUAUUUCUUGUACCAAACCAUAGCAGUCGAAGUUGAGUUGGACCGCAGGCUUGUUAAUGUGAGCAUAAAUAUCUCAUGUGAUUAGGGUGGUUCUACACCUCGACUGCAACAAACGUAGUACAAUUUAAGCAUGGGUUUCUAUUGUAAAUUUGUAAUUAAUAUACGCAAAUAAAAGUCAUUGUGUGAUUGUAAAAAAUGGAUAGCUGAUUAUGAAUUGUCUAAUUAUAAGGAAGUAAAUAAAAAUUUUCUGUUAAUUUCUUAAAUUGGAGAAUAAAAGAAGCCGGUGAAUUGUAAUUAAUCUGUUAUACAAAAAAAAAUAUGUUGUUUCUUCAACUUUAUAAAUUUUUAGUUUAAAAAUUUUUUAUUUGCUUAAAAAUAAAAUUUUUUUAAAUAAGAAUAAAAAUUUUUAAAAAUUUUUAAAAAUGUAAUUUGGAAUAAAAACUAGAAGGGAAGGGGAAAAAAGAAGAAAAUAUCAACAUUGUAGAGGGAUUUUUUUUUUCCCUCUUAGGGGGUUAAGUGUUACAAAAUAGAAAUUAGAGGGUAAAAUGAGAAACAUGACAUACCUUAGCAAGAUAAAUGGCAAUUAACCCCUAUUAUUAAUUAAAUAAAUUUUAUAAUACUGACAGUGCAUACACUCUCACAGUUAGAUUCAUGAUACGUGUGCAAAAAUUAAAUUUUAAAUUUAAAUUUUAUAUAGUUAUCAUUAAUACAAUGCUGAUAGUAUAUACAUUGUCAGUAUAGGAAAGAUUAUCCUUAUAAAUUUAUUAUGUGAUCUUAACUUCGAAGGCGAAACUAAUAACGGUCGUACAUGAGCCAUUAAUUAAGAACAUCUUUAGCUUAAACUCUGACAGCCACUAAGUUUUUAAAUUCCAUACUUAUACCCCUGAAGCAAAUGUUUUGAGUUUAUCUCUAAAAGGACUAACAGAUUAGGUGAAUGGCCAUUUUCCUUUUUCCCAUGUCUUUGCCACCACAAUUUAUUGUCCCGACAACCAUUCAGAUCUUUACAGAUUAAAGGGCUCCAGCAUUUACUCGAUAAAGAUGAAGGCCCCAGCAACAGGAAUGAUUAAGAAAACUCACGUGAAAAUGCCAAGCAACUUCCAAUGCGGAGGCAUCCGAUUCCAAGCUCGCCGACGAAGCAUUGCAACUACACGACCGGAGAACUCUCAAUUGGUCACAUCAUGAGCCUUUUUUUUUCUUUGUGAAUAGAACAUAAUACUGGAGGUUGAGGUGGAGCAAAUGCAUCAUUCAAGUUAUUCUUGGCCAAAAUUCAUUCAUCAUUUUUUAAAAGGCUCCAUGAAAGUGAGCUCGACAUUCUUGGUUGUGUGUAAGUUUAAAAGGCUCACUUCUCAGAAAUUUUACAAUUUAAUCGAAGUACUUCAUAUCUCAAGAUACCAUUGAUUCUUAUUUUGUCUUUUCAAAAAUAAAAGUUCACGUAAUUUGACAUCACAAGCCUGAUUACUGAGACACAAAGGCAAGCAUAAGUGUUUUACAUGGUUUUCAAAUUAAGAAUAUUUUAUAUAUUCCCCAAAAAAUCUAAAAAAAGAAAAAAAAACUUCCUUUCUUGCUUGAACAAUUGCAUUGUAACGCAUUCUAUUGUUGGGCCAAUUAAGCCUCAUGAACGAGACACGAAGGUCAUUGUCUCUGAGUAAAUUUCCAAAUCCAGCUGCCUUUUGAAGCUAGUUCCCAAAACUUGAAUGUUUUUAAGUAAGGAACGCAUUCGCUAUAUCCAAUGUUUAGAAAUUUAGAAAAAAUUAUAGUUUUACUCCUUACUGUUUAGUCUCUGUGCAGUUUUAGAUCUUGAAGUUUCGGCAAAAAGUAAAUCUAGUCGUCAAUGUAUAGUAUAUGUACAGUUUUAGUCCCUAAAGUUUUGGCAAGAGCAAUCCGAUUUUCAAUGUCACCAAUUUGAAGCAUUUUAAGGACCAUUGCUAAAUUUUUUUAAACAUUAAUCAAAUCAAUCACUUGCGGGUGCAGUCACAUAUUUGUUGAAAAACUUCUUAAAAGAGAAUCAAAGUAAUGAGUAAUCUUUAACAAUAAGAAUAAUUGGCAUGCUAACACAUUAGUCACUAAUUGCUCAAGAGAAAAGAAAGACAAUUUCUUAAUCUACACUAAAAAUUAGGAAUCACAAUUUUUUUUUUACUUGGAGACACUAGAGAUAGUUAGUGAAAAUGAAUUCUAGAUCGAUGAACACUUCGUAUAUUGAAGUUUUAGUUUAAAAAGUUUCCUUCUUUUUACUGGUUAAAUAGUUAACAAAUGAGUUCUUAAUUUUGUUGCUUAAAGUUAGCUACUAUUUUGCUUCUUUAUUUUGAAAUUUAAUUUAAUAGGCAAUUGACCAGACAUGACUAAAUUUUGUUAGUAAUUGAGAUAAAAUUCUUCAAAUGUCCUAAAUCAGCUUUAAAUUGAAUAUAAACGGGACCAGACUUGCUCUUGCUAUAACUUUAUGGACUAAAACUGCACAUGUACAAAAUAUUGAGGAUCACGAUUGCUUUUGUUAAAACUUUAUGCCUACUAAAACUGAAUAUUAAGAAUUAAAACAAUCAUUUUGUUCAAAAAUGAAAAAUUUAUGAAAAGUGGCAUUCAGCAAAUGCAACUCUUCUACAAUUAUGAUUGGUCCAAUGGUCAAGAGCAGCCGACUCUUCAACUCUUUUAACGCAUUCAUCAUUGUGUACAAAAGCAGCCAACUGGCAAAAUAGGUACUACAUUGACAAUAAUGGCGAACUUUUUGGUCUCUGGUUUCUUACGAGACGGAGUAACCACCCCAGCGUCAACCACUUGGCCAAUGCAUGCUUCAGUGGCCUCCUUCCUUGGACUUACAGUGAAGGUUCGAACCUUACUUGCAAUGAAAAAAAUCGAAAAAUUAUGUCAUAGUAUUCAUGUUUCUUUAGACUCCCUUUCCAGCCCUCUCCUUCGAUUAGAAUAGAAUAGAUUAUAUAAAUAUAUCAUUGUCCCAGUGUCAAUCAUUGGGGCAAUGAUUCAGUAGCCACCAGGGAGGGACUUAAGUCCCUCCUUGAGCUGUAGGUGAGGUUUGAACUCUCAUCUGCAGCGAAAAAAAUCGAAAAAUUGUGUUAUAAUACUCUUUUAAUUUAAUUGAAUCUGUAUAUUCACUAGUUCUGACCAUAGCCUUCUUAGAUUCCUCCUUUCCCUAGAUUAGAAUAAAGUAAAUUAUACAAAUGUGUCGUUACUGUUAAAAAAAAAAAAAAAAACCACCCCAGCAGCGUGGUCAUUUGUAAAACCAAGAAAAUGCCAAGCAACUUCCAUUGCAAAAGCAUCCAAAUUUCCCAUUGAAUUGGAGCACCCACGGCACCGCACUGAUCGAGGCCCCCUGAUGUCUUUUCAAGUAUUCUACCGGAACAGCUGAUGGCCGCCUCCAUUGACCGACAAAAUUUGUCACGGCCGACAAAAUUUGGUCUAAGCUUUCGUACAGCUAUUCUUUAUCAAAUCAUGCAACAUAUAUUUAUUUGUAAACCAGACUCUUGGUGCCCUCUUUUUCCUUCAAGAUCAGGUAACCUCCUCUUCUAUUCAUAGUUCCUUCAUUGUAUUAUGGAUACAUUGGCAAGGGGCAUAUGAUGGAAUUCAUUUUUGUCAUAUGAAUUUUCAAAAUUCCUUAAUGAAUUAAAUUUAAAAUUUCACAUGUUUUAGUUGUUUCUUGGUCUUCAAUAAUUUUUUUUCAAAAUUAUCCCUCUUCAAUAAUAUCUAAGAAUCUGGACAAGUAGGAUGAGAGAUUAUGAUGUAUGCAUUUCUAGGGAAGUUCGUUAAUUUGCAUUUGGAUCAAAGUUUAAACAAGUUGGAUAAUUGAUAAUUUAUUCCCGUUGAAUCAUCUUAGACAUCAAUUUAUGCUGCACUUAGUACUGAUCUUAAUCACUUACAACCAUGAUCAGAUUAUAACCAAUUAAUGGCUUGACAUAAUCACUCACAACAACCUUUGCCGGUUCUUUUAGUUGGAGUAAGGCAGCAUACGACAUGAAAUAAUUGAUUUGUUUCCAACUAGUAGUGGGUGGCAAACUAUGAUCAUAUUUUAAGGACUUCGUAUAUACAGUAAGGUGGUCUGAUUUGCAACAAAUUUAUUAUUUUAGUUACCUACUGACUCAUAAAAACAAAUACACUAACAUUAAUACUUUUAGAUGGAUAAGAAAUCACACGAAGAUUCAAAUCAGUUUCACAUCCAACAAAAACAAUGACAAUUAGUUGGUGUUGACGUUAUUUGCCAUGUAACAAAAUUGAUCAUGCCUCAAAGGAUUUGUUGCACAAAUUAUGUUGAAUGACCCAUUGGGUAUCGAUCUAAACAAAGUCAGAAUGUGCAAAAGGAAAUAUUGAUACAACUUAGAACAAAUUAGAUAUGUUGACUCAACAAACAUUGACAAAAAAUUCCUAAUUUUGGCCAACUUGGAUAUAUAAACUUAAGUGGUGAUGUGAGGUGAAAAAUUAGGGGCAACAUGGUGGAACACUGGUCUAGGGGAAUUAUAUGAUAAUUAUAGUUUAGAUGGAGUAAAUUAAUAAGCUCUUGACUUAAACCUGAAGGUGUUUAAAUUUCCUUUGGCUUAAAGGCGUUUAAACCCGAAGCUGUUAGUUUUGUUGCAAUUAUUUACUUUAGAAGAACUUUUUAAUAUAAGGGCACUGUUGUAAAAGUAACAAGGUAGACAAUCCUUUCCUCUCACUCCUCCCAAGUCUCAAACAAAACCAAAAAAAUCAUUUCUUUUCUUUUCUUUUUUAAGUUCCCAAACAACAUUGAAGGAAACUUGUCUAAAUUAAUUAGUCAAACAUUCUUUAUGUUCAUAUAUAUAUAUGAGUAAAAUCCAAGGUUGUGUGAAAUUUAAAAAAUUUAAUAAUCAACAGUUCUACAAUUUGGACAAAGAAUCUCAAGAUUUCAUUAUUGAGAACACAAACCUCACUAUCAAGACACUAAGGUGACCAUCCGCUACACCUCUCAAAAUUUCUACUACACAGGAAGCAAAUUAACUGGUUUAAAAAGAGGGGUCUGUUUUUGUUUAUUAAUUUUCGCUACCUUAAUUCCCUAAUUGAGGAAUGAUCUGAUAAAAGUUUCACCACCUACUCUUUUUUUUUUUUUUUCCCCCCGGAAACGUUAGAAGGUAACAGUUUCACCACCUACUCAGAUUGCUACAAUUUAUGAGUUCCAAUUUUCUUUUCAUCCAACCACAGUGGUUUAAUUUCUUCCACACUUAAGGGCCCCACCAGUGACUAAGUCAGAUUGCGCUAAAAUUAUUUUGAGGUGACCCCACACAAUUUGAUUAAUCGCAAUUAUACUAAUCUGAAUCUCACACGUCAACCAACUGGAAUCGUUUAAUCAUCUCUCUCUUGUUCUGACUGGCUUCUAUUCUGAUUUCUGCCAAUUGUUGCUGAAACAUUCCUUCCAUCUCUGAUAUCAGAAAACCUUUCGAUCCAAGUUCCAAUUCCAAGCAAGAAACAAUGGCUGACGCUGUUAUCAGUGCUACUGUUGAGGUCGUCUUGGGGACACUUAUUUCCAUUGCUGCGGGCCGCAUUGGUAUGGUUCGGGAGGUCGAAGCGGAGUUGGAGAGACUAAGCAACACUGCUGCAAUGAUCCGAGAUUUCUUGGCUGAUGCUGACGGGAAAAUGCAUACCCAAGGGGUGCGACAGUGGCUCAAGCAGCUAGAAGAUGAGGUUUUUAAAGCUGAUACCGUGCUAGACGAGCUCAACUACGACAAUCUUCGUCGGGAGGUGAAGUACCGAAAUCAACCAAUGAAGAAGAAGGUAUGCUUCUUCUUCUCCUUCUUUAAUGCAAUUGGCUUUAGUUCCAGCUUGGCUUCAAAGAUCCGGGACAUCAACACCAACCUAGAAAGGGUCAACCAGCGAGCCAAUGAGUUGAGAUUGACCAAAAAGCAGCAAAAAGAAGCUGCACUCCCUGCUGAUGCCGCUGGUGCCAGACAGACCGACUCUAUUGCCGUUCCGAACGUUGUAGGAAGAUCCGGCGACGAGUCAAAGAUUGUGGACAUGUUAUCGAGCCCAUCUGAAAAGGUUCUUUCUGUUAUUCCCAUAACAGGCCCGGGAGGUUUGGGAAAGACAACUCUUGCUAAAUCAGUCUACAAUAAUCGAAAAUUAGAUGGGCACUUUGGCCAAAAAAUUUGGGUUUGUGUGGCUAAAGAACACAUUAAGAUACUGGAGCUGUUCAAGCUCAUUUUAGUACAAUUGACACAAGACGAAGUUAAAGUGGAUGACAGAGAGGUUAUCGUUAAAAAAAUUGAAGAAAAGCUCAAGGGAAAAAAAUAUUUCCUUGUUCUUGAUGAUGUGUGGGAUCAUGAUCAAGGAUUGUGGAAUGAUUAUUUCAACACUUUGAUGGGACUCAACGAAACCAAAGGAAGCUGGUGUCUUCUCACUACUCGUCUACAACCAGUGGCUAAUGCUGUGCCUAGACAUUUGCAAAUGAAUGAUGGUCCUUAUUCCCUAGGAAAGCUAUCAGAUGAUGCAUGCUGGUCCAUCAUAAAAGGAAAGGUGAUAAGUGCAGGCGAAGAAGUACCAGAAGAAUUGGAAGCAUUGAAGGAGCAAAUUUUAAGGAGAUGCGAUGGCCUACCCUUGGCGGCAAGUUUGAUUGGUGGCUUGAUGCUUACCAACAGAAGAGAGAAGUGGCACUCCAUUGUGCAGGAGAGUCUUUUGAAUGAAUAUCAAAGCCAAAUUAAUCAAAUACUUAAGGUGAGCUUUGAUCAUUUAUCAUCUCCAUCAGUUAAGAAAUGUUUUGCAUAUUGCUCAAUUUUUCCCCAGGAUACUCAAUUACGAGAAGAUGAACUAAUUCAGCACUGGGUUGCUAAAGGUUUUGUUCUAAAGAAUAAUAGAGUGAUGGAGGAAACAGGAGGCGAGUAUUUGAGGAUUUUGUUGCAAAAUUCCUUACUGGAAAAAGUCCAAGAGCCGCUGUGGGAAACAUAUUAUUAUAAAAUGCACGAUCUCGUGCAUGAUUUUGCAAAAUCAAUUCUCAAUCCAGAAAGCAGCAAUCAGGAUCGCUACCUUGCAUUGGACUCUUCUAAAGGUUUGGAAGAAAAUACCACAAGGACAAUACCAGCAUCAAUUCGCACGUUAUUUCUCCAUCUAGAGGGUGGCGUAUCUACUGACAUGCUUUUAAGAUUCAAGUGCUUGAAUGUUCUCAGAUUGUCCGGCGAUGAUGUCAAGUUUCUGCCGAGCUCCAUUGGCAAACUACCAAGUUUGCGGUUGCUCGACAUUAAAUCUUCUAGAAUCAGAAGUUUGCCGGAAUCUCUUUGCAAGCUAUAUAAUCUGCAGACACUAACUGUGAGAGAUUAUGCACUUGAAGGAGGUUUUCCAAAACGGAUGAGCGAUUUGAUUAGCUUGCGGCAUCUAAACUACCACGAUGGUGAUGCGGAAUUGAAAAUGCCGGUGCAGAUGGGACGAUUGACUCGUCUUCAAACUCUGGGGUUUUUUAAUGUAAGUCAAGAGAGGGGUCGUGGUAUCGAAGAGCUUGGGACCUUGAAAUAUCUGAAAGGAUCGUUGAGGAUAAGAAAUCUUGGACUAGUGAAGGGCAAAGAAGCAGCUAAACAAGCAAAAUUGUUCGAAAAGCCAAAUCUGUCUUACUUGGCGUUUAGUUGGGAGAGUGGGGAUCGGGCAAGCGAUAACCGUGAUGAGGAUGUGUUGGAAGGUCUCCAACCUCACCCAAAUUUGCAAAGGCUGGGAAUUGAUUCUUUUAUGGGUAAUAAAUUUCCACAAUGGCUUAUCAAUUUGUCAAAAUUGGAGGAAUUGGUGAUAGAAGACUGCCAGAGAUGCAGCGAACUCCCCUCAUUAGGACAACUGCCAUCCCUCAAACGUCUCUAUUUGAUAAGAUUGGACAACAUUCGAUUUAUUGGAGAUGAAUUCUACGGUAUUACUGCUAAUGAGGAGGAGGAGGAGGAGGGCAGAUCACGAGCAUCAGGGAGCAGCACUAGAAGGCGAAAAUUCUUUCCUGCCCUUGAAGGACUCUGGGUAAUACGUAUGGGGAAUUUGGCAGAGUGGAAAGGUGCAGACCAAGUGAGGUCAACAGUAGGUGAAGCAGAAGCAGACGUCUUUCCCAUGCUGAUGGAUUUUCACAUUGUAAGUUGCCCACAACUGACCACUCUUCCAUGCUCGUGUAAAAGUCUACACGUGGAGAGUUGCGAUAAUCUAACAAGUAUAAAAAUGGGUUACGGCGCUGCUUCUGUUGAGGAGUGGUGGAUCGACUCUUGCGACAAUCUUAGGGAGCUGCCAGAUCUGGAUCUGUUUGGAUCGAGUUUGCAGCGAUUGACCAUCGCAAGUUGCCCAAGAUUAAUUGACCAUCACUUGAAGGAGGAGAUUUCAAGUGAUCCGGUGAGAUUUUCCUAUCUAAAGUUCACACGCAUAUAUAUGUGUAUAAAUUUUUUGUAUCUGCAUCUCAUUGACGUAUAUUUGCUCUUCAGUCUCUUGUACUCUUUUUCUCCAUCUCUUUUCUGCAAAGUUAUUCUCUGUAAUUCUCUUCUUUUGGGCAGACCUUGGUUUCUUUUCAAAGAUUAGUUUUAACAAAGCCUGGUUUUGAGCAAAUAGGAAGAGACCAAAAUUCUGGAUUUUCUCUGCAUCUCGCCAUUGAAAGAUUUUGAACAUCUUAAAAACUCAACUUGUUACCUUCUAUUUGGCCAAGAACGAAAUUAUUUGCAACGGUGCAUACACAGUUAGCCUCUUUGUUUGAAUGUGUUAGCAAAUGUUUCAUUGCAUGUGCAAUGCUAGAUGUACAUGGGAGCAUUCAUCAUUUUUCUGUCACCGAUAUUGCCAGUCUGAAUGGACAACAUUAAAGCUAAUCAAGAAACAACUGUGAAGAAAAUUCAAGAUGCAAUUUGCUAUUCUUUGGGACUCUGUGUUCUUAUUUCUAUAUCAGUCUCCUUGAAGUUCAAAUAUGUUUGUUGAUGAACUAGAGUGCUGCAAACCUUCACCCCUCACAAUUGGUGAUGCAUGCUUCAUAAGAAUGACAAUAAUAUGGGAUGGUUGUUUAUCAUCUUUCAGAAGUUUGAGAAGUUUGUACAUCACAAUUACCUUGUUUUUUUUGUUCUGUGAGCUGAAUUACUAUAUUGUUACCUUGUCUAGCAGUGACCGAACAAGAAGGCAAUAAUGGUGCUCAAACAUUAGUUUCAUGUUGAUUCCCAUCCUUGCUGAAGAAGGAGAAACCAGAAGGUAUGAUGGUUCUCAAACAUCAGCUUCUCUCCCCAAGAACUCUUUUUAACCUCCGCCCAAUUUAUUAAAAAUACAAGGAAACUAGUGCAAGUUUUUAUCAAAGUAUGCUUGAGUCAUGCAAUUUGCCAGAAAACAGGGUGUUUUUUUGUACUUUCAUGUACUUUUGAACAUUUGUCCUGUGCUAUAUAGCUUAGUUUUUAAUCUUUAAGAUUGUACAUUUACUAGGUGCUUAACAUGUCAUUUGAUUGUGAAAGAAGCUGGUUUAUUCCAUUUUCUUGUACUGGUUACUAGACCAUACCUUUUCUUUGCAUUCCUUAGCUGUCAUAACUGAAGUCAUACUGAAGUGUAACAUUACGAUGGUAUUUUCCAGAGUCUUAGAAAGCAGACCUCAUGUUGUUCGACAAAGACACCACCCUUUGCUGUUGCAUUUCUUACAAGAGUGCCAGGGGGCAGAAGUUAUUUUCACUGACUAGAUAGGUUUGAAGAUGAAGUUAGUAAUCAAUGAUGAGAAUUUUGCACAUCAGAGAGUGCUAGCUUUGACGGAGGCUUCACCAAUAGGUAGUUCUCCCCAGGUUUCCCAAACAUAAGUUUUUGCUCAUCUCCUGCUCGGGGUGUAGAAAGAAUGGUAAUAAUUUAGCUUGUUCAUCUUCAGGCAGUUUUCAUAGCUUUUUUAUCUGCAUUCUUGAUAUAUAUUUAGUAAAUAAAUCACCAAAACAUUUUUUUUGCCCUUUGGUGUAGCAUGCUGAUCGCUGAACAAAUUGGAAGAGACCAAAAUUUUGGGUUUUCUCUGCCUCUCUGAACCACUGAAAGAUUUGAACAUCUUAAAUCUCUUUAACUUCAACUUGUUACAUUCUAUUUGGCCAAUGUCAAAAUUACUAGCAAUGGUUCAUAGCCAAUUAGCCUCUUCGUUUGAAUGUGCUACAAAAUGUUUCAUUUGAUUUGCAAUGCUAGAUGUACAUGGACAUAUUCUUCAUUUUUCUGUCACUGAUAUUGCCAGUCUCAAUGGAUAACAUUUAAGCUAAUCGAGAAACGAUUUUCAAAGAAAAUUCAUGACACAAUUUGCUGUUCUUUGGGACUCUGUGUUCUUGUUGCCAUAAAAUUAGACCAGUCUAAUUGAACUUCAAAUAUGUAUGUGGAGGAACUAGAGUGCUGUGAACAUUCACCCCUUACAAUUGAUACUGCAUGCUUCAUAUCAAUGACAAUAAUUUUUUUUUUUCAUGACAAUAAUGUUGGAUAGUUGUUUAUCAUCUUUCACAAGUUUGAAAAGUUUAUACGUCACAAUUGCCUUGAUUUUCUGUUCAGUGAGCUGGAUUACUGUAUUGUAACCUUGCAUAUGAGCAAUGCAAGGAAUGAUGGUGCUCAAACAUCAGCUUCGUGUUGUUUUCCAUUGCUGCUAAAGAUGAAGAGCUCAGGAGGUAUGUGGUGCACAAAAGUGAUAAUCCAGCACUUCUCUCCCCGAGAACUCUAAGUUUGCAUUCUAAUAUGCUUAAGUCAUGUAAUUGGCAUGAAAACAGGGUGUUUUGCUGCACUUUUGUUUGUUUUUGAAUGCUUACCCUGUGCCACAUAGCUUAUCUUUUGCUCUUGAAGAUUUUUAUGUUUAUUUGGUGCUUAACAUGUGUUAUGAUUGUGAAAGAAUCUGGUUUUCAAUUUUCUUGCACUAGUUACCAGUCCAUACCUUUUCUUUGCUUUCAUAAUUUGCCAUGAUUGAAGCUGUUCUGAAAUGUAAUAUUAUGAUGUUUAUUCCAGAGUCUUAGGAAGCAGACCUCAUGUUAUUGGAAAAGGACACCACCGUUUGCCGUUGCAUUUCUUACUAGAAUGCCAAGGGACAGAAGUUAUUUGCAUUGAGGGUUUGAAGAUGAAGGCAGUAGUUAUCAAUGAUGUUAAUUUAGCUCAUUAGAUAGGAUUAGCUUUGAUGGAUGUUUCACAAAUAGUUGGUUCUCCCCAGGUUCCUCAAACAUAAGUUUUUCGGUUUCUCCUGGUCAGAAUGCAGAAAGGAAGGUAAUGAUUUAACUUGUGUGUCUUCAGGGCAGUUUUUAUAGUUUCUGAUCUACUUUCUUGAUAUGUAUUUAGUAAAUCUAUUACCAAAACUUUUUUUCUUUUUGUUGAUUUCUGAACUGAAAAUGGCUAGUAGCAGGCUUGUAGAGUGUGACAUGGAUGAAGAAGAAAGAGAGGGGAGCAUCAUCCGAGCAUGGAAGCUGAUACUGGAGACCUAUCAAGAUGCGCAGCUGAUUAUAGUCAAACUGGACUGAUGGAUGUUUGUGACAGUAGACACAAUAAAUUGGAUAAACAAUCAAUUUGGAGCAGUGAGAAAUGUAGAUGCAAGAAGUCUUGAAUUGCACAAAGAUCCAAGGAAGAGCAUAUUUUGUGAAGAAUUAACACUUUUUAAAAUAUGGCAUUUCAUACUUUUGGUGUAUCAGAAUGUGACAAGUCCUGAUAGUAAGUACGUUUUCUUCAUCUUUUAUAGGGAGUAAAAGUAUGUCUAGAGACCAUACUUGCAAGAUUUCCUACCCUUUUUUAGUUAGACAUUUGAUAGAGAGAACUUUUCCUCUUCAAAUAAUCAUUUUUAUUAUCUAUGAUAGGUGAAAUUGCUUAUCAAUUUUACCUGAUACUGCGAAAUUGCUUUGGGUUCAUAAACAAAUCAUAACAGUAAAAUCUAAAUGAUGAUCUUAUUGUUAAAGGUUUUAUAUAAGAAUAGGUACUUAAUACAAAUGAAACAACGUAUAUUAUUGAAAUUUUCAUCAGUAUUGAGUAAAUUAGACAAUUGUAUUCAAUAUUGUGGUCGUAUUAUAAUUUUUCUCUUCUCUAAUUCGCCUACGCUGCCAUUGAAGUUUUAACAAAAAUGUCAUACAAUUCUAACAACUAGAGUUGUCAACAAUUGAACUUGGUACUGACUAGUAUUAUUAUUUUUUUUUUUUUGUCAAAGAUAACAGUAGCAUUAUUCUCAAAGAUAUGUGUAAAUUCCAUCUUAUCUUGCUAAUGUCAAGAGCCUAAUCUUCAAGACAAAAAAUUUAUUAAAGCCGUUAAAUUAAGUAUUUGUACUAAGAUUUUUAUUUUCCUCUUUCUUUCAAGUAAGGUGGGGAGAGAUGAGCAAUCCAUAGCAUUCUUCAAUCUUCGAUUUAGAGAAUUGGAGUCUUUUCUUUAAGGGUGCGUUUGAUAAAAUUGAAAUUUAAAAUUUGAAAUCUGAAGUCUGAAAUCUAAAUCCAUUAACUACUGAAUUGUUAAAUACUAAAUUUGAUACAUUUAAAUGUAUAUCACAUUAAGUGAUAAGUGAAUAACUUAUCACUUAUUUUUUAGAACAAGUUUUGCUUUGGAAAUUCAUUGCCACUUAAUUAAUCCAUGUGUUUUAGUUUUAGUUAUCGAACGCAUCUGAACAUAAUUUAAGUGCUAAAUUGGAUUAUCAAAUAGAAUUCAAGUUUAACAGAAUUUCAACUAAAAAUCAAUAGGUUCAUUGAGCUAACAUAAUUUGCUAAUAAUAAUAAUAAUAAUAAUAAUAAUAAUAAUUUCAAAUAUUAUUCAGAGAAAUGAGACAUGAGCCUUUAGUCUUCAUUCUCCAGUUGAACUUAGACGUUUUAGACUUUUAGUGGAGCGCUUCUUUCAGGUAAAAAUAAAUUUCAGUAAAGCAUUUAAAUAACUAUAGAAAACAUAUUGAUUCCUAUGCUGUUGAACCUCUCAGUAAUUAUCGAAGAACCUUUUGCAAUGGUAUCCUGCCAAGAGAUUCAUAAUCCAUGCUAUAUUGCGUGUUGAAAAUCAUACAUAAAAAAAAACCUUGCCCAAUCCUACAAAAAUCACAAUACUGUAGUACAUAUAAUCAGUUAACUUCUGGUUUUCGUGGAGUACAACUGUUUGACCCAUUUCUUUAGCCCAAAAUAAAAUUUAUAAGUAGCAAAAGAAACUGACCAUAUGAUCAAAACAGUAGGGCAUAAUACACUUUGCCCUCAUGUAAUUUAACGUUUUUUUUGCAUAAUCUCCCAUAUGGUUUCAAAGUUACGCAUACCCUUUUCAUGAUUUGGAUGAAAAUGUCAAAAUAACAGAAUUUAUAUUCUAGGGUUAAUUCCACUUUGUCCCCCCAAACUUUGGACGAUUACCCACUUAAGUCCCUAAACUUCAAAAUGAGACACUUAAGUCCCUAAACUUAUAAAUACCUCUCACUUAAGGAAAAUUGUUAACAAAUCCUGAAUGCCGUUGGUGGUCGAAGUGUCCUAUUUUAUAAGGGUUUAGGGAUUUAAGUAUCCCAUUUUAUAAGUUCAGGGACUUAAGUGGGAGGUAUUUAUAAGUUUAGAGACUUAAGUGUCCCAUUUUGAAGUUUAGGGACUUAAGUAGAUAAUCGUCCAAAGUUUGGGGGGACAAAGUGGAAUUAACCCUAUAUUCUAUAAUGGAGUCAACUAAAAUGUUAACAGUAUCUCUAUAUAAAGUUGAAAAUUAUUUAUUAAUCACGGAAGUUUAUGUAUAUAAUUUAAAAAUUAUAAAGGGAUUAUAUGGUAAAACAUUAAAUCAUAAAAGAGUUAUAUAAUAAACCAUAAAAUCAUACGAGGUUAAAGUAUCAUACAUAUUAUAUAUUUUGGUCAUUUUAAUCAUUUUAAUUUUAAACAAGAGUAAUUUUGACAUUUUCAUGGAUUCCAUUACCAAUGAUCAUUUCCGUCACUUUGAUACUUUAAUUUAGAGUAUGAGAUGGUAAUAUAUAGCUUUUAAAGCUAUAGAGAAGUUUUGUAAAAAAAUUGCUAAACUACAAGGGGUCAAGUGUAUUUUGCCCAAAAUAGUAAUACUAGAUUCAAUCUAAUGAAAUCCUCUAUGGAUUGAAAUUGCAAAAACCCUUUUCCCUUGGCAAGCCGGGACUUUCUUAUUUACAAGGGAUUCAAUUCUGCAAUUGCUUAACUCGAGCUGAAAUCGUAUUGCACCAUGAACUUUCAAAUCAAACAGGAGAACGAUGCCGCCUACUCAAAACCAUUAAAACUAUGUUGAACAGAGUUUGAGACAAGGACUACUGCAGGUGGCAACUCUCCAAAAAGGUUGACCGUCAUGAUUUGGUUUAAAAAAAAUAUUAGGAUCAAAUCACAUCUUGUAAAUAAAUUUUAACACCAUUUAUGAGGUCCAUAAAAUUUUAUUCUAUAUUUAUAAGUCGCUGAAAAUAAGUUACAUUCUAAAUAAAGUGAGUUAUAUUCUGUGCAAAUGAAACAAAAUUGGCCCAAAUAAUUUUUCUGACAACCAUUUGGAUCCUUGGUCCAUGGUAAACUUAUUACAAUACAUAGAGAGGGCUUCUCUUAUAGACUAUAUAUCGCUGUACACCAUUACACUAAUAAUUGAGUCUGACUUGUGAGGUUGGCAACUGUGGUCCAUAUAUAAUAUAAUUUUCAUAAGACAUACUUGGUUUCUAAAAUGUCCUUCACAUUUUGUUAAAUAAAUUAUUUCAUCCUUCACUUUUAAAAUAAUAACUUUAUAUUUCAUACAAAAUCAAAUCAGUAAAAUUUGGUUCCAAUCGAGAUUUUUUACCACAUUUUAUCCUAAAUCCAUCAUGUAACCCAUAUGCAAUCAUUAUUUAUGUAUGGAAAGGCUGAUCAGUUGCAUGGUAAAAAAUUACUCACUAAUGUACGAGGAGAGUCUCUGAUGCCACAUCAUAUAUUUGCACUUAUUAGUGUAAAAAAUUUUAACAUUGAUAGUGUAUACAAUAUUAAUUCUAUAUAUUUAUUAAUUCAAAGAAUUAUUGGAUUAGAAAAUUCAAUGUGCAUUCAUAUACAUAGAUCAAGAAAAGAAAAUAAAAAGUGCAAGGACAAUUGUAUAUCUUUCAUAUUGUAGGUUUCGAGCUUAUAUGUCUUGAUUGGGUUAAGGUUGUGGUUUUUGAUAUAGAUUUGAAUCAACUAUCGUAAUAUAGAGGGCAAAGAUUAUGGUUAGAUUAGUAGAUGCCCUUAUAUCCUUUUCAAGUGGUCUACUUGAAUUUGUUUAAUAAGAUUGGAUCCGAAAUAGAGGAUGAACUACAUUCAACACAGGAUAUGGUAUUAAGAAGUCGGUGACGUUGAAUUAGAGUAAACUAAAAUUAAGAAAGGACUUCACUUAAAAGUGUCAAUAGUCUUUGUUUUGGCAAACCUUAGGAGAGAUAAAUAUAGUUGAUCGAUAUGAUUAGAAUAAUAUACCAUCCAAAUCUAUUGUCAGUUGAGGUACCACAUAUGUUACAUUUAUGCAUUCAAAUCUACCAAUUGUGAUGCUUUAACAGCACAUUCUUGAUUAUGUAAAUAGUUAUCUAAUUUUUUUAUGCUUUGAGGGAUAAUUUCUAAAAGUUAGUUUUUUUAAGAGUAAAAUGUCCUUUUUUUUCUUUUUUUUUUUUGAAAUAUAAAUUCUAGCCAUAUAUAGAUAUGUGAGUUUGCUUUAGUAAUAUAGCGAUUUAGUAAUAUGCGUUUGGUUCCCUAUGGAAUUGGGGUUUAGAAUUGGAAUUGGGCCCUAAUUCCAAUUCCAUUGUUUGGAUUCUGCUCCCCUCAAAGAAUUAGAAUUGAAUCUGAAUUCUAUAAGAGUCCAAUUCCAUGAAUUGAAUUCUUUACCGGAUCAAAAGAAUUCUAAUUCUAAUUCCACAACUAAACGGGUCCAUACGCGGAUCUAAUACGGGCCAAAAAUUAAAAUCGGGUCAAGGAUAUUGGCAGCCCCUCAAUUCCUAUCUAACUCACCGUUUUUCCUCAGCCACUAGUGCUCUGCUCUCCACCAUCGCUUCCACCUGCAACCCUAAUAUUUUCAUAUUAGAGAAGUGGACGGUAGAGAAAGGAGCCAUUAUGGCUAAAUCUUUCUAGUCUUGAGAUUCACUACUGUCAAAGAUUAACCAUGAUUCCGGCCCGAGGGAUUGAGGUUCAUUGGUUCACUCAUAAAGUGUUGGCAAUCCGUGAAGAAUUUCAGAACAGGGUUCGAGGAGAGGAUUUCGACAAAAUCUGCCACAAUAUUCCUUCAGUAAGGAUCCUUCCACCUCUAAAUCGUAUUUUGAUACAGAUACGUCUUGAACAAAGCUUUAAUCCUGGAAGCCUUUCAUUCAGUGAUGUAAUUUUUUCCGCCUUCUUCUAUUUCCCAUUGUUCUUGUUUAACUCCAUUUUAUAGCUUCAUCUAUCAGAAUAUAUAGUGAGUACUACACUUUUUAUCGUUUACCUGCUCCUUCCUUCCUACUCGAAUCCAUGUUCUGAAUACUGUGAGAUCCAAGCUGCUUUUCGUAUUUGCUACUGCAGAUGAUGCCAAAGAAUCUGUAAAGAAGGGAAUUCGCUUGAGGUGAAAACCUUCUGAAGUUUUUUGACCAUGGGCUUAUUUUUUGCUUAUCUCUGCUGCAGAUUGCUGUUAGUUAUCUUGAUAAUUGAUAUUUUAACCUUUCUGGUCAAGUUGUGCAUUUCUUAAUGAUUGAAGGCCUGCUUUUGUUUCUGCUUCCUCUCACUAAUUUGUUCUAUUGUGACUGGAGUGGGUUUGAAUUCAGUUAGUUAAAUCGAGUCCAAGUUGCUUCCUCUCACUAAUUGAAUUGAGGGUUGAUAUCAAAGUGGGUGGCAUAUGAUUCUAGGUAGUCAAUGAAUUGUUUCUUGGUGGCGUAAUCAGGGUAAUAAUCAGGGAAGGGGAACUUAUUAGCUAUCCCGAAUAACAAGACAGAAAUGAAACCAUAUCCAUUUUAUCUUUCAUAUCCAUUUUUGUUCAGGUGGACUUGUUCUAGUUUUGUUUGGCUCAUUUCUUGUCUUGUUCAUCAGAUGUCUAAUGACAAAAGAAGUUCCUUUGCACCUGUUUCUCUGGCUCAGUAUAUCUGAUGCUGUCUUCCAUACAAACAAAAACUUGGUCCUUAAAUUAAUCCAGGAUCAAUAGAAUCUUCCCUUGUACUACUAUUAUAUAUCAUUUGUCUAAAUUAUACUACUGCUUCAUAUGGAUUGCUGGUGGUAGUAUUUUAUCUUCACUCUGAUGGAUUUUCUGAAAAAGUUUAAAUGAAUAAGAAAUAAGAAAUUUUUGGGUUCAAUUCCACCAGAAUUUGGUUUAUUUCUUGGUCGGAAUUCUGAAUUUUUACUGGAUUGUUACUGGAAAUGAUGGAAUUGAUGACCCACCCCACUAGUUACAAUAUGAUGUAGUUUUGCAGCAUGAUAUUUAUACCAGUUUUCUUCAUUGAAAGUGGUACUGAAUUCAAGAGAACCAAUAGUGCAGCAAACUUUGGCUACUGGACAAUAACUUCGUACAACCAUAUAAAAAUGUUGAUAGUUUUCUAGAAACGAAUUAAGUUUCAGCUUUUGUUGGUGGCUGGAAGAUUCUCCACAGGCUGCAGGAAGACUUGGCUUUUGGUGAAGGUGGUAGCGCAGAAGUUGUCCCCAAGGUGCUUGCAUCUCCAUGUAGGAGGAGGAGAGGUCUGCCUGACAAAUUGGCUGCAACAUAUCAAAAAGAUUAGUAGAGAAAAUAUAAUUUCUGCACGUAGUCCCAUUGGAUGAUUAUAGUUAAGUGGGGAACAAUUUAUAGCAUUUCUUGGGAUCUAAUGCUUUUUUAAAAUUGCUUUGCAUUCUUUCUCAAAGUUAAGGAGCUUUUGUAUAAGUGCUCUUCCUGUAUUCUAUUUAGCAAGUACUUGACUGUGUGUGAAUUGGUCAUCUGACAGUCUUAAGUUUUGUAUUUUCCAACAUCUCCUCCAAAGAAGCUGGUAAAUAUUAGUACAAAGGUUCGGUCGUGUAUUUAUCAUAUUGUGUUACAAAAACAAGAAGCCUCGGGACUUUGUCUUCAUGAUUGAGAUCUAUUCUACAUUUUUUCAUUUCGUGGUGCACAGUUCUUUAUUCGGUAGAGUCAUAAAUUUUACCCUACUCGAUUAUCACCAAAAAAGUCAAUUUGUAUAUUGUCUUCUUUUUCACUAUUUUCUUGGGUCAGGUAAUUUGUGAGUAAUUAACUGUCCGGUAUUCUACCAUGUUUUAAGAAAUAUGCUAGUGUCAUUGGGGAUUUACUUUUACGGGGUUGAGGUCCAGUUUUGGUUGGAUGCCAAUAUCUAUACCAUACGUUGAACAAAAGAAGGCAGUCAGAUUGACAUGUCUCGCUAAUGCUGUGCUUAGCACAACCUACGUCUGGAAAUGUUCACCAAAGAAAUUGAUAUAAGAGUGGAAAAAAAUAAAUUAUUAAAGGCACAAAUUGGUUUUUACUUUUAAAUCUUUAGUAAAAAUUAGCUAAAUGUAAAGAAAAAAAUUAUUAUAUAGAAAAAAGAAAAAAAAGAAAAAUUUUAUGUAAGCAAAUGUUUCAUGAAAACAAUUCUAAUUCCUAAUGAAUUCUUCUCUCAUGCAAACAAAGGAUUUGGAAUUUCAAAUAAAUUCCGUAUCAAUUCUAUGCAUUUCCCAAACGAAAGAAUUGGAAUGACUUGGAAUUCCAAUUCAUAGAAUUCCAAUUCUAUAGAAUUUCAAUUCUAAUUCAAUUCUAAUUCUAUAAAACCAAACGCACCCUGACAAUGAAUUUCAAUGAUUUUCUUAUAAUCCCAUUCAUGAAUAGACUUCUAAUUAUUCCUUGGGCUAUUUACAUAAUACUAACAUUGAGUUAUUCUUGCAAUAUUGCUCAUAAGAGGGACAAAGGUAAUAUGACUCUCUACUUUGUAAGUUAAUUUGUUUGAACUUCAAGUUAAUAUUUUAAGUAAAGGAUAAAAGUAGUGUGAUCAGUAUAUAAGUCUGUAUUUGAGGCUUACAAUGUUUUAGCAAAUGCUUGGUAAUCCCCUUACUAAUCAAAUUCGAUGAUAAAUUAUUAAUUGAUUUUCUAGAUAAAGUCACCAUAUCCUUUAGUUAAGCAUUAAGAGAUGAGGCAAACCUAUAAAUGGAGAAUACCUUAGAAUAGUUGGUGAGGUGGCAAGGAGCUUUUCCUAAUUUUUCCUUAACAAGAUUUUUAUUCCUCUCUUUUCUCAAAAUAAACUUUUUAGCUUUGGUAGCCUGGCUAUUUGAAACAUUUGCAAGUGAAGUUCCAUGAAGACUGCGUUAGAAUUUGCUUAUUCGAGAUAAGGCAAGUGAAAAUCCCAAGCAACUUCCAAUGCAAAAGCAUUCAACUUUUGGCAACGAAGCAUUGCACUUCUACACGGAUUGAGGGCUCACAAUUCGUCACACCAUUAUCCUUUUUUGUCAUUAGAACAUAAUACUAGAAAUAUGCAUAUGAAAUAUGUCACUUAUUAUGGCAAUUGUACACUUUCAAUGCAACGAAUGUACAAUUUAAACAUUAGUUUAUGUUGUAAUGAAUAUGUAAGUAAGAGUUACAUUAUGGCUAAUCUUUGCCAUAGAGUAUCUCAAGCAAUCAGGCCAAAUAAUUGUUAAGGCACUUUUAUAUCUAUUCAAUGAGAUUGAAACAAAUGCACCGUUCAAGUUAUUCUUUGUCAAAAGUCGUUAGUCAAGCAGUUUAGCCAAAAACAAGAGAGGUGUAAUUGUUCAUGCCCCGUUCUUGGUAAGAUGGAAGCUAAUGUAUCAUUCAAAGUUACUUUUGGCCAAAAUUCAUGCAUCAUUUUUCAAAAGGCUUCAUGAAAGUGAGCUCAACAUUCUUGGUUGUGUGUAAGUUUAAAAGUACUUCAUAUCUCAAGAUACCAUUGAUUCUUACUUUCUCUUUUCAAAAAUAAAAGUUCAAGUAAUAUGACAUCACAAGCCCGAUUACUGAGACACAAAGGCAAGUAUAAGUGUUUUACAUGUUUUUCAAAUAAAGAAUAUGUUAUAUAUCCCCCAAAAAAUCUUAAAAGAAAGAAAAAAAACGUCCUUUCUUGCUUGAAAAUUUGCAUCAUAACGCGUUCUAUUGUUGGGCAAUUAAUCCUCAUGAACAAGAUACGGAGGUCAUUGUCUACGAGUAAAUUUCCAAAUCCGGCUGCCUUUUGAAGCUGGUUUGCAAAAUGUGAAAGUUUUUAAACAAAGAACGCAUUCACUAUAUCCAAUGUUUAAAAAUUUAGAAAAAAAAUAUAGUUUUACUCCUUAUUGUUUAGUCUCUGUGCAGUUUUAGAUCUUAAAGGUUCGGUAAAAGUAAAUCUAGUCGUUAAUGUAUAGUGUAUGUACAGUUUUAGUCCUCUGGGGAUUGGUCUGGUGGUUGAAGUUGUUGAAGAUGAAGACUUAGGUCCUUGGUUCGAACUUUACUGCCAACAAGUUGUGGAGGGUGGGAAAUAGUCUGCGGGAUUCACUUCCUACGGAACACCCCUAAAAAAAAAAAAGUAUAGUAUAUGUACAGUUUUAGUCUCUAAAGAUUUGACAAGAGCAAUCCGAUUUUCAAUGUAACCAUUUUGAAGCAUUUUAAGGGCAAUUGAUAAAUUUUUCUAAAUAUUAAUCAAAUCAGUCACGUGCAAUCACAUGUUUGUUAAAAAAAACUUCUUAAAAGAGAAUCAAACUAAUGAGUAAUCUUUAACAAUAAGAAUAACUUGCAUGCUAACACAUUAGUAACAAAUUACUCAAGAAAAAAAAGAAAGAAAAUUUGUUAAUCUAUACUAAAAAUUAGGAAUCACAUUUUUUUACUUGGAGACACUAGAGAUAGUUAGUGAACAUGAAUUCUAGAUCAAUGAACUUGGUAUAUUGAAGUUUGAGUUUAAAAAUUUUCCUUCUUUUUAUUGGUUAAAUAGUUAACAAAUGAGUUAUUAGUUCUUAAUUUUAUUGUUUAAAGUUAGCUACUAUUUUUCUUCUUUAUUUUGGAAUUUAAUGUCUAAUUCCCAUGGAUUGGUAAUCCUUUCAGUUUUUUUACUAACAAAUGACGUGAACUGCUAUAUGCUUUUCUCCAGUGUGCUUGCGAUUAAAGUUUCUUGUCCCUCUCUGGUGGAACUUACACACAAUUAUUCAAUCAGAAAAAGAUGAAGGCCCCAGCAACAACAGUGAUCGAGGGCCAAGCAACUUCCAUUGCAAAAGCAUCCAAAUUUAUUGAGCCACUGAUCGAGGGCUCCCUGAUGUCUUUCAAGUAUUCUACCGAAACAACUAAUGGCCGCCUUCAUUGACCAAACUUAGAAUUGUUGUGGCCGACAAAAUUUAGUCUAGGCUUUCAUACAGCUAUUCUUUAUCAAAUCAUGCAACAUAUAUUUAUUUGUAAACCAAAACUUGUAACAAAUAUUUGGAAUUUUUUUUUUGAAAAAUAUUGUGACAUUUCUUUAAUCUGAUGUAUAUAAGAUAAAAAAAUAAUUAAAAAAUAUAUUAAUAAUGUAAAUAAAUAAAUUUUGACAAAUAAUUUACGAUCACAAACAAAUCCAUUACAAUCAGAUGACAGGUUACUAUGAACAGAGUCUGCUCAUAGACACGUUAGAUAACUAUGAACGGCGAGUCUUUUAGAAGUUUGCAUCCGAAGAGCAAAAAAUUCCUUUGCUAACUUAAAUAUAUGCAUUUACCAUUACAUGUACUGAGAAAUAACUCCUACAUUGGCAAUAAUUCAUACGGUAAUUCAGAUAUUUUUAGUAACAGGCCCCAGAUUGAAUCAUAAAAAGAUGAAGGCCCCAGCAACAACAAAAAUGAUUAAGAAAGAUCAGGCGAAAAUGCCAAAGCAACUUCCAUUGCAAAAGCAUCCAAUGGAGAAUUGAAGCCCAGCACUAGACUGAUUGAAAACUCCUUAUUUGUCACAUAAUUAUCAUUAUUUAUUUCUUGUACCAAACCAUAGCAGUCGAAGUUGAGUUGGACCACAGGUUUGUUAAUGUGAGCAUAAAUAUCUCAUGUGAUUAGGGUGGUUCUACACCUCGAAUGCAACAAACGUAGUACAAUUUAAGCAUGGGUUUGUGUUGUAAAUUUGUAAUUAAUAUACGCAAAUAAAAGUCAUUGUGUGAUUGUAAAAAAUGGAUAGCUGAUUAUGAAUUGUCUAAUUAUAAGGAAGUAAAUAAAAAUUUUCUCUUAAUUUCUUAAAUUGGAGAAUAAAAGAAGCCGGUGAAUUGUAAUUAAUCUGUUAUACAAAAAAAAAUAUGUUGUUUCUUCAACUUUAUAAAUUUUUAGUUUAAAAAUUUUUUAUUUGCUUAAAAAUAAAAAUUUUUUAAAUAAGAAUAAAAAUUAAUAAAAUUUUUAAAAAUGUAAUUUGGAAUAAAAACUAGAAGGGAAGGGGAAAAAAGAAGAAAAUAUCAACAUUGUAGAGGGAUUUUUUUUUCCCUCUUAGGGGGUUAAGUGUUACAAAAUAGAAAUUAGAGGGUAAAAUGAGAAACAGGACAUACCUUAGCAAGAUAAAUGGCAAUUAACCCCUAUUAUUAAUUAAAUAAAUUUUAUAACACUGACAGUGCAUACACUCUCAUCGUUAAAUUCAUGACACGUGUGCAAAAAUUAAAUUUAAAUUUAAAUUUUAUAUAGUUAUCAUUAAUACAAUGAUGAUAGUGUAUACAUUGUCAGUAUAGAAAAGAUUAAUCCUUAUAAAAGAGCAAUCCGAUUUUCAAUGUCACCAAUUUGAAGCAUUUUGAGGACCACUGACGAAUUUUUUUAAAUAUUAAUCAAAUCAAUCACGUGUAGUCACAUAUUUGUUAAAAAAAACUUCUUAAAAGAGAAUCAAAAUAAUGAGUAAUCUUUAACAAUAAGAAUAACUUGCAUGCUAACACAUUAGUAACAAAUUACUCAAGAAAAAAAGAAAGAAAAUUUGUUAAUCUAUACUAAAAAUUAGGAAUCACAUUUUUUUACUUGGAGACACUAGAGAUAGUUAGUGAAAAUGAAUUCUAGAUCGAUGAACUUGGUAUAUUGAAGUCUUAGUUUAAAAAUUUUCCUUCUUUUUACUGGUUAAAUAGUUAACAAAUGAGUUCUUAAUUUUGUUGCUUAAAGUAAGAUACUAUUUUGCUUCUUUAUUUUGAAAUUCAAUUUAAUAGGCACAUGGCUUAGACAUGACUAAAUUUUGUUAGUAAUUGAGAUAAAAUUCUUCAAAUGUCCUAAAAGCAGCUUUAAAUUGAAUAUAAACGGGACCAGACUUGCUCUUGCUAUAACUUUAUGGACUAAAACUGCACAUGUACAAAAUAUUGAGGAUCACGAUUGCUUUUGUUAAAACUUUAUGCCUACGAAGACUGAAAUGUGGCAUUCAGCAAAUGCAACUCUUCUACAAUUAUGAGAUUGGUCCAAUGGUCAAGAGCAGCCAACUCUUCAACUCUUUUAACGCAUUCAUCGUUGUGUACAAAAGCAGCCAGCUGGCAAAAUAGGUACUACAUUGACAAUAAUGGAAAACUUCCAUUGCAAAAGCAUCCAAAUUUCCCACUGAAUUGAACCACUGAUCGAGGGCUCCCCGAUGUCUUUCAAGUAUUCUACCGAAACAACUAAUGGCCGCCUUCAUUGACCAAACUUAGAAUUGUUGUGGAUAACAAAUCACACGAAGAUUCAAAUCAGUUUCACAUUCAACAAAAACUAGAACAAUUAGUUGGUGUUCUUCCACAAUUAAGGCCCCCACCAGUGACUAAAUCAAUUUGAUUAAUCACAAUUAUACUAAUCUGAAUCUCACACAUCAACCCACUGGAAUCGUUAACUCAUCUCUCUCUUAUUCUGACUGGCUUCUAUUCUGAUUUCUACCAUUUGUUGCUGAAACAUUCCUUCCAUCUCUGAUAUCAGAAAACCUUUCGAUCCUAGUUCCAAUUCCAAGCAAGAAACAAUGGCUGACGCUGCUAUCAGUGCUACUGUUAAGGUCGUCUUGGGGACACUUAUUUCCAUUGCUGCGGACCGCAUUGGUAUGGUUCGGGAGGUCAAAGCAGAGUUGGAGAGACUAAGCAACACUGCUGCAAUCAUCCAAGGUUUCUUGGCUGAUGCUGACGGGAAAAUGCAUACCCAAGGGGUGCGAGAGUGGCUCAAGCAGCUAGAAGAUGAGGUUUUUAAAGCUGAUACCGUGCUAGACGAGCUCAACUACGACAAUCUUCGUCGGGAGGUGAAGUACCGAAAUCAACCAAUGAAGAAGAAGGUAUGCUUCUUCUUCUCCUUCUUUAAUGCAAUUGGCUUUAGUUCCAGCUUGGCUUCAAAGAUCCGGGACAUCAACACCAACCUAGAAAGGAUCAACCAGCGAGCCAAUGAGUUGAGAUUGGCCAAAAAGCAGCAAAAAGAAGCUGCACUCCCUGCUGAUGCCGCUGGUGCCAGACAGACCGACUCUAUUGUCGUUCCGAACGUUGUGGGAAGAUCCGGCGACGAGUCAAAGAUUGUGGACAUGUUAUCGAGCCCAUCUGAAAAGGUUCUUUCUGUUAUUCCCAUAACAGGCCCGGGAGGUUUGGGAAAGACAACUCUGGCGAAAUCAGUCUACAAUAAUCCAAAAAUAGAUGGGCACUUUGGCCAAAAAAUUUGGGUUUGUGUGGCUAAAGAACAAAUUAAGAUAAUGGAGCUGUUCAAGCUCAUUUUAGUACAAUUGACAGGAGAAGAAGUUAAAGUGGAUGACAGGAAUGUUAUCGUUAAAAACAUUGGAGAAAAGCUCAAGGGACAAAAAUAUUUCCUUGUUCUUGAUGAUGUGUGGGAUCAUGAACAAGGAUUGUGGAAUGAUUAUUUCAACACUUUGAUGGGACUCAACGAAACCAAAGGAAGCUGGUGUCUUCUCACUACUCGUCUAGAAUAUGUGGCUAAUGCUGUGCCUAGAGAUUUGCAAAUGAAUGAUCGUCCUUAUUUCUUAGGAAAGCUAUCAGGUGAUGAGUGCUGGUUCAUCAUAAAAGGAAAGGUGAUGAGUGCAGGGGAAGAAGUACCAGAAGAAUUGGAAGCACUAAAGGAGCAAAUUUUAAGGAGAUGCGAUGGCCUACCCUUGGCGGCAAGUUUGAUUGGUGGCUUGUUGCGUACCAACAGAAGAGAGAAGUGGCACUCCAUUGUGCAGGAGAGUCUUUUGAAUAAAUAUCAAAGCCAAAUUAAUCAAAUACUUAAGGUGAGCUUUGAUCAUUUAUCAUCUCCAUCAGUUAAGAAAUGUUUUGCAUAUUGCUCGAUUUUUCCCCAGGACACUGAAUUAGGAGAAGAUGAACUAAUUGAGCAUUGGGUUGCUGAAGGUUUUGUUCUACCAGAUCGGGAAAACACAGGAAUGAUGGAGGAAAGAGGAGGCGAGUAUCUAAGGAUUUUGUUACAAAGUUCCUUGCUGGAAAAAGUCGAAGAUGAGGGGAGCACAUACUAUAAAAUGCACGAUCUGGUGCAUGAUUUUGCAAAAUCAAUUCUCAAUCCAGAAAGCAGCAAUCAGGAUCGCUACCUUGCAUUGGACUCUUCUAAAGGUUUGGAAGAAAAUACCAUAAGGAAAAUACCAGCAUCAAUUCGCACAUUAUUUCUCCAUCUAGAGGGUGGCGUAUCUACUGACAUGAACAUGCUUUUAAGAUUCAAGUGCUUGAAUGUUCUCAAAUUGUCUGGAUAUGAUGUCAAUUUUCUACCGAGCUCCAUUGGCAAACUACUACAUUUGCGGCUGCUCGACAUUUCAUCUUCUAGAAUCAGAAGUUUGCCGGAAUCUCUUUGCAAGCUAUAUAAUUUGCAGACACUAACGAUUGAUGAUGAUGAACUUAAAGGAGGUUUUCCAAAACGGAUGAGCGAUUUGAUUAGCUUGCGACAUCUAAACUACUAUGAUUAUAAUGCAAAAUUGAAAAUGCCGAUGCAGAUGGGACGAUUGACUUGUCUUCAAACUCUAAAGUUCUUUAAUGUAAGUCAAGAGAAGGGUUGUGGCAUCGAAGAGCUUGGGACCUUGAAAUAUCUGAAAGGAUCGUUGACUAUAAGAAAUCUUGGACUAGUGAAGGGCAAAGAAGCAGCUAAACAAGCAAAAUUGUUCGAAAAGCCAGAUCUGUCUUACUUGGAGUUUAAAUGGGAGAGUGGGGAUCGGGAAAGCGAUAACCGUGAGGAGGAUGUGUUGGAAGGUCUCCAACCUCACCCAAAUUUGGAAAAGUUGAAAAUUCAAUAUUUUAUGGGUAAUAAAUUUCCACAAUGGCUUAUCAAUUUGUCAAAAUUGGAGGCAUUGCGGAUAGAAGACUGCAAGAGAUGCAGUGAACUCCCCUCAUUAGGACAACUACCAUCCCUCAAACGUCUCUCUUUGAUAAGAUUGGGCAACAUUCGAUUUAUUGGAGAUGAAUUCUACGGUAUUACUGCUAAUGAGGAGGAGGAGGAGGAGGGCAGAUCACGAGCAUCAGGGAGCGGCGCUAGAAGACGAAAAUUCUUUCCUGCCCUUGAAGAACUCUAUGUAGAAAAUAUGGGGAAUUUGGUAGAGUGGAAAGGUGCAGACCAAGUGAGGUCAACAGUAGGUGAAGCAGAAGCAGAUGUCUUUCCCAUGCUGAGGAAUUUUCGCAUUCAACGUUGCCCCCAGCUGACCGCUCUUCCAUGCUCGUGUAAAAGGCUAUACGUGGAGAAUUGCGAUAAUCUAACUAGUAUCAAAACGGGUUACGGCACUGCUUCUGUUGAGGAGUUGUGGAUCGACUCUAGCGACAAUCUUAGGGAGCUGCCAGAUCUGUUUGGAUCCAGUUUGCAGCGAUUGACGAUCAAAAGGUGCCCAAGAUUAAUUAGUCUGGGAGUAAAUGGACAGAAAUGCCGGUCUCUGCGGUCCCUGUGGGUGAUGUGGUGCCCCAAUCUGGUAUCAUUUUCGCUUAAUUUGCACGAGACGCCUUCUCUCGAGAAAUUCAGCUUAUUCGAUUGUCCCAAAUUGAUCCCUCAUAGGUUCAAUGGAUUUGCUUUUGCCACCAGCUUAAGAGAAUUGAGCAUCAACAGUCCCUUCUCCUCAGAUGACUCCUCAGUCGAUGGUUUUGAUUGGUCUGGUUUAAGAUCUGUAUCAACACUCCGUGAGCUUCGCUUACAAGGGCUGUCUCACACGGAGUCCCUGCCACACCAGCUUCAAUACUUGACUAUCCUCACUUCACUAAGUCUUCACAACUUUGGAGGAAUACGAGUGCUACCGGAUUGGAUUGGAAACCUUGUGUCCCUUGAAACCCUAAAGCUAUGGUUUUGCCAAAAGCUUCAGUCUUUACCACCCGAGGCCGCCAUGAGACGACUCACCAAGUUAACUUG